RNAcentral lists this long non-coding RNA (95040 nucleotides) under Hordeum vulgare. RNAcentral's name for it is "long non-coding RNA (HVUL_LNC020781)". The record is from RNAcentral. Lineage: Eukaryota; Viridiplantae; Streptophyta; Magnoliopsida; Poales; Poaceae.
CUGGAUAACCAGCAAACAAUCCAAAUCAGAAUUGUUGGGAGAAUAAUUGAACCGUGGAGAAGAACAAAUUGAACAGAAUUUUGAUCAUCCAAACACAGGUCGGUCAGCAAGAAGAUAGUACGCCGCUCCCACUAAGCCGAGUAAUCUCAAUUUGUGACAACGAGCAAUGAAUCCAAAUUAAAGUUAGGCUAGAACUGAACGAAUCCAAAUGAAAUGAAGUGAAAUUCAGAGGAUCAUCUGAACACGGAUCUCAAGUUCCAGGUUGAUGUGCGAUCCAAAACUUCAGUCCAACACCAAACAUCAUCCCUGGAGACCUCUGACCAUAUGAAACCAAACCACCAUCCUUUCGGUUCAUCUAUGCGGAACCACUUCCUGCUUCUGCUGCAUCUGAAGGAGCACAAACACAAACCAAAAGCGAGAUCAACUGCUACAAUAAGAAUCCACCAAUACCUCUAAUCCACCUUAUAUUGAUUAUGAUGGAACUCGUGAUGAGAACUAGAAGACCACACGGGCAAUAGGCAUGUUAUCUGACCUACCUAAAAUCCCCUUGAACAUACACCAUCAUAGUGAUCUCCACAUAUCAGAUCCCAUCCGGCAUGGGAACACAAACGAACCAACAGUUACUGACCUGACACCGCAACAGACACACAGCAAAGGUUUGCAUAUGUAGGCACAGACUUCCUAAAUAAAUCCUGCAGUGCAACCCACACACUUAUAGGAAGACCAACACAGGGAUCAAGAGUACAGAUAUAACCAAUCAAACAACAAAGAGAUAGAUAGCAAACCAGAAGAUUUUUGACUCGCUACAAGCAUUGUCUUAGGCAAAACAGAUCUGCAACGACAUGGAGGGCAUAAGCACAAAUCAAAGACAUGAAAAUGUAGCUGAAUGAAAUAAAAAUAGGAGGGUAGGAGAUUAUUAUUUUUCCGGUUGUAGGAUAUGCCACUAGUUUGAAGCUUCAUUCUUGCACCAUUCGCAGCUAAAUCUGAAUUUAAAAUACUGCCUAGUAAGAGAUCUUAUUAACAUUAUCUCAGUUAAGGAAUUGAGUAGAUAGUGGUUUUAGAAGAACUGCAAAGUCAGCAUCAGGUUGGUGGCCUUGAGUUCGUAAACUACGACCUGCAACAAGCAAGAUACAUUUCCAUAAAUGCUUCAGUUAGGGAAAACUAGGAUGAAACGAUGAGGAGGUAGGAUAAGUAAGCCUGUCUCGACUGGGAAGGUCAGGUAGACAACACCGGUUCCAAUUAUAUAUCCUUUGCAAGACACUAUCUGCAAGAGCUGAGAAUGACUAAGACAGGGAAAACUAAUGUCUGCUGAGUUCUAAUUAAUAUUGAGUAAGAAAGUUCCAGAAAGUUCGAGCCAGGAAAGAAGAAGCGUCAUGCUGAGGCCACAUAGGAGCACCCGCUAGGCCCGUGUAAUUCCAGUUUCUGGACAACCAGCAACCAUUCCAAAUCAGAAUUGUUGAGAGAAUAAUUGAACUGUGGAGGGGAACAAAUUGAAGAGAGAGAGAGAGAGAGAGAGAGAGAGUUGAUCAUCCAAACACAAGAAGAUAAUAAGUCAGCUCCCACUAAGCCAAGUAAUCCCAAUUUCUGGACAGUGAAGACCAAAUCCAAAUUAGAAUUGUUGGAGGCUAAAAUUAAACGGUGGAGAGUAAGGGAUUAAAUAGAGAUAGGAGUAGUGAUAUUCAUCCAAACACAAAUCAGCCGAAGAUAGGUGGUCCCGCUAAGCCGUGUCAUCCCAUUUUCUGGAGAACCAUCAAGGAACGAAUCUAAAUCAGAUGAGUUGUAGAUUAACUGUGCUGUGCAAACCAAAUAAAUAAAUCGGGAGGGGUUGAAUUAUUAUUAUCAUCCAAUUGCAGACUGGUGAGAUCCAAAGCUUGAUCAUCUGUCCAUAUCAAUCAGAGUAACCGCUGAACCGUGACCAAUGAAUCAAAAUAACCAUAACAGAAACCAAACCUCCACCCUUUUUAUGUAUCAUCUCUUGCGAACUACCGAGCGUCCCUUGCCUCUGCUUCUGCUGCAUCUAGGAUGAGAGCACAAACACAUACCAAAAGCGGGAUCAGCCGGUAAAAUUUAGAAUCCACGAGGGCGUCGAAUCCACCUCGUAUUAUUAACCGAUGACGACGGAACCCGUGACGAGAGGGCUGGAUCGGGGGCAGGCCGCACGGGCGAGAGCCGGCCAACUGGAUCCAAAUCUGAAAUCGCCGAGGAAGGCAGGCAGGUGACGGAACCAAGGAACCGAUCUGACCGAUCGAGCACGGGAAACUGACCUUGCUUCGGCCCUCUCAUCACACAGAAAUCAGAGCAAAAUCGACGGAAUCCCCCGAUCGAUCGAUCGCUCGCUCCCCGAGGUCGCGCGGAGAUGGGCCGGAUCCCCUGCGAGCGCACAGGAAGCAAAGCCGCGAGGAGAUAAAUCAAACGCGAUUCGAAACGAAUCGAGAUUUGAUGGAUAAGGGGAAGGGAACAGUCGCGAAGACGCGAGGAGGCGACUCAGGCGAUCGACACCGGCGGCGCGGCCGGUCCGAACGAGAGCUCCAAGAGAGAGGGAGGAGGGCAGCGCGCGGGGUGGAAAGGGCGCACCUGGGCGCCUUUUAUAGCCGGAGGCGGAGGCGGUGGCCGGCCUGGCGCCCGCCAACCGGUUGCUUACCGGACACGGCUUCUUCGCCGCGGGUAAUGCUUUCCGUGGAGGAUACGUGUGGGCGGCGGAAAUCAAAAGCGAGUGGAAUUGCUGGGUCGGGGGGACCGGGUUUGGGUUGGUUUGGGUUGGGGCAACGGCAGGUCGGCAGCGCGGGUUGGGAGUUUUUUUUUUUUGAUAACGUGCGGGUUGGGAGUUGGGACCGACGGAGCCGGGAACUUUCUGGGGGCGCUUGAUAAUAUGCCUUCAGCUCGGGAGUGGCGAAGGGCCACUUGAGGUGCGAUGCCCGUGUCUGCGAGCACGAGCAACGACCAGCUCGUGGAUGAGAACGUGGAACAGGCGGGUGCGGUGGGGGUGGUUCGUUGUCCUGAUCCUAAACGUGAUCCGCCAAAUCAGCUGCCGUGUUUAAGAAAUCAAAAAUGUGCUCGUUAUUUUAUUUUUUAAUUUUUCAGAUCAACGUCGUCCGGUUGUUGAUAUUGGUUUGAGAACAGGCAUCUCCAACUAUCAAUCCGUAAUUAUUUUUUUCCUGCGUCCGUCUGCCAACAAAGGAUCAAUCCACGGACAUAUUUAUAAAAAAGACAUCCAACGCUAGCCGCAUGUCUAUGAAAGAAGGACAUCUAACGUUAGACGCACACAUCUACCGUGAAGAGGGAAUAUGCUUCUAAAUUCUUUCGUGCGAUUGACUCAUUUGACCUUUUUAAAUGGGAAUGGACUCCUUCUAAUAAUAGAUCUCGUGGGGUCCUAUGUGGUCUUAAGAAAGAUAGCUAAAAAAGGAAAUACAUCCUGCAGAUUUAUGUUCAUGAUAUUAACAAAAAAAAUUGACUGGGAUCUCCUAGUUGCUUAUGGUUCUCCUCAUGAGGAGUUCAAGGAGGAAUUCCUUGUUGAGAUGGUCUUAUUUUGUAGCAGCGUAAACGGUCUCUAUAUAAUCGGGGAACUUCAAUAUUCUGAGACACAGUAGAGAGAAAAUUAGAAAGUCCAUUUUCACAAACCCUCUAAGACAUCUAACUCUGUUAUUAACUCAUUGGGUCUGAGAGAUGUACGCAUCAAUGGAGGCAAAUUCACGUGGACUAAUAACCAGGCUCAUCCCACUCUUAAAAAAUUGGAUCGUAUCCCUAUUAAUUAUGACUGAGAAAAAUUAUUCCCCCUAGUAUCUGUUAGAGAAUUUGUCAAAGAGAUUUCUGAUCAUAACCCUUUGAUCGUUUCCUCGGGGAUGAUGAGAGGGAAGCCCCUAAAGCUCGUGACUUUCGCUUCGAACUUUCCUCGCUUAAAAAUGAGGAAUUCCUCGGACUGUCUAGGGGUAUUUGGAGUAGAAAGGUGAAUGCUAUAGACCCUAUUGAUGCUCUCAAUAUCAAAUUGAAAGAUUCAAAGCCUACUUCAAAGGACGGGGGUCCAACAAAUAUGGCCAUGAAAACGGAGGAGGGAAGAGCUUUGUUUGGAAUUGUCCAUGUUGGAAGAGCUUGAAGAAGAAGGCCUUCUACCCCGUGACACUAUAGGAAUCAGGAAAUUGUCAUCUGUCUGAUCUUUGUCGCCUGUUGGUUGAUGGCAAAUAGACUUUUUGCCAUUAGCUGUCGAAAAAUAGACGACAAAGAACUGGUUAAUGGAAAAGAUGCUUUUUGCCGUCAUUGCAUUCUUUGUCGUCUGCUGGCGGACGGCAAAGAUGGACCAGACACACGACAAAGAAAUAGCUGAGGACAAAGAUGGUCCGCACAAACGACAAAGAGUCACCGCAGCUUGAGCCGUCCCCUUUGCCAUCUGCAGCCUCUUUGUCGUUCGCCCAAACCCUCUUUGUCGUCUUCCUGAUCCCCAGGCGGACGACAAAGGGGACGGCGCCCCACCUCCCCACUAACGGCGGCUCGCCUAGGUCUCACCACCCCGAUCCCCACUCUUUCUCUCCCUCUCCCCCGACCCCCACCCUCAUCUCCACCUGCGUCGCCCCCCAUCACCGCGUGGCCCGCACCGCGCCCCUCAUCUCCACCUGCAUUUCCUCCCCGCGCUGCCACACCACCACCAUCGCGUUGCCCCCCUCCCGGUGGCUUCCCCUCCAUCGCGCCGCCCCCCACCACCGCACCGCCCUCACCCCGCACAGUCCCCCUCCCCACGCCGGCUCCCCGUGUCUCCCCCAUCAUCAUCACAGCUACCCCCUCCCGGCGCCACCCUCUCCUCGCAUCGGACCCUCACCGCGCCGCACCAACCACCGCACCGCCCCACCUCGUGCGCCCCCUCCCCACGACGGUUCCCCCGUGUCCCCCCCCCCACAAUUUGGGUUCUUAUUAUUUCAAAAAAAACUCGCUGUGGGGGUUCCCCUUACAGUUUUCCUUCAAAAAAAUAUAUAGCCAAUCAGUGGUUUGCUAGGUUGUGAACAGGUUGAAGGUUUUCAUGACAAUGUUGGGAGGCUGAUAUUUAACAUGUGGUAGGCAACGAGACAUAUUGAUAGAAACGGUAAUACUAGCAUGUCAAUGAUAGUAAUGGUAUCUGGGAAAAUGGUCAUCUUGCCUGAGAUCCCGCUGAGAAGAAGAUUGACUCCGUGAAGCAGACGACAGGUCCUCACAAUCCGACAUGCUUGCGGAACUCUAUCGAGACGAAGGAAACCGAAAACAAGAAUAAACACACGAUAUUCCCCACGGCAUAUGCACGACAAGAUGCAAUCCACAUAUGAUGCAUGAACAGGGAAUACAUGCAAGUCACGGCAUGUCAAGUCACAACAACCAAAUACUACACAUUAAAUGAAGUUCAAUAUGCAACGAGGUGCAUAUUGACGAAACUCCACAUACGAGUUAUUUACUUCUAUCCCGAUUUGGUACACGGCAAUAUUAAAUGUGGUUACACAUGGCAAGAGGUGAAGCGCAAUUACUCUACUUAUCUAGGCAUUUUAAAUGAGGUCGGAAAUGACAUAUAGCAUCUCCGAAAUGACCUCACAUAUUAAUUUACAAUUCUGUCCAGAUCUGAACUAACAUGUUUAAUUAGUUGUUAAACAGCAAAACAAAUAGUUUCACGUGAUUCUACGCGUCGGUACAAGCAAUUUACACAUAUAGAACAUCUCCAAUGGAGCUACGGGUCAAAAGAUACGAACACCGCAAGAUAUGAUGGCAUGAAUGCAAAAUGUGUGCAAAUGGCAUCCACAACAUUUCAAAACACACAACCAGCAAGAUAAAAUGAAACUGCACAAGAUUCUAAGCAAGUUUCAUAUAGGACACCAUCAAAAUGGAGCAACGGUUCAACAACUACGAGCAACACAAGAAAUCACUACAAUCUGCCAAAAUCAGCCACAUAGCAUUUUUUACACCCCACAACUACGAGCUACACAAUUCUAAUAUACUCAACCAAGACAUGACAUGAUAGAGGGAAAGAAGCACUACAAGAUACAACUAACAACAACUAGCAUGGAAGCAUGGAACACUAGGAAAAGAAGUCACAAAAAGGCAUCUCACACACAGUUUCAGACUUAGUGAAAAUAACACUUUAUGAAACUGCAGUUUUCGAUCUGAAGGCAUAUUGACAGCAGCAAAGCCAUAAGCUACAGGACUCCAAAUGGCAUGAAAAUUCACAGCAUGUUAGAGAAUCCUAAAGUCUACAACUAACUCCAUUUCAUCAACCUCAAAGGAGCUACAGAUCACAAGAUAAACUCAUGCAAAGACAACAACAAAAUAUAACAGAUUUCAGACUUAGAAAUAUUUCAGCAUCUCCAAAACAGCACUAUUUCCUAGCAACUUGAGAACAAACAAACCACACCUAAACAUGGAUUCCUAUUGCAACCAAAAUUACCAGGGGCUAGACUAAACAUCCAAAAGCAAAACUCUAAUUGACAACUAACCCAUAUCACGCAUGGAUUAAAUCCCACGAAAUAAACAAUAGGGCAUCAUGACAAAAUAUCACGUGAAAUAACUUGCUCCAAAGCUAAAACUAAAUACACAGUUAAAUCCUAUGGAUUUUUCUACCCCGAAAACGUAUAUAACAUGAAGGGUUGCAAAAGAAAAUCAACGCCACACGUAUAUGCGGGAUUAUGUCCACGACACGGUAAAACAACUAGCUACUAAACCCUACGUGCAAAAAUACCAACAACCACUCUAAAAUACAUGGCAAAGGGGUUCCUAAAACAUGAACAUUUCUACUAUGGAGUUCGAACAAAAAAAAGAUAACACGGGACACAAACAUAAUAGACAACACACGUUUCUAGGCAUUCGGCACGCUAAACUAUGUCAAACAAUUAUGCAAGUUGCAAAAUCGUAAUCUACGCGCAAAACUACACAAAUACAUAUGCUACACGCCACGAUCCGACUUACGGUUAAUAAACUACGGGCGAUUUAAUAUUUAGCUAAUUUCUGAAAUCUAACUAAUUCGAGAAACUCCAAUAAAACCUAUUGGGCCGAAUCCAUCUACGGGCCUAAACAGAGGCAUGGGCGCAUGGUAUAGAAAAGUGCCUAGGGCGGGGAAUAGAGGAUCACCUUGGGGGGCCUCUUGGGCCGGUUGGGAGGCUGCAACAGAGGGGAGGUGGCCGACUGGGCAUUGGGCCGGCCUGGUGCAGUGGGGCCCGGGUGGGGCUGGCCGAAGGAGGCCUCGGGGGAGCCGGGCCGAAGCAGGGGGGACGAGCUGGGCGGGGGCUUGCUGGGCCGCGGCGAGGCCGGUGAGGCCCAGGAGCGGGACGCGUCGCUGGAGCGGGGCUCCUCGUCGUGUCCGAGGGCACAGGGCCUGGCGGCGGCCGACGUAAGGCAGCGAAGGCGGCGGCGAGCACGGGAACCGGCGGCGGGGUGCAAGGGAGGCCAGAUCCCGGUGGCCUUGGGCGGAUCCGGGCACCGGGGAUCCGUUCCCGGCGGAGGGGACGGCGGAGCACAUGGCUGUCGGCGGCGAGCUCGCGGUGGGAGGACGACGCAGGGAGCUUGGGGCGGCGGGAUCCGGCCGGAACGGGCACGGGCGACGGUGCGGAAGGUGCAGGGCAAGGAGCUGCUCGGCUACCAGGAAGCGACGAGGGCUCCCGUCGGCGAAGGAGCUCGGGAGGAGGAGGCUGCAGGCUCGGGAGGAGCACCUCGGCAAGGGAGACGCAGGGCGCCGGCGGCGGCUCGGUUCGGGCCCGGGCGGGCUCCAGAUGGGCCUCGGCGGGCCCGCGACGGCUGGAGGCCGAGGGGAGGAGAGAGAGAGGUGGGAUUAGGGUUAGGCGAGGCACGGUUUUUGAGGCAGAGGGGGUGGGUGUCUAAAAAAAUGGCAUGGGAGGUCCUAUUUAUAGGCAAAGGGGGCUAGGUUUAGCGAAAUUCCGCCCCGGUUUCAACCGCGCGGUCGGAUUCGAAUAAUUCUGAACGAGGGACGGACUAAAUGCCCGUGUAGAGUAGUUAUCCGGAGACGAGAGGGAAAAUGGGCGGAGCGGCAACACGAUUUGAAAACACCGAUAACCGUCCGACGGUAGACCGAAUAGGGUGCCGCUACGGUCGACCGUUCUGGUACCAGACGGACUCCGAUUGCGACGAAACUUGACAGGCGGCCUAGUUACCACUAAUUACGACCGCACGCCAAGUUCCAACCCAAUCAGAUAAAGGUUUACACACACUUUAAAAACAGGGUUUUGACGAUGCCGCGGCGCGUGCGUGUGCGGUCGGGCUCAGAACGGACAACGAUGAGAACCGGCAACUAACAACGGAUGCAAGUUUUGAAAACUAGCGGCAACGGGAUGCCGAUGCAAUGCGGAUGAUGCGCAUGAUGCGAUGAUGAUGCGACAAAUAAAAAUAAUCACACGACGGAAACGGAAUAGAAGGGGAAUCUUCUGGAACGUCGGCAUCGGGUUGUCACACCGCCCCACCACCGCGCCGCCCCCUCCCCGUGCCGCCCCUACCCACGCCAGCUCCCCUGCGCCGCCCCACCACCACGCCGCCCCUCCCGUGCCGCCUCUACCCAUGCCAACUCCCCUACGUUGGCCCCACCACCACAGCUCCCCCGUUCCGGCGUCGCUCCCCACCACCACCACUAUUGGAAAUAUGCCCUAAAGGCAAUAAUAAAAUGGUUAUUAUCAUAUUUCCUUGUGGGCGGCGAAAAUCAAAUCAAAAUCGAGUGGAUCGGGUUGGAUCCGGACUUGGUUUGGUUCGGGUGGGCGGCUCGCAGUGGCAGGUCGGCAGCGACGGAGCCGAGAACUUUCUGGACUGCUCGGGAGUCGCGACGGGUCAUGUGAUGUGUGAUGUCGUGUGUGGCUUCCCGUGUUUGCGAGCGCGAGCCACGACCAGCUCGUGGAUGAGAACGUGGAAUCAGCUGAACGCGGUGCCGUGGGGUGGUUCGUUGUCCUGGUCCUAAACGUGAUCCGCCAAAUCAGUUGUCGUGUUUAAGAAAUCAAUGUGCUCGUUGUUUUUAAUUUUUAACUUUUCAGGUCAAGGUCGUCCGGUUGUUGAUAUUGGUUCGAGAACACGCAUCUCCAACUAUCAAUCCGUAAUUUUUUUCGUGCGUCCGUCUGCAAAUAAAGGAUCAAUCCAUGGACAUAUUUAUAAAAAAGACAUCCAAAGCUAGCCGUAUGUUUAUGAACGAAGGACAUCUAACGUUAGACGCAUACAUCUACCGUGAAGAGGGAAUAUCCUUCUAAAUUAUUUCGUACGAUUGACCCAUUUGACCUUUCAAAUGGGAAUGAAUUCUUUCUAAUGAUAGAUCUCGUGGGAUCGUAUGUGGUCUUAAGAAAGAUAGCUAAAGAAAGGAAAUAUAUCCUACAGGUUUAUGUUCAUGAUAUUAACAAGAAAACUAAAUGGGAUCUCGUAGUUUCUUAUGGUUCUCGUCAUGAGGAGUUCAAGAAGGAAAUCCUCGUUGAGAUGGAUGGCCUAUUUUUGUAGCAGUGUAAACUGUCCCUAUAUAAUCGAGGACUUCAAUAUUCUAAGACACAGCAAAGAGAAAAUAAAAAAUAUGUCCAUUUUUACAAAUCCUCUUAGCUAUUUAACUAUGUUAUUAAUUCAUUGGGUCUUAGAGAUGUACACAUCAAUGGAGACGAGUUCAUGUGGACUAAUAACCAGGCUCAUCCCACUCUUGAAAAACUGGAUCGUAUCCUUAUUAGUGAUGAGUCAGGAAAAAUUAUUCCCCUUAGUACGUGUUAGAGAACUUGUCAAAGAAAUUUCUAAUCAUAACCCUUUGGUCAUUUCCUCAAGGAUGAUGGGAGGGCAGCUUCUAAAGCUCGCGAGUUUCGUUUCGAACUCCUGGCUUAAAUAUGUGGAAUUCCUCGGACUGUCUAGGGGCAUUUGGAGUAGAAAGGUGAAUGCUAUGGACCCUAUUGAUGUUCUCAACAUCAAAUUCAAAAGAUUCAAAACCUACUUCAAAGGACGUGGGUCGAACAAAUAUGGCCAUGAAGAAUGAACGAGGGAAGAGCUCUGUUUGGAAUUGUGCAUGCUGGAAGAGCUUGAUCUUUGUCGUCUGCUAGGUAAUGGCAAAGAGACUUUUUGCCAUUAGCUGCCAAAAAAUAGACGGCAACGAAGUGGCUAAUGGGAAAGAUACUCUUUGCCGUUAGUGCAUUCUUUGUCGUCUGCUCGCGGACGACAAAGAUGGACCACACAGACGACAAAGAAAUAACUAAUGGCAAAGAUGGUCCGGACAAACGACAAAGAGUCACCGCAGCUUGAGCCGCCAACUUUGCCAUCUGCGGCCUCUUUGUCGUCUGCCCCAACCCUCAGGCGGAUGGCAAAGGGGAUGGCGCCCGACCUUCCCACUGACGAUACCUCACCUAGGUCUCCCUACCCGGAUCCCCACUCUUUCUCUCCCUCUCCCCCGAUCCCCAUCCUCAUCUCCACCUCCGUCGCACCCACCACCCCACCAUCGCGCCGCCCCCACCCCGCGCCUCAUCUACACCUGCCUCUCCUUCCCGCGUCGCCACACCACCACCAUUGUGUCGCCCCCUCCCGGUGGCUUCCCCUCUACCGCGCCGCCCCCACCACCGCAUCGCCCUACCCUGCGCAGCCCCCCUCCCCAUGCCGGAUUGUCACGCCCAAGAUGCGACCCUAUCCUCAAUUUGGCACGAAGGCCACGUCAGGGAUAGAAGCGCANNNNNNNNNNNNNNNNNNNNNNNNNNNNNNNNNNNNNNNNNNNNNNNNNNNNNNNNNNNNNNNNNNNNNNNNNNNNNNNNNNNNNNNNNNNNNNNNNNNNNNNNNNNNNNNNNNNNNNNNNNNNNNNNNNNNNNNNNNNNNNNNNNNNNNNNNNNNNNNNNNNNNNNNNNNNNNNNNNNNNNNNNNNNNNNNNNNNNNNNNNNNNNNNNNNNNNNNNNNNNNNNNNNNNNNNNNNNNNNNNNNNNNNNNNNNNNNNNNNNNNNNNNNNNNNNNNNNNNNNNNNNNNNNNNNNNNNNNNNNNNNNNNNNNNNNNNNNNNNNNNNNNNNNNNNNNNNNNNNNNNNNNNNNNNNNNNNNNNNNNNNNNNNNNNNNNNNNNNNNUGAAAAGAAGAGAUAUAUAAAGAGUUGGCUUACACUCGCCACAAGCUACAUCAGAGUCACAUCAGUACAUUACAUAAUCAUCAAGAGUAAGAGCAGGGUCCGUCUACGACGAAAACAAACGAGAAAAAUAAGAACGACGUCCAUCCUUGCUAUCCCAGGCUGCCGGCCUGGAACCCAUCCUAGAUCGACGACGAAGAAGAAGAAGAAGCAACUUCAAAUGAACAAUCAACGCGCUCGCGUCAAGUAACCUUUACUUGUACCUGCAACUGGUGUUGUAGUAAUCUGUGAGCCACAGGGGACUCAGCAAUCUCAUUUCCAAAGGUAUCAAGACUAGCAAAGCUUAAUGGGUGAGGUAUGGUUAAGUGGUGAGGUUGCAUCAGCGGCUAAGCAUAUAUUUGGUGGCUAACUUACGAGUACAAGAAAUAAGAGGGGGAACAUCUACGCAUAGCGGACGUGAACUACUGAUGAUCAAAUGAAUGAUCCUGAGCACCUACCUACGUCAGGCAUAACCCCACCGUGUCCUCGAUCGGAGAAGGAACUCACGAAAGAGACAGUCACGGUUACGCACACAGUUGGCAUAUCUUAAUUAAGUUAACUUCAAGUUAUCUAGAACCAGUGUUAAACAAAGUUUCCACGUUGCCACAUAACCGCGGGCAUGGCUUUCCGAAAGAUUUAACCCUGCAGGGGUGCUCCAACUAGUCCAUCACAAAUUACCACAAGCCGCAUAGAAAUCCUCAAUCACGAAGCUCGCGAUCUCGUCGGAUUCCCUAGUGGAAAACCUCAACUCUGAGAAUACCCAAAGCAUCACCGGAAUCCCGAUGCACAAGAUAUCUCGUCAAAGGUAAAACUAAUCCAGCAAGGCCGCCCGACGUGUCGACGAUCCCGAUAGGAGCCGCGUAUCUCGUUCUCAGGACACGACGGAUAAGCACAGCGUACGGUGGCCUGAUAGAAAUCUCCCGAGUUGCCCCGGGUUGGCCCCGCAAACGGCUCUAGUUUUUGGACCAACACUCAUGAUGAGCAUUGGCCCCGGGGGUUGAUUAAAUUAUCCUCGGGGUCCGAAAAGUCCCUAUGCAAUUUAUUAGGUGAUUAGGCAAAUGUAGUACCAAAGUUGGGCCUUGCCAGACCAGCUUUAAUCUAAAACGAAUUAUCAAGGGGGCCCCAUAACAACCCCGAUCGUGUUAGGAGCGCUCAUUUAUGGAAUAUAACACCGGAAGCCGAAAACUAAGGGGGCAAAGGUGGAACAAAACACCAGUCUAGAAAGACCGAGCCUUCCACCUUUUACCAAGUAUAUAGGUGCAUUAAAUUAAAUAGCAUUAAUAUGGUGAUAUAACAAGGAACCCAUGUUUUUCACAUGGAAGCAACUACAUCUACAACUAGCAACGCUAACAACAUGGAUAAGCAAGCAGUAACAUAGCCAAUCAGUGGUUUGCUAGGUCGAACAGGUUGAAGGUUAUCAUGGUAUUGUUGAGAGGCUGAUAUUUAACAUGUGGUAGGCAACGAGACAUAAUCGAUAGAAGCGAUAAAACUAGCAUGGCAAUGAUAGUAAUGGUAUUUGAGGAAAUGAUCAUCUUGCCUGAAAUCCCCCUUGGAAGAAGAAUGCCUCCGUGUAGCAGACGAACCGACGUAGUCGAACGGGUCCUCACAUCUGACACGCUUGCGGAACUCUAUCGAGACGAAGCAAACCAGAAACAUAAAUCAACACACGAUAUUCACCACACGAUGCACAACACAUAUGAUGCAUGAGCUACUGAAUACAUGCCACGGCAUGACAAUUCACACAGUCAAACACUACACAUUAAGUGAAGUUCAAUAUGCAACGAGUUGCAUAUUGACGAAACUCCACGUUUAUUAUUUAGUUCUAUCCCAAUUAGAUACACGACAAUAUUAAAUGUGGUUAAACAUGGCAAGAGGUGAAGCGCAAUUAAACUACCUAUCUAGGCAUUUUAAAUGAGGUCAGAAAUGUCAUAUAGCACCUCCGAAACGACCUCGCAUGUUAAUUUACAAUUCUGUCCAGAUCUGAAUUAACACCUUUAAUUAGUUGUUAAACAGCAAAACAAGUAGGUUCACGUGAUUCUACGCGUCAUUUCAAGCAAACUACACAUAGAGAACAUCUCCAACGGAGCUACGGACCAAAAGAUACAAGCACCGCAAGAUAUGAUGGCAUGAAUGCAAUAUGUGUGCAACGACGGCUACGAGCACUUCAAAACAUACAACCAGCAAGAGAAAAUGAAACUACACGAGAUUCUAAGCAAGUUUCAUGUAGUACACGAUCAAAUCGGAGCUACGGUUCAACAACUACGAGCAAAACAAGAAAUGACUACAAUAUGCCAAAAUCAGCCACAUAGCAUAUUUUACGCCCCACAACUACGAGCUACACAACUCCGAUAAACUCAAGCGAGGCAUGGCACGAAAGAGGGCAAGACGCACUACUACAAACAACUAACAACAACUAGCAUGACAGCAAGGAGCACUAGGAAAAGAAGACACAAAAUGGCUUCCCACACACUAUUUCAGACUUAGUGAAAAUAACACCUCAUGAAAGUGCAGUUUUCAGCCUGAAGGCAUAUUGACAGCAGCAAAACCAUGAGCUACAUGGCUCCAAAUGGCAUGAAAAUUUACAGCAUGCUAGAGAAACAUAAGGGCUACAACUAACGCCAUUGGACCAACCUCAAAAGAGCUACAUAUCACAAGAUGCAAGCAAGAUAAGACAGCAACAAAAUAUAACAGAUUCCAGACUUAGAAAUAUUUCAGCUACUCUAAAACAGCACUAUUUCUAGCAAGUUGAGAGCAAGCAAACAACACCUAAACAUGCAUUUCUAUUGCAACCAAAAAUACCAGGGGCUAAACAAAACAUCCAAGAUCAACUCUCUAGUUGACAACUCCGUCAAACGAAGCACGGAAUAAAUCCUAUGAAAUAAACAAAAGGGCAUCACGGCAAAAAUAUCGCACGAACUAACUUGCUCUAAUGCUAAAACUAAUUGCACAGAAAAAUCCAUGGGAUUUUUCUACCCCAGAAACAUAUAAAAUAUGUGGGGUUUGCAACACAAAAUAAAGCCACACAAAAAUGCGAGAUAAUAACCUAUACACGGAAAAAAAAACUACCGGUAAUUCCUACACGCAAAAAUACGAGUGACCGCUCUAAAAUGCAUGGAAAACUGGUCCCUAAAACAUAGGCAUUUCUAUACGGCACUCGAGCAAUCCGGACUUGCACGAAAAAUAGAUACGGGUCGAAACCUAUUAGGACAGCACGCAAACCUAGGCAUACGACACGCUAAAUGACCUCAAAUAAUUAUGCAAGUGUUAUAAUCGGGUUCUACUCGCAAAACUACCCCAAACCCAUAUAAGAUACGCCCCGUUCCGACUUACGGUUAAAAAGAUACGAACGUUUUAAAAUACGUCUAUUUUUCUGGAAAAGAGUUAAAUCCCAGGAAUUAUAAAAACCCUACACGGGCCGAAAGUGGCAGGCGCUUCAUAACAAAACAGCGCACGCGCAAGGGAUAGCUCACCUCGGGCCACAGGCCGACGGUUGGGGCGGAGGCCUCUUGGGCCGGCUCGAGGUGGGCCAGGGGUCAGUGGUUGGAGCGGGCCGGUCGCGCGGGGUAGGCCGAGCUGGGCCGAGGCGGCGCUGGCGCGGGAGGCCGGCCCACGUGGUGCUGGCGAGCGCUGCCCCUGGGGUCGUCGUCCUCCUCUGCUCCCGAUCUGGGCAGGAGGCGGCGCGGCUCAGGGACCUGGCGCGGGGGCUCGCGCCGGUGAGGGAGGCCAGAUCCGGCCGGCCUUGAGCGGAUCCGGGCACCGGGGACCCGUUCUCGGCGGCGGGGACGGCGGACACAAGGCGGCCAGCGCUCAGACGGCGGCGCAAGGAGCGGCUCGGUCCGGCGGCUCGCGGUUGCAGGCCUCGGGAACUUCGGGCAGGAGUGGCAGGGCUCGACGGGAGUAGGGACUCCGGCAGGCGGCCCUGGCAAAGGACGACGCGGGACUCUGGCGAGCUGCCGGAGACGGAGGGACGAGCCCCGGCGGCGAGGAGGCACGGGCUGUUGCGAGCAGGAGCAGCGGGGAGGCGGCGCGCAGAUGGGCCUCGGGCGGGCCGCGCGCGGGCUCGUGCGGGCCCGGCGGCUGGGGGAGGAGAGAGAGGUGGGAAAAUUAGGGUUAGGGGUAGGUGGGCGCGGAAAACAAGGAGGGAUUUGAGGGAGGCUGUCUAAAAUUAGGAGGGGGGUAUUUAUAGAGAAAAUGAGGGCUAGGUUACCCGGAAUCGCGUUCCGGAUCCAACCGCGGGGUCGGAUUCGGGCGAUUUCGAAUGCAGGAAUGGGUACGCGGCCGUGUAGAGGGUAUAUCCGGAGACGAGAGGGAGAACAGACGGCACAACAACAAUUUUUAAAACACCGAUGACCGUCCAACGGUAGACCGAAUACGGUGCCGCUACGGUCGACCGUUCGGGUACCAGACGGACUCCGAUCGCGACGAAAUUCGACAGGCGGCCUAGCUAGAACUAACUAUGACCGCACGUCAAAUCUCAACCCGAUUAGAGAAAUUUUUACGCACUCUUUUAAAAUAGGGUUUCGACGGUGCCGCGGGCGAGUGCGAGUGCGGUCGGGCUCAGAACGGACAACGACGAGAACCGGCAACUACUAACGGAUGCAAGUUUUGAAAACGGGCGGCAACGGAGAUGCCGAUGCAAUGCAGAUGAUGUGCAUGAUGCGAUGAUGAUGCGACAAAAGAAAAUAGACACACGACGAAAACGGAAAGAGAGGGGAAUCUUCUGGAANCGCCCCCUCCCCGUGCCGCCCCACCCCACAUCAGCUCGCCUACGCCGGCCCCACCACCGCGGCUCCCCCGUUCCGGCGCCGCUCCCCACCACCACCACCGGCCCUCAAGGUCAAAUUUUUUGCUUUUUCUGUUUUUUCUAUUUAGGUUUAGGGUAAUUAGUGUCUGGUUUAGGUUAGUGCUAGGUUUAGGUUUAGAUUUAGAUAAUUAGAAGAAGAAGAAGAAAGAUGAAAAAAAUAAGAAGAAAAGAAGAAUAAUUAAGUAUAAUAAAAGGAUAAAGGAAGAAAAGGAAGAAAAGGAAGAAGAAGAAGAAGAAGAAGAAGAAGAAGAGGAGGAGGAGGAGGAGGAGGAGGAGGAGAAAAGAACAACAACAACAAUAACAACAACAACAACAACAACAACAACAACAAUAACAACAACAACAACAAGAGAAGAUGAGGAGGAGGAGGAGGAGAAAAAAUAAUAAUAAGAAGAAGAAGGAUAAGAAGAAAAAGAGGAGAGGAGGAGAAGAAGAAGAGGGAAAAAGGAAAAGGAGAAGGAGAAGAAGAGGAGGAGAAGAAACAACAGCAACAACAACAACAACAACAACAACAAAACAACAACAACAACAACAACAACAACAAGAGUAAAAAGGAAAGGAAGAAGGAGAAGAAGAGGCCAACUGGAUCAUGGUUUUGUAAAUUACGAGUUAGGUCAUAUAUUUUCCAAUUUUUUUAUAAAAAAUAAAAAUAUUUCUGUUGAUUGGGUGGAUUUACAUGUGUAGUUGUUUCGCCGUUGCGAGGUCUGGUGUUUGAAGACCUUUCCAUGCGUUCGACGAGCUCUCCGCCCGUGCGUUCGUGGGUGAGCACAAAUGACACUCCUCCUCUCCCCUUCAUUUGCUCUGUUCCGGUCUUCGUGUUGAUGAAACUUGCUAGAUAUAUGUACAUUAAAUCAUCAGUAUGCGUGACCACUAUGCGUCUCCUGUUCGAAAGGGUUACAAUUAUAAAUAUGCAUGCAUUUGCAUAUAUUUAUAACCGUGAUUCUUUCGAAUUGUCCAACGUUAUCCAUGGACAUCCUGAGUAUGUGUAGAUUGCGUUCGUUUUCCCAUAUGCUCUGCUUUGAAUUCGAUGCAUAAUUUCGUCAGUGCCUCCCUGUUGUUCUCCAGGUACACAUCCUCUUUGUUUAUUGUUGAGACGUGUAUCAGGAGAACAACGGGGAGGUGCAGCCGAAAUUUUGCAUCGCAUCCGAAGCAGAGCAUGGGAAAACGAACCCAAUCUUCACAUAGUCGGAUGGGAUUAGGGUCAAUCUUUACCUAUUAGCAUGUAGGUUGCACGGACGUAAUAAAACUAAAAAACUUGAUUAACUGAUGAAUAUAUAAUGAAUUAUAUAUAUAUAUAUAUAUAUAUAUAUAUGGAAAAUCAAUACUACCACUAGGGGGUAGUUACCCCAUGCCCAACACCGUCUGAUCUGGUGUGGUGGACGCUUUGAUUAACGGGUUUGGUUCUAGUAAUACACCAUUUUUAUUUUCAUCCCAUAAAGCAACUAAUCGUGCAGUUCCUAUUUUCAUGUAUGGAUAUAACUACCACACGUCCAACAGAUAUCUAGCUUUCACAUCUGGCUACCAGCUGCAGCAGAUUUUAUGGCAAUCCCAGUCAAUUCGGAUUAUGAGCAUCGAUGCAUGUUGCAAGGUAUUCAUCCGGCGGACAAAAUCUUUCAAAUUGUUCCUGAUAGAUUUUAUUAUCUAAUUGAAUUCUUUGAUCAGCAGCCAUGGGCAUUGACUUUUUUAUCUAAUUGAAUUCUUUGAUAAGCAGCCAUGGCCGAUGUCAACCAUGCAUCAAAUUUUCAAGACCUUAUAAUUUUCAAGACACAGCCGCCGUCGAGUUGCGCGCUCCGAAUGACACAGCCGCCAGCCAUUGAGGAGCUCAACAUUGCUGCAUCGUCCUCAUGUUCUGGAAAGUUUCCAAACUAUCACUACAUUCAGCACUAUCAUGAAUUCCAAUCCAGUUCUCAUGUUACAGAUCAGUAUACGUACAUGCGUGGACAUGUAUCAUCACUUCGUGUUGAAUUGUAUCCCCAUAUUAUUUUUAGCUCAAUCAUGUUCUAGCUAGCACAUGUAAUUGAUUGAAGAUUUCAUAUCUUGGUGAAUUUUUUAUUUUGCAAUCUUAUUUUUGUACGUAAAAAAAUAUAACAAACACAUCCAUACUCUUGUACAUUUGUUCAGUAUAUAUUUAUUCCGGAGAUACUCCUCUUAUCUUCGAGUAUAUGUACAUUUUGUGUGGGAAGAUACUCCUUACUUUUGGAAAUUAUACUGCUUAUUUGGACGUACUCCAUACUUCAUUCACCUUUUCAAAUAUACUCCAUACUGUAGCACUAUAGUAGUAUGUAGACAUGUAGUACACACCAUACUUCUAUUACAAACUAUAUAUUACAUGCGAAGUACUACUUUUUUGGGAGACUUAUUUUGUAUGUCCAUGUAAGAAUCUUAAUACUCUAUACUCCAGCUUGUUGUUAAUACUUCAUACUUCAAUAAUCAAAUUCUUAUACUUCAUACUCCAAUUUUACGUUAGCAUUGCAUACUACAUACUAAUGAAAUUACAUGUCAAUACUUCAUACUACAAAAUUUACAUGUCAAUACUCCAUACUACACGUAUGACUAUACUCUAUGUGGUUCUAAAAGGGGAAUAUAUUUGGCACAAUAAUAGCAGAAUCCAAAAAGAGUUAUUUGUACCAUACUAUCUAUUUCCAACAAAAAUUACGGUGCGUAUAAAAUAACAGCAUCAUGUUCACAUGCUUAUAUUGUUGUACGCACCCUGGAUUAAGGAGGUAGUUGCAACAGCCUUUCAACGGCUUGCUGGAUUAUUUUAUUAUAUAAACUAAAUUAGUUUCUGCCUAUAAAAUUGCAUCGGCACCCGUUAACACAGUAUCCAUUACCCUGUUGACUUGAUGCCAUUAUUUGAGCGAGGGAAAGAGGGACACGUGGAGGCCAAAGAAAAUGGUGGUAACUACCACUCUUGUAGAUAAAGUUUGUCAUAUAUAUAUAUAUAUAUNNNNNNNNNNNNNNNNNNNNNNNNNNNNNNNNNNNNNNNNNNNNNNNNNNNNNNNNNNNNNNNNNNNNNNNNNNNNNNNNNNNNNNNNNNNNNNNNNNNNNNNNNNNNNNNNNNNNNNNNNNNNNNNNNNNNNNNNNNNNNNNNNNNNNNNNNNNNNNNNNNNNNNNNNNNNNNNNNNNNNNNNNNNNNNNNNNNNNNNNNNNNNNNNNNNNNNNNNNNNNNNNNNNNNNNNNNNNNNNNNNNNNNNNNNNNNNNNNNNNNNNNNNNNNNNNNNNNNNNNNNNNNNNNNNNNNNNNNNNNNNNNNNNNNNNNNNNNNNNNNNNNNNNNNNNNNNNNNNNNNNNNNNNNNNNNNNNNNNNNNNNNNNNNNNNNNNNNNNNNNNNNNNNNNNNNNNAUGAGUGAUCGUGCGUGGAUGUACACCGGUCAAUGGAAGUAGACAACGACAGUGAAUUCGACUUCACCCUUCAGUUGGAACCAGUAGAGCUGGAACUAGAAGAGGUUACUGCUGCGAAUGACCUGUUAAUGCUUGACCGAUUACAGAAAGGCCUUCAAUAUGUUGAUGUCGGUGAACCCGAUGAGCACGUCAUUCAUGAUGACACGCGUGAUAGUGAUGAUGAUGAUGCAUUUAAUAAUCCCGGAGCAUAUAUAGACGAUCGAGACUAUUAUUAGUUUGUAUGCAUCCCAACUUAAAUUAUAUAUGUACAUAUUAUUCUUCAUGUUAGGUAUUCAAAUUUUUUUAUGUUGUACUACUUUCUUUUACUCUUUGUCAUGGCAUGUGUUGAAAGAUGGUGGGCGCGGGUCCAGAUCGCUUGGCGGAUACUUCAUAGGCGGCCCGCAGGAGGGGUCCGUCCAUUCCACACCUAUCUCUCCAUAGAGUGUUGGCAGCCAGUCUGGGGACACCCGUUGGUGCUUCUUCGCCGGUUGUGUUGCCCACCGGGAGAGGAGGUCGGGUAGGGAAGAAGGCGAAGGGUACAUGACGUGGUCGUGGGAGAGUUCGCGGACUGCUACGCCAUCCUCGCCGCCACCCCCAGCUCAUUCACCUGAGCACAGAACUACUAGGGUGGAGCCAUUUGAGGUGGAGGCUAUGGGAACUCUGGACCACGAGCCUCGGGUCGACAGGCCUUCCGCCCAUGAGACUCCGGUUCCAGAGGCUUCGGCCCACGAGACUCUUGUACCAGGGGCUAUGUCCCAGGAGACUCUCGCCCAGAGGGUUCGUCCGGAUGGGGUACCUGGUCGGAUCGGACCGAGGGGCCAGGGUGGCACUAGUAGAAAAUGGUCCAUUUGUCCCGAUUUCAGAGGCCCAUUAGCCUCGGAUCUGGAACCGGGACUAAAGCGUGGGGACUAAAUCCCAAAACCUUUAGUCUCGGUUCGCUUACCAACCGGGACAGAAGGGUCUCCAUGUGGCCGCUGCGUGGAGCCCAUGCAAGAGGAUCUUUAGCCCCGGUUGGCCACACCAACCGGGACCAAAGGGCAUCCAUGCAUCAGCAUCUGGCAGGAGCUAGGUUUUUGGUUUUUAUGGGGGUGGGGGGUGGGGGUUUUGGAGAGUUAAUUUAGGGGUUUCAUAUUGUGUUAGCUAGCUAAUAGAGAGAAGUGUCCUCUCUUUCUCCGUGCUUGGUCGACGCUAGCUACUAUACAUAUAAAGAGAACUCGACGCUAGCUAAUAAGAAAAUGAAGGAAACCAUUAAUUACACAAGAUCGUCAUGCUGAACAUAUAUAGAGAGAAGUGACAUAUCUUUCUCUGUGCUUGGUCGAACAACAAGUUUUCGUAUACCUAUCUGAUGAUACUACAUAUAUACAAUAUAACAUCUUCUACAAUCCCUAACAUCAUCUACCUAAGAUCCAAUCACAAAUCCACAUGAUAUUCUCCGUCUUUAGGUAUGAUGUGGUCAAGAAAGAAUCCCGCCAAUUCCUCUUGAAUUGCUCGUAUGCGAUCAUAUGGUAGGAGUUCAUCCCGCAUCUGCGAGAUAUAAUUUAAAGAAGGGUCUCAAUACAUGCAUAUAUAUGAAUAAAACUCAACACAACUGAUGGUAAUAUAUAAAAUAAAAUUGUGAAUAUUAUUUACGUACUUCAAAUUGUUUCUCAGAGAAGCCCCACUCAGAGGUCGAGUGGCGAAUGAACUCACAUACGUAGUAUGCACAUAAAACAGUCCCUUCUUCCUGGUACAAGCACUUUACGAGAAUAGAGUUCAAUCAAACUGAUAAGCAAGCAUGGUAAUGAUAUAUUGAUGAAAAUUUGAAUCAAUUAUAGAUGCGUGGAACUAGCUAGUACUACUUACUAUGGGGUGCGUAAAUCGCAACUCUUUGUUUAGACCGGGAACCUACUUCGUGAUGAUCUAGUGUGAGUAAGGCUAGUCCUGUGUGGACGGAAACCAUGGUGGAAUAGACAAGGCCGCUUCUUCAUGGAUCCCUUGUGUAUGGAGCCCUCCAUGGACUCUCAUAGCCGUUACCAUCCGUGGGUUGAAGUCUACACUAACAUGGACGUACGAUAGCACCAUCUAUGAGAACCAUGCCAAAAAUCGUCAUGUCAACCUCAUGCGUUGGAUCUCCCUACCUUACUCCUUUACUUUACACUUGCAUGUUUUACUUCCCCCUGCUAUACUCUUAGAACUGUAUGUGUAGGGUGUACUUGACUUGCCAAAACUAUCAAAACUGGCCCUCAACUAAAACUGGGAAAAGGCUAAGGUUUUAUCUUGUCAAGUAGUCUAAUCACUCCCCCCCCCUCUAGACAUACUUUCCAUCCUACAUCAACGACAAACUACCUCAGCUUUGGUGCAUUAUCUAGACUCAUCAUGAAAUGUCCACACCGUAUAAUUAGGCUUAAAACCACUCCUCUGCAGGUGUUUAAUCAUUACAUCCUUUAUCCUAUUUUUAUAGUUGUUGCACCCAUGAUAAGGGCACCAGUUUGUUUCCUGGCCAUUUCCAAAUGCGGCUUUCACAAACUCCUUGGUUUUUAUAAACCAUUCUUUGGUCAUCUCUUUCUGACUAGUGUGACCGGAGUACAUCCACGCACAAUCACUCAUCUUGUCUGACUGCUAAAGACACUAUAUAUAUAUAUAAUUCAACAUGUAUAUUCAUUAGUUAAUCUAGUUUGUCAAUUUUAUUACAUCCAUGCAACCUACACGCUAAUAGGUAAAGGUAGGUCCUAAUUCCACCCGAGUAUGUGUAGAGUGAGUACGUUAUCCAUGCUCUACUCCAUUCCGAGACAAAAUUUCGGCACCACCUCCCCGUUGUUCUCCAAAUACACGUCUCGGAAAAAAGGUGAGAGAAUGUGCAUCACGAGAAUAAUGGGGAGGCGUUGUCGAAAUUUUGUCUUGGAAUAGGGUAGAGCAUGGAGACCAUACCCAAUCUACACAUCCUCGAACUGUCCGUGGAAGCGCUGGAAUAUCCGAAUAAGUUACAGUGAUAAAUAUGCAACUGAAUGCAUAUUUAUCGAUGCAACCCUUUCGGAUGGGAGACGCCUAGGUUACACGACUUAGCAUGAAAAUGAAAUCUAGUCACAUGAUUAAAACAACGUAGGAGGUGAAGGUGGAUUCAUAGAUCACCCUCAGCUGUAGAGGAAGUAGCCGAACAACGACGGGAUCACAUACCAAAAACUUCGACGACGAUGACUCCUGUAAAUUUUACCGAGUGAAAAAAAUAGAACAUCACAUCACAUAAAGCAUUGGCAGUUCAUACUAUGAGAAAAUCAUAUUGCUAAUUACAUCUCCUCUUCUCCUCCUCCUCUUCCUCUUCCUCUUCUUCUUCUUCUUCUUCUUCUUCUUUCCUUCUCUUCUUCUUCUUCUUCNNNNNNNNNNNNNNNNNNNNNNNNNNNNNNNNNNNNNNNNNNNUCUUCUUCUUCUUCCUCUUUCCUUGUCUUCUUCUUCUACUUCUUCUUCUUCUUCUUCNNNNNNNNNNNNNNNNNNNNNNNNNNNNNNNNNNNNNNCUUCUUCUUCUUCUUCUUAUUCUUAUUCUUCCUCCUCCUCCUCCUCCUUAUUUUCCUUUUUCCUCUUCUUUCUUCUCCACUUCUCCUCUCCUCCUCCUCCUCUUCUUCUUCUUCUUGUUCUUCUUCCUUCUACUUAUUCUUAUUUUGUUCUUCCUCUUUUUUCUUCUUUCUCUACUUCUUUUAAUUAUGACUAAUUAACUAAAACCUAUCACUAAUCUAAUUUAAUCUAGCACUAAACUACAUAUAUAAUCUAAUAUAACAAUUAAACAACAAAAAGGAAGAAAAAACAAAAACAAAAAGCUCAUCGGAGGGCGGUGGGUCGCCGGAGCGGCACGGUCAACACGAGGCCGAAGACGUGUCGGGGGUUGGGGUGAGUGGCGUCGGGGGCGGUGUAUUAACAGCUGCGUGGGGGAUUGUAAUAGCGAUCUAUCAAUGACAUCUUCCUGUCGCCACACGCAGGUGCAGGUGCCUGGUCUCGUGCCGGGAUGUCAUGUUGUGGUGUCAUCGGGGUGUAGUGUCGGGGUGUCACCGGGGUGUCGGGUCGGGGUGUCGUGAAGGGGNNNNNNNNNNNNNNNNNNNNNNNNNNNNNNNNNNNNNNNNNNNNNNNNNNNNNNNNNNNNNNNNNNNNNNNNNNNNNNNNNNNNNNNNNNNNNNNNNNNNNNNNNNNNNNNNNNNNNNNNNNNNNNNNNNNNNNNNNNNNNNNNNNNNNNNNNNNNNNNNNNNNNNNNNNNNNNNNNNNNNNNNNNNNNNNNNNNNNNNNNNNNNNNNNNNNNNNNNNNNNNNNNNNNNNNNNNNNNNNNNNNNNNNNNNNNNNNNNNNNNNNNNNNNNNNNNNNNNNNNNNNNNNNNNNNNNNNNNNNNNNNNNNNNNNNNNNNNNNNNNNNNNNNNNNNNNNNNNNNUCGGGGUGUCGUGAAGGGGGCUUGAUACGUGUCCAACGUAUCUAUAAUUUUUUAUGGUUCCAUGCUAUUAUCAUGUCAACUUUGGAUGUUUUGUAUGCAUGAAUAUGCUAUUUUAUAUCUUUUUUGGGACUAACCUAUUAACUCAGUGCCAAGUGCCAGUUUGUGUUUUUCCGUGUUUUUUACCUUUUUCAGAGAAGAAUAUUAAAUGGAGUCCAAACGGAAUAAANNNNNNNNNNNNNNNNNNNNNNNNNNNNNNNNNNNNNNNNNNNNNNNNNNNNNNNNNNNNNNNNNNNNNNNNNNNNNNNNNNNNNNNNNNNNNNNNNNNNNNNNNNNNNNNNNNNNNNNNNNNNNNNNNNNNNNNNNNNNNNNNNNNNNNNNNNNNNNNNNNNNNNNNNNNNNNNNNNNNNNNNNNNNNNNNNNNNNNNNNNNNNNNNNNNNNNNNNNNNNNNNNNNNNNNNNNNNNNNNNNNNNNNNNNNNNNNNNNNNNNNNNNNNNNNNNNNNNNNNNNNNNNNNNNNNNNNNNNNNNNNNNNNNNNNNNNNNNNNNNNNNNNNNNNNNNNNNNNNNNNNNNNNNNNNNNNNNNNNNNNNNNNNNNNNNNNNNNNNNNNNNNNNNNNNNNNNNNNNNNNNNNNNNNNNNNNNNCCGUGGCUCCUUUGCCCUACCUCUUCCGUCUAAAAAUUCUCUAAAAAUCCAAAACCACCAGAGAGAUCCACGAAAAUACUUUUCCGCCGCCUUACCUCCGUGGCUCCUUUGCCCUACCUCUUUCGCCUUAAAGCAUUACUCUGUUCGUUAUGAACUCAAUACACUCGAUGCAUGCUGGAUAGUGGUCGAUGUGUGGAGUAAUAGUAGUAGAUGCAGAAAGUAUCGGUCUACUUGUCUCGGACGUGAUGCCUAUAUGUAUGAUCAUUGCCUUAGAUAUUGUCAUGACUUUGCGCGAUUCUAUCAAUUGCUCGACAGUAAUUUGUUCACCCACCAUAAUACUUGCUAUCAUGAGAGAAGCCUCUAGUGAACACUAUGGCCCCCCGGGUCUACUUCACAUCAUAUUUUCAGAUCUACACUUUUACUUUGUUGCACUUUCCACUUUCAGAUCUCACCUUGCAAAUAAUCGCGAAGGGAUUGACAACCCCUUUAUAGCGUUGGGUGCAAGUUUGUUUGUUUUUGCGCAUAGACAUUGGUGCCUCAUCUUGAUACUCCUACUGGAUUGAUACCUUGGUUCUCAAACUGAGGGAAAUACUUAUCGCUACUGUGCUGCAUCACCCUUUCCUCUUCAAGGGAAAAACCAACGCAAGCUCAAGAGGUAGCAAGAAGAAUUUCUGGCGUCGUUGCCGGGGAGGAUCAAGUCAAGAAUAGUCUCCCGUCAACGUGCCAAUUUUUGGCGCCGUUGUCGGGGAGUAUUCAAAGUGAAGCAUAUCCAAGUAACUAUCGCAAACUCAUCUCUUGCAUUUGCUUUAUUUUCCUUUUGCCUCUCGUUUUCCUCUUCCCCACUUAUGAAAAAACCAAAAUUUACAAAAAUAUUUACCUUUUUCGUUCACCCUUUUCUUUCGCUUGCUUUCUGUUCCCUUGUGUGCUUGUCUGCUUGCUGAGUCACCAUGACUGAAAACACCAAAUUGUGUGACUUCUAGAAUACUAAUUGUCGUGGUUUUGUCACGGCAGAUGUCCUCGUACAAGGACUUAGGUGUGAGGCCAUCGCAACCAUGUGGCGGCUUGAAGGGGUUGGUCGGAAUCGAGAGACACGAGUUUACCCAGGUUCGGCCCCUUCGAUGGAGGUAAAAGCCUAUGUACUGCUUGUGUUUCAUUGAUGAAGAUGAUGAUCUCGAUUACAAGGGUGUGGAAUCGCUACCUCUAAUCUCGAGGGUGUCUAAUAUAUCUCUCUCUUGACUUAUUUGUCUAAGAUCUGACUAUUGAGACCUCUAAAAAACCUAACCCUCUUGGGGUGCCUCGUCCCUCCUUAUAUAAGCUGAAGGGGCGAGUUACAUAUAGAGUCCAAGCCGGAUUUAGGCUUAGCAUAUUAUGACUCCCCAUCACGGGACUCUCUUCGUGGGCUUCUGAGUCCCGGGCGACUUACGGACGGAUUGCUGAGUCCCGGGCGACUUACGGACGGAUUGCUGAGUCCCGGGCGGCUUACAAACGGAUUGCUGAGUCAGGGGCGGCUCAGGACCGGGCUGCUUAGGAUCAGGCUUCUAAGGACCGGACUUCUUAGGACCGGGCUGCUCAGGACCGGGCUUCUCAGGAUGGGGCUGCUCAGGACCGGGCUCCUCAGGACCGGGCUGCUCAGGACCGGGCUGCUAAGGACCAGGCUUCUCAGGACCGGGCUGCUCAGGACCGGGCUUCUUAGCAUCGGGCUACUUAGGACCGGGCUUCUCUUCGAGACUCAUCUUCAGGGAAUCCGUGUGCCGGGUCAUACCACGAGGUAUAUCCCCAACAUUAGCCCCCAGGUUAGCUUGAAUUUAUUCAUGGUAAGAUCCUGAAAUAAGAAUAGCAAAUAUGCGAAGUGACCGGUUCUCUCCAUUAAUCGGUUUAUAAAGUAGCUCCUCAGAAAUCCAGUUUCCUCAUAAAUCCGGCCUCUUCUUCAUAUGAAUGAGUCGUCUUCACAAUCAUCUUGCAGAUCCAUGUCCUUUGCAAAAUAAGUACAUAUGCCAUUGAGUCGGCCUCCAAUGCUUUGGAUUGAAAAAAUUUGGGGAAUAAGAAACCCACACAAUGUUGAACCAGCUUCUCUUGCUUCGUCGGGUUAUGAUUGACAAUGGCGAGUCAUGAUCGCUAAUGGCGGGUCAUGAUUAUUGGUAAUGCCCCGUCAAACAACUGAACUUCAAUUGACUAUUUCCAAUUAUUGGGAAUAAAGAAAAUCCGUGUGAUGUUGAGCCGGUCUCCCAAUACUCCACCUUCAUGAUGAAAUGAAAUGUGCUCUUUAAUUUUAUGAUAUAUCCAUAUUACCUGUAGCCCCCAAGUGCCGGGUUGUCUUGCCUGCAGCAACCUGGGACUUUUAGAAAUUUUGAUCUGAAUAGUGUAGCCCCCAAGUGAUGAGUUGAUUGCUUGCGACGACUCGGGACUUCCACGUUCUUCUCCUUUGAAAAUAAAACAUCAUAUGAUGUAGCCCCCAAAGGGUCGGGUCUUUAUGCAAUAUUGAGCAGGGACUUUGUAGAUCUGUCUAUGUAAACUUCAGCGGCAAUAUGUAGCCCCCAAAGGCCGGGUCAUUAUAAAAAUGAUGAGCCGGCUCUUCCUUGAAUCCAUACUUGAACAAAGAGCGAUAUGUAGCCCCCCAGGGCCGGGUUAUCUCCUUGAGGUAGCCGGGUCUGUUGAUGAUGUGAUGAUUUGAAAAGCGGAUUGCAUUAGCCCCCAAGUGUCAUGGUGCAUGCUUGCAGCAACAUGGGACUUCCAUACCUUGAUGUAAUCUUGAUUUGAAUAAUGUAGCCCCCAAGUGUCGGGUUGUGUGCCUGCAGUGACUCGGGGCUAUUCCUCCCAUUGUAGAAUAAAAUCAUAUCCACUCUGUGAGCUGAUGAUGCCUUUGUGAUAAAAGAAAUCCUUGACCAUGGUUUGCAAUGUAACCCGACAAAUAUAUCCUUGAGAAAUCCAUAUGUUUGAGAAAUCCAUAAGUGUUGUAGUUUACUACAGAGCACAAGUUGAAGAAAUCCAAGGGCCGGUCAAUUAAGUGACUCGGCAUUAUAUGUGAUGGGGCGGCUCUUCGACAAUAGUCAAUUCUUCUAAGCUGGCUUAAUACCCCAAUCACUUAACUCUGGUUAUGAUAAACCAUGAUGAAAAUCCAGCUAAACUGGCCAUUCAAAGAUUUAUUUGCACCUGCAAGAAUGUAUGCUUUAACCCGGUUUUGAAGACCGGCAUGAUAUGUAUGUAUGAUGUAUGAUGCAAUGCAAAAUGAUGCAUGUAUAUGACAAAAUAUUGCUGGUUUAUGAGAUUUGAAUCUUACUUCAAUGAAACUAGCUUGUUAGCCACUGGUUUAUCCUCGCUCUCUGUAAGCCGGCACUCGCGACCAAUCGAUGUUUUAACCUCGAUAGUUCAGGGUCCAACUGGAUUGACAUAUCGAGAGUACAUGGGAUUCGGAGUAGCAUCAUGCAGACAGGCAGGUUUAACCAAGUUUCAAAGAAGGCGGCUUAAUAGCCCAUGGAAUAUCCUCGCUUUCUGUAAGCCGGCACUCGCGACCAAUCGAUGUUUUAACCUCGAUAGUUCAGGGUCCAACUGGAUUGACAUAUCGAGAGUACCCGGGAUUCGGAGUAGCAUCAUGCAGACAGGCAGGUUUGACCAAGAAGGUGGCUUAAUGGCAAAUGGAGUAUCCUCGCUUUCUGUAAGCCGACACUCACGACCAAUCGAUGUUUUAACCCGGAUAAGUUCAGGGUCCAUAUGGAUUGACUUAUCAUGAAACGGAGUACACGGGAUUCGGAGUAGCAUCACGCAGAUAGGAAGGUUUAACCAUGAACUCUUGCCAUUAAGCCGGGCACCCAUGUUUGUACUGCGCAUCAUGGCGACUCGUCCUCUUGGGCGAUUUUAAAAUGCCCGCCAAUGAAGCAAUAGCCCUUGGAGCCGGGUUAUCUUGCCUGUAAUGACCUGAUGUUCUUGAAUUAUUCAGCCUGGUUGGAUCUGGCGAGCCAUGUAUUUAUAGCCCCCGAGUCUUAAGUCGACUCAAGGAGGCGGCUUGAGAGUCUUCAUACUUGACUGCGGCAUAAACCGGAGGAGAAAAAUGCUGGUACCCGCUCCAUCUGAUGUGUUGAUGUAGAUUGGACCGUGGGGACGACGGCUUGUGCACAUCUGUUGGGCGGCUUUAUAAGUGAGCACUGCACGAUAUGUUGAUGUAGACGUGGAAGUCAGCCGCGACGUUUGAAACCAGCUUGGUAACACAACCGAGAUAAUAGUUUGUGGCGUUGUAAGCCUUCUUAGUUGCGCUGACGUGAGUGUAAGUCGUCUCGGUUAUGCGGACGUGACAGUUGGCCGCAUCAUUUGUAAAUAGGUGCUCGCAGCGAGUUGUCCGUCAAUUAUGAACUGGCAUGGACGGCGAGUUGGCCGCGGUAUUGUAUGCCGGCGCAUGAGUCCGUUGAGCAAAGCCAGUAAUCUUAUAUCACAUUUGUAAUGAGUACUUGUCCUGCGUAGAAAAAUAAUGUAGACAAAGUAAUUGUCCUUUUGAAAGAAUUAGACAUACUGAUAAAAUAUACUGGAUGAAUAUCACGUGAUAUAUUUGACUUAGCCUGUUUAGCUGCCCCAUUCUAGAUGAACUACGGGUGGCACUUGAUGCACGCACAGGGCACGAUCCAUCCAUCAGCCAUCCACCAUCUAUCCAUGCACACAAUUUAUGCACGGGAAAGAUUCAUCAAGGACCCAAGUAGCCAAGGGAGCCGCACACAUCAGCCAGACACGAGGCGAGCGGGAAUAGCGCAGUAGCAGGAACUGGAUGAAGGUGAGGCCGUGAUGAUGUAGGGUGGAGUUGACUACGUCACGGCGGGUCAUGAUGUAUCGGGCCAGGCGAGGCAAAGCCGGCCGACUCGUCGCGCGGCGACGGUGGAUGGUGCAGCGGCGACUAUGGGCACAUCGGCGGCUCAUGGCAUGGCGGAGGAUGUAAGCGGACGGCGGCUCAAGGCACAUCGGCGUGUUGCGGCGGCAGCGAGGCAGAGCGUGGUGAAGCAGGGGCGAACGAGGCCGAGGUCGAAGUGGUGAGGAGUUGAUGAGGCGCGGUUGAUGCAACAUCUAUGGCGGAGGGUAGCAGCGGGAGCAGGGCAAGGCGACUUGAGGCGAAGCUGAGGUGGGUGGCUCGGAGACCGAGCCGACUGGGGCAUGACAGAGCAAGACAACGACACGACCAGCGCGGGCAUUAUGCUCACACGGGGGCGGCUCAAGCGACGAGUCUCGCGACGAGUGCGCGGCGCUGACGGCGAAGCAGCGGCUGAGCCGGCUAGGGGCGACUCGCGGCGAGGGCGAGAUGAGCCAGAAGGAGGCGACUCGGGUCGUGGCGUUGCCCGCCCGCAACAGAGGUGGAGCUCGUAACAACGACUCGGUCGGGGCGGCUCAGAGCUCUCAGCCAUGGUAGAGGCGAAGCGAAACCAUUGCAGAGGCAGAGCUCGCGGCGGUAGCUCAGGUGGGGCGGCUCGGCGGCGUUGGUUCGUGGCAGAGACGGAGCUCGCGACGGCGGUUCGUCCGGGACGCUCGGCGACGUCGUCCCGUGGUGGAGGCGAAGCUUACGACGGCGGUUCGUCCGGGACGCUCGGCGACGUCGUCCCGUGGUGGAGGCGAAGCUUACGACGGCGGCUCGGCCGGGACGGCUCAACAAUGUCAAUCCAUGAAGGAGGCAGAAACAGCGGCGGCGGCUCAGGGCGCGGACGACGGCUGGCAUCACCAGUUCUUCAAAGUGCAACGACGACUCGAGGCUGACGUCGAGCGGCAACACCCGCGGCCGAUCACAUCAGCCCAUUAACGAUUGAUUUGAGAUGACUCGGAGGCGGCGACUCGAGGCCACCUCAGACCGAAGAGCAGAUGACUCGCCCUUGCCGCUCCAGCCGGCCUCCGUACAGAUCGCUUUGGGUGGUGGCGAGCCGUCAAGCACGACAGCAAUAUAGGCGGGACGCAGUGGCGGCUCGGCCGGGGCGGUUGACAAGACGACAGCGGAGGACAGCGGCGGGUCGAGGCGAGGUGACCGGCGGCUUGGAAACGAGGCCGACCCUGAGCACAAUUGAGAGAGGCGCCCGCGGAGGCGGGGUGCGGCCAUGGCAACGAGAGCAGCAAACACGACGGAGUCAUCACGAUAAGGCGGAUCGAGGCAAAGGGGGCGACGUGUGAGGAGCUUGAUCCGCGUCGUCGCCCCAAAAUUCCUGACCACAGCCUUGCUCCGAGUGGGCAGAAGUAGCAGUAGUUUUACUGUAUAUGUGCUCCUUCUAAUUCUUUUUAUGCGCAUAACCUUCAUCCUCUAAUCCUUAUGAAGACCAGUACUUCUCAUCUCCUGCACCUUCUGAUUGGGGCCUGGGAAGCUUCUUCCUUAUCCUUCGUGUAUACCAGAAUCACAACAACAAGAAGCUAGUUAACACAUUGUAAGUAAACGCGUCAACAAGGGUGAGCGCGGCGAGGAGACAACUCGCGCAAAGCGAUGCACGGGUCGAGAAACGGCGCAACGAACGCGACGGGGCAGGUCGGCGAGGAUGCAGCUCGCGCGGGAACGGCUCAGGGUGCGGCGGGGGCGGCGAGGAUGCACCAGUUGAUCGUGUUGGAUGUUUCUGAUCCCCCAGGCUUGGACGGUUGUAUGUUGAGCAGCGACGAUGACUCAUAAAUUGCGUCGCUGUAAUCCGACUCGCACAAGGGCUGUUUUUGACGCGCCUGCUUCACUUGAUGGAAUCGAAUCAAACGGAAUAGAUCUGGGUCUCGGUGAGAAUUAGACAUCAAGCGCACAGUCCGCCAUGAAAAAGGAGUUGACGUAAAUCUUUCUGAGUCAGCUCUUCCUCGUUCGAUAAAUCGCGAACUCCUUAACCCUGAUAAUUUCCCUUCAAGAACACAAAAUCAUCGUGCGACAAGCCCCACGGUGGGCGUCAACUGUCGUGGUUUUGUCACGGCAGAUGUCCUUGUACAAGGACUUAGGUGUGAGGCCAUCGCAACCAUGUGACGGCUUGAAGGGGUUGGUCGGAAUCGAGAGACGCGAGUUGACCCACGUUCGGCCCCUCCGAUGGAGGUAAAAACCUACGUCCUGCUUGUGUUUCAUUGAUGAAGAUGAUGAUCUCGAUUACAAGGGUGCGGAAUCGCUACCUCUAAUCUCGAGGGUGUCUAAUCUAUCUCUCUGUUGACUUAUUUGUCUAAGAUCUCACUAUUGAGACCUCUAAAAAACCUAAACCUCUUGGGGUGCCUCGCCCCUCCUUAUAUAAGAUGAAGGGGCGAGUUGCAUAUAGAGUCCAAGCCGGAUUUAGGCUUAGCAUAUUAUGACUCCCCAUUACGGGCCUCUCUUCGUGGGCUUCUGAGUCCCGGGCGACUUACGGACGGAUUGUGAGUCCCGGGCGACUUACGUACGGAUUGCUGAGUCCCGCGCGACUUACAAACGGAUUGUUGAGUCCCGGGCGGCUCAGGACCGGGCGGCUUAGGACCGGGCUGCUUAGGACCGGGCUUCUCAAGACCGGGCUUCUUAGGGCCGGGCUGCUCAGGACCGGACUACUCAGGACCGGGCUUCUUAGGACCGGGCUGCUCAGGACCGGGUUUCUCAGGACCGGGCUGCUCAGGACCGGGCUUCUCAGGACCGGGCUGCUCAGGACCGGGCUACUUAGGACCGGGCUUCUCAAGACCGGGCUUCUUAGGACAGGGCUGCUCAGGACCGGGCUGCUCAGGACCGGGCUUCUCAGGACCGGGCUUCUCAGGACCGGGCUGCUCAGGACCGAGCUUCUCAGGACCGGGCUACUCAGGACCGGGCUUCUGAGGACCGGGCUGCUCAGGACUAGGUUACUCAGGACUGAGCUUCUCAGGACCGGGCUGCUCAGGACCGGGCUGCUCAGGACCGGGCUACUCAGGACCGGGCUUCUUAGCAUCGGUAUACUUAGGAUCGGGCUUCUCUUCGAGACUCAUCUUCAGGGAAUCCGUCUGCCGGGUCAUACCACGAGGUAUAUGCCCAACAUUAAUAAUAAUGAUUUUAUUAGUACUCCGAUUGCUCCCGUUACUAGUACGGAAUCAUAUGAAAUCAAUGCUGCCUUGCUGAAUCUUGUUAUGAAAGAGCAAUUUUCCGACCUUCCUAGUGAAGAUGCCGCAUGAUACGUCUCCAUCGUAUCUACUUUUCCAAACUCUUUUGCCCUUGUUUUGGACUCUAAUUUGCAUGAUUUGAAUGGAACUAACCCGGACUGAUGCUGUUUUCAGCAGAAUUGCCAUGGUGUUGUUUUUGCGCAGAAAUACAAGUUCUCGAAAUGACUUGGAAAUUUACGAGGAUUUUUUGUGGAAUAUAUAAAAAAUACUCGCGCAAGAAUCGCCUAGAGACGUGGAGCCAGGAGGCCACAAGCACAGGAGGCGUGACCCCCUUGGCCGCGCCUGGCAGGCUUGUGAGCCCCUCGUGGCUCUGCCGCCUCCAGUUCCAGCUCUAUAUAUUCUCUCUCGCCCGGAAAAAAAUCAGAGAGAAGAGUUCAUCGCGUCUUACGAUACGGAGGCGCCGCCACCACCUGUUCUUCCUCUGGAGGGCAGAUCUGGAGUCUGUUUUGGGCUCCGGAGAGGGGAAAUCGUCGUCGUCGUCAUCACCAACCUUCCUUCAUCGCCAAUUCCAUGAUGCUCUUUACCGUUCGUGAGUAAUCUCAUCGUAGGCUUGCUGGACGGUGAUGGGUUGGAUGAGAUCUAUCAUGUAAUCGAGUUAGUUUUGAUGGGGAUUGAUCCCUAGUAUCCACUAUGUUCUGAGAUUGAUGUUGCUACUACUUUGCUAAGCUUAAUGCUUGUCACUAGGGCCCGAGUGCCAUGAUUUCAGAUCUGAACCUAUUAUGUUUUCAUCAAUAUAUGUGUGUUCUUGAUCCUAUCUUGCAAGUUGUAGUCACCUACUAUGUGUUAUGACCCGGCAAUCCCGGAGUGACAAUAGCCGGAACCACUCCCGGAGAUGACCAUAGUAUGAGGAGUUCAUGUAUUCACAAAGUGCUAAUGCUUUGUUCCGGUUCUAUAUUAAAAGGAGAACCUUAAUAUCCCUUAGUUUCCAUUAGGACCCCGCUGCCACGGGAGGGAUGGAAAAUAGAUGUCAUGCAAGUCCUUUUCCAUAAGCACGUAUGACUAUAUACGGAAUGCAUGUCUAUAUUACAUUGAUGAACUGGAGCUAGUUACAUAUCUCCCCAUGUUAUAACUGUUACAUGAUGAAUGUCAUCCGGCAUAAUUAUCCAUCACCGAUACAAUGCCUACGAGUCUUUUCCUACUGGUCCUUGCUACGUUACUUUGCCGCUAUUGCUGUCGCUGCUCCAACUGUUACCGCUACUGAUGUCACUAUUGCUACUGUUACCAUUGCUACCGUUGCUAUCACACUACUUUGCCUCUGAAACUUUGUUGCAGAUACUAAGUCUUUCAGGUGUGGUUGAAUUGACAACUCAACUGCUAAUACUCUAGAAUAUUAUUUUGCUUCCCCUUGUGUCGAAUCAACAAAUUUGGGUUGAAUACUCUAUCCUCUAAAACUGUUGCGAUCCCCUAUACUUGUGGGUUAUCAAGACUAUUUUCUGGCGCCGUUGCCGGGGAGGCCUAGCUCUAUUCUCUGAGUCACUUGGGAUUUACGUCUCUUGAUCACUAUGAGGAAUCCGAGAGAUCCAAAAACUAAAGUCUUGCCCUCAACUAUGAGGACAGGUAAGGAACUGUCAUCUAGCUCUGCACUUGAUUCACCUUCAGUUAUGAGUAAGUUUGCGACACCAUCGCGUACUAGAAAUUUUGAUGUGUCGCUUGUGCUUGAUGAUGCAACUUCUGCUAUCCAUGAUGCUUGUGAUGAUGCUUUGCUUGAUACUGCUUUGCCACUAGGUGCAUUCCUUGAUGCAUAAAUUGCUAGAGUUGCUGCUGAAUGUGGUGAUACUUCUGAAACUGCUAAAAUUAUUGAAGUAGAACCUGUUGUUUCACCUGUUAUAACUAGCUCUCCUAGAUAUGAAUUGCCUGAUAUACCUGAGGGUUAUGUUAUGGAGGGAGAGGUAGCUGAGGACUUUCUUGCUUGUAAGGAUAGCUAUGAUCUUGAGAAUUUACUGCGCAAGUGGAAGGAAAAAUCUCUGAAUGCUAGAAUGAAAUACGAUCCUAAGUUUGCUACUUCACCCAUCUUUGUAACUGAUAAGGAUUAUGAAUUCUCUGUCGAUCCUGAGUUAAUCACUUUGGUCGAAUCUGAUCAUUUUCAUGGUUAUGACUCUGAAACGGUUGUAGCACAUCUUACCAAGCUGAAUGAUAUAGCCACCCUAUUCACGAGUGAGGAAAAGAUUCGCCAUUACUAUAUCCUUAAGUUGUUUCCUUUCUUGCUAAAGGGUGAGGCUAACACUUGGUUUACUUCUCUUGCUCUUGGUUGUGUGCGUAGUCCCCAGGAUAUGAUCUACUACUUCUUUGAGAAAUAUUUUCCUGCCCAUAAGAAACAAGCUGCCUUGCAGGAUAUAUAUAACUUUGUGCAGGUUGAAAAAGAGAGUCUCCCACAAGCUUGGGGGAGGCUUGUCCAGUUACUGAAUGCUUUGCCUGGUCACCCUCUUGAGAAGAAUGAAAUACUUGAUAUCUUUUAUAAUGGACUAACCGAUGCUUCUACGGACCACCUAGAUAGUUGUGCUGGUUGUGUUUUCAUGGAACGAACUGUGGAACAAGCUGAAACUCUAUUGAAUAAUAUCUUGAGCAAUGAUAAUGCUUGGACUAUUCCCGAACCACCACCGAAGCCAACUCCGAAGAAAAGAGGUAUUCUAUUCCUCAGUCCUGAAGAUAUGCAAGAAGCCAAGAAAUCUAUGCAAGAGAAGGCAUUAAAUCUAAAGAUGUUAAGAAUCUACCACCUAUCGAAGAGAUCCAUGGUCUUGAUAACCCGACACAGGUAGUAGAGGUAAAUUCUCUUCGUAGAUUCAAUGAGAGUGAUAUUCCCUUUGAUAAACCUGCUAGAUUAUGCUUAGAUGAUUUUGAUAACUUUGUUGUCAAACAACGAAGUUUCAAUGAUUAUGUUAGCAGACAAUUGGAACAGAAUGCUCGUAUGCUUAGUCAUUUAAGUGCUUGUGUGGAUAGAAACGUCAAUGAUCUUAAGCUUUUGAGUAAACACGCCUCUAUGGUCACUACUCAAGUAGAACAAGUACUUAAGGCUCAAAAUGACUUGCUCAAUGAGUUGAAUGACAAUUCUGUUAGAGUCGUCACUAGAGGUGGUAGAAUGACUUAGGAACCUUUGUAUCCUGAGGGCCAUCCUAAGAGAAGUGAACAAGAUUCUCAAGGAGUUAGCACGGAGGCACCUAGUCAUCCUAGUAAUAGGAAGAAAAGGAAAGAUGAUAGGAACUUGCAUUCUAGCAAACAUGCUGCCGUUACACCUGAGAAUCCAAAUGGUAUCUCUAAUUCUGAUGCCGAAACACAAACUGGUGAUGAACAUGAGCCUAAUGAUAAUAUCGAUAGUGAUGUUCAGGAUGAUGCUCAACCUAGUAAUGAUAAGGAUGUGGAGAUUGAACCUAGUGUUGAUCUUGAUAACCCACAACCUAAGAACAAGAGAUACGAUAAGAAUGACUUCAUUGCUAGGAAGCAUGGUAAAGAAAGAGAACCAUGGGUUCAGAAACCCAUGCCCUUUCCUCCCAAACCAUCCAAGAAAAAGGAUGAUGAGGAUUUUGAGCGCUUCGUUGAAAUGAUUAGACCUGUCUUUCUGCAAAUGCGUUUGACAGAUAUGCUCAAAAUGUCUCCUUAUGCUAAGUACAUGAAGGAUAUUGUGACUAACAAAAGGAAGAUACCCGAGGUUGAGAUUUCCACCAUGCUUGCCAAUUACACCUUCAAGGGUGGAACUCCUAAGAAACUAGGUGAUCCCGGAGUGCCCACUAUACCAUGCUCCAUUAAAGGAAAUUAUGUUAGAACCGCUUUAUGCGAUCUUGGAGCUGGUGUUAGUGUUAUGCCUCUCUCUCUCUUUAUCGUAGACUUGAAUUGGAUAAGUUGACACGCACUGAAAUCUCCUUGCAAAUGGCCGACAAAUCAACUGCUUCCCCUAUCGGCAUUUGCGAGGAUGUGCCUGUUGUGGUUGCUAACGUUACUAUCUUAACGGACUUUGUUAUUCUGGAUAUUCCCGAGGAUGAUGCCAUGGCGGUCAUCCUUGGAAGACCCUUUUUAAACACUGCAGGGGCUGUUAUUGAUUGCAACAAAGGCAAUGUCACUUUCCAUGUUAAUGGUAAUGAGCACACGGUGCACUUUUCAAAGAAACAAUAUCGAGUACAUUGCAUCAAUGCUAUUGAAAAAACUUCAUCGAUUCUUAUUAGGAGCUUUGAAAACCCUAUACCUACUGUCAAGAUGAAGUAUGACUUACUUGUUGGGGAUAUGCACAUCCCCGUUGAGGUAACAUAGUGAUUAUUCGAAAAUUCUCCGGUUUUAUGCGAUUCAAAAAAAGUUUGUCAAGGAGACUUGAUCAACCUCAUUGACAGAUUUCUUUUGAUGACCAUGAGAUGUAUGAAUCUAGGAGUCACAACCCUUUGUUCCGAACUUUUACUUUUUGUUGUUUAGAAGAAAAAUGAUAGAUUUAGCUUUAUUUUCCUGUUUUGUGCUUUUUGCGUCCCUUAGAAAAGUGUCCCAAAAAUAAAAGUUCUUCAAAUGCCCUAAAAAUCAAGUAUGAUUUUUUCUGGAUUUUUUGAAAAAUUCUGAGACACAGAGCUAGUCAGGGGGAUGCACCAGUGGGCCACAAGCCCAGGAGGCGUGGCCACCCCCUGGCCGUGCCUGGCAGGCUUGUGGGCCCCACGUGGCCCCCUCCACUUAUUCCAGCUCCCAUCUCCUUCUCCUACCUCCAGAAAAAAUCAUUCCACAACUCAAACCCGUGUUCUUGCUCUUCUUGCUGCGUUUUUCGAUCUCCUUGUGCAAAACCCCAUUCACCAAACUGUUUUGGGGGAAUUGUUCCUUGGUAUGUGACUCCUCCAUUGGUCCAAUUAGUUUUUUCUCUAGUUCUUUAUCCGUUGCAUAUUUUUGCUGCCUUGGUGACCCUGUUCUUGAGCUUUGCACGCUAAUUUUAGUUGGUCCCAAGUAGUUUUGAUGCAUGAUACGACCUCUAGGCACUUGAAGGAGUAGUUGCUAUGAGUUUUGUUGAGCCUUGUUCACUUUUCUUUUGUGUCACUAAAAAUUUCAGAAAAGGAAGAUGUUCAGGAGAAACUAUCAUGAUGGUUCCUCAAGGAAAAGGGGUCCCCGUCUCUCGAUUCGGGAGCCUGAUCCUUACCAACCAAGGAACGCACAUGUACAACCAUGUGAAUGGCCUUCUGAUGAAUUCAUGAUUGAUGCAGGUUUCAAAGACGAGUUUGAUACAUGUGUUCACAACGCCGGGCUCGAAGAAUUGAUCUCCAACAAAUGCGAACAUUAUACUACCCUCACUGCCUCUUUUGUUCGUAGAUUCAAAUUUUCAGUUGGCCAUGACGCAUCCAUACUGUUUGAUCUGUAUGACGAAUUGUAUACCAUGGAUUUAGAGGAUUUCAAUAGAAUUUGCAAGAUACCUGAUUGGGGUAGUCUCAGUGAUCCUCCUAAGUCUUCGGUUAGAGAUUUUAUCUCUAGUAUAACUGUUGGAGAAACUAGAGAUAUUACGCAGGCUACCAUGGGGAGCAUUCAUUUUCCUGCCUUGCAUUACUUUGCCCUCUCCAUAGGUAGAUGCAUUAACGGCAAGAUUGAGCAUUGUCACCUCUGCGCACCUGACCUUAGUAUUCUUAAGAGCGCAGUAACGGGUGAUAGAAGUUUCAACAUGGGAGCUAUAAUAGAGAGGAGGCUAAAUAAUAAUGCUAAUGAAGGGGAUUUCUUUGGUGGGAUCUAUGCCACUCGCAUAGCAAAUUUUCUUGGAGUACCCAUCCGCGAAGGAGAUCCCCGCUCCAUACAACUUUCCUUGAUCGCGCCGCUAUGACAUGUUAUUAGUUCCUUGAGAGGGAUAAUGAAUUCCUCCUAUACCGGUUAAUAUUUAACCGACAACGUAUUUUCCAUAUUACCCUUCCUGCUCCUGCCUUCUUUGACUUUCAGGUAAAACGGAGAUAUUACAUAACCAGAGGAGAGGCACAGGAGUAUGAGAGGGAGGCAAAGGCUGCUCGCCUCCGUGAGGCAGCUAUUCAGGCGGUAGCUGCCUGAUGACCCACAAGUAUAGGGUAUCUAUCGUAGUCCUUUCGAUAAGCAAGAGUGUUGAACCCAACGAGGAGCAGAAGGAUGUGACAAGUGGAUUUCAGCAAGGUAUUCUCUGCAAGCACUGAAAUUAUCGGUAACAGAUAGUUGUGUGAUAAGAUGAUUCGUAGCAAGUAGCAAGUAGCAAAAGUAAUAACGGUGCAGCAAAGUGGCCCAAUCCCUUUUGUAGCAAGGGACAAGCCUGGAGAAACUCUUAUAGGAGGUAAAAUGCUUCCGAGGACACAUGGGAAUUUCUGUCAAGCUAGUUUUCAUCAAGUUCAUAUGAUUCGCGUUCGCUACUUUGAUAGUUUGAUAUGUGGGUGGACCGGUGCUUGGGUGCUGCCCUUACUUGGAAAAACCUCCCACUUAUGAUUAACCCCUCUCGCAAUCAUCCACAACUACAAAAGAAGAAUUAAGAAAAAGUCUAACCAUAGCAUUAAACUAGUGGAUCCAAAUCAGCCCCUUACGAAGCAAUGCAUAAACUAGGGUUUAAGCUUCUGUCACUCUAGCAACCCAUCAUCUACUUACUACUUCCCAAUGCCUUCUUCUAGUCCCAAAUAAUGGUGAAGUGUUAUGUAUUCGACGUUCACAUAACACCACUAGAGGAAAAACAACAUGCAACACAUCAAAAUAUCGAACGAAUACCAUUUCACAUAACUACUUAUAGCAUGACUUAUCCCAUGUCCUGAGGAACAAAAGUGACUACUCACAAAACAUAAUAAUAUUCAUGACCAGAGAGGUAUUGAAUAGCAUCAAGGAUCUGAACAUAUAAUCUUCCACUGAGUAAUCCAACUAGCAUCAAGUACAAAGAGUAAUUAACACUACUAGCAACCUUACAAGUACCAAUCAGAGUCGCGAGACGGAGAUUGGUUACAAGAGAUGAAUAGGGUCUGGAGAUGAGAUGGUGCUGAUGAAGAUGUGGAUGGUGAUGAGUCCCCUCCGAUGAGAGGAGUGUUGGUGAUGAUGAUGGCGACGAUUUCCCCCUCCGGGAGGGAAGUUUCCCCGGCACGACGACCCUACCGGAACUCUAGAUUGGUUCUGCUCAAGUUCCGCCUCGUGGCAGCGGCGAUUCCUCCCGAAAGCCUCCUCUUGAUUUUUUUUGGAACGAAACCCUCCUUACAGCAAAAGAGGGGGGCCAGAGGGCCAACAGGGAGCCCACAAGCCCCCUAGGCGUGACCAGGGGGUAGGCCGCGCCUAGCAGGCUUGUGGCCUCCUACUGGCUCCCCUCUGGUACUUCUUCGACCCAGUAUUUUUUAUAAAUUCCAAAAUAAAUCCUCGUUGAUUUUCAUGGCUUUUGGAGUUGCACAGAAUAGGUAUCUCAAACUUGCUCCUUUUUCAGGCCAGAAUUCCAGCUGCCGACAUUCUCCCUCUUCAUGUAAACCUUGCAAAAUAAGAGAGAAAAGGCAUACGUAUUGUACCGUGAAGUGUAAUAACAGCCCAUAAAGCGAUAAAUAUCAACAUAAAAGCAUGAUGCAAAAUGGACGUAUCACUACCGCGCUCCCGUACAACCCCGAUUAUGAUUUUGGAUAUAGCCCGGACUAGCCGUGGGAGUAGUCCAACUUAGGCCAAAAGCCUAAGCUUGGGGGAGUACGUGUUUCUCACCGACUUUAUAUUCAUGCUUACACUUUCACUUUGUUAGUCAGUGUUCACACUUUGCCACUGUAUCAUCCAUGCUAGUUUAUUUCUUUUUCUCGCUUUCUUCUCAUGUGUUUGUUUAGUUUGAGAAAAACAAAUCAAAUUACUUGUAAGCUUGCUUUCCAGCUUGCUUAGUGGUGUUUAAAAAAAGGAAAACCCAAAAAGAUUUCCCGUUCUUCUUUUGCUUGUUGAGAGCUUUCCCGUGUAAAUAGUUUUCUUUGUCUUUGGGUCAAGGUAGAAGACCAUGGUUACAAUGUUUAGUGGCUCUCGCAUGCAUAUCUGUUUAUCCGUCAAAGAGCCAUAUUACUUUGUCUUCUUCUCUAUGUUUGCUUGCAGAUUCCAGCUUAGUCCAAUGCAUGGACACUCUCAUUAUGAUUCACAUCAUUCGGCCGUGCAAGUGAAAGGCAAUAAUGACGAUAUACGAUGAAGUGACUGAGCCUGGAAAAGCUGGUAUGAACUCGAUCUCUUUUGUUUUUGUAGAUAUGACUAGCUCAUCGUUCCUGAUUCAGCUUUUUUAUGAGAGAAACAUGUUUGCAAUGACAACUUAGAGAUCAUAGUUUCUGAUGCCAUGCUUAAUUAGCUAGGAGAUUAUAAUGGUUUGUCUUGGAUGCCAACAUGAAUUUCAAGAUGAUUAUGAUGUAGUAUGAUAGGAUGGUAUCCUCCUUUGAAUGAUUUAAGUGGCUUGACUUGGCACAUGUUUACGCAUGUAGUUGAAACAAAAUCAACAUAGCCUCUAUGAUAUUCAUGUUUAUGGUGAUUUAUGUCCUACUCAUGCUUGCACUCAAUGUUGGUUAAUUUCAAUGCGUAUUGAUAACUGUUGUCGCUCUCUAGUUGGUCGCUUCCCAAUCUUUUGCUAGCCUUCACUUGUACUAAGCGGGAAUACUGCUCGUGCAUCCACUUCCAUAAACCCAAAGUUGUUCCAUAUGAGUCCACCAUACCUACCUAUAUGCGGUAUCUACCUGCCGUUCCAAGUAAAUUUGCAUGUGCCACUCUCUUAACCUUCAAGUAAUUAUCUGUUUUGCAUUCCCGAACCGCUCAUGUGGUGACAAGGGGCGAUCAGUAUCUUCCAUGCUAGGCGUGUUAUCCUCGAUACGUGUUUAUUCACUAUCACUCACGAGAAAGGGGCCGGUAAUUGGAAUGCCCAGUUCCAUUCUCAAAUCGAAAAGAUAAUUGCAAACAAAACUCCCCCUGGAUUGUUGUUGGUAUGGACGACACCUUAGGAUUCGGCUAGUCGUGGAGUGUGAUUGGUCGGUGGUGGGGGAGUCAAAACUUUACUUUUUUCUUUGGGAACCGCCUAUAGUAUGUGUAGCAUGGAAGAUGGUGAAAACUCUUGGUCAUCGCGUUGACAAUGAAAGCAUGCCACCCAAAAUUAUUUAUCUCUGUCUUCAAAGCUUGCAUGCNNNNNNNNNNNNNNNNNNNNNNNNNNNNNNNNNNNNNNNNNNNNNNNNNNNNNNNNNNNNNNNNNNNNNNNNNNNNNNNNNNNNNNNNNNNNNNNNNNNNAUAUAUAUAUAUAUAUAAUUCAACAUAUAUAUUAAUCACUUAAUCAAGUUUUUCAAUUUUAUUAUGUCCAUGAAACCUGCAAGCUAAUAGGUAAAGAUAGGUCAUAAUCCCACCUGAUUAUGUGUAGAUUGGGUUCAUUUUCCUAUGCUCUGCUCCAGAUCCGACGCAAAAUUUCGGCAGCAUCUCCCCUCUGUUCUCCUAAUACACGUAUCAGCAAUAAACAGAGAGGAUGUGCACCUGGAGAACAACAGGGAGGCACUGAUGAAAUUAUGCAUCGGAUCCNNNNNNNNNNNNNNNNNNNNNNNNNNNNNNNNNNNNNNNNNNNNNNNNNNNNNNNNNNNNNNNNNNNNNNNNNNNNNNNNNNNNNNNNNNNNNNNNNNNNNNNNNNNNNNNNNNNNNNNNNNNNNNNNNNNNNNNNNNNNNNNNNNNNNNNNNNNNNNNNNNNNNNNNNNNNNNNNNNNNNNNNNNNNNNNNNNNNNNNNNNNNNNNNNNNNNNNNNNNNNNNNNNNNNNNNNNNNNNNNNNNNNNNNNNNNNNNNNNNNNNNNNNNNNNNNNNNNNNNNNNNNNNNNNNNNNNNNNNNNNNNNNNNNNNNNNNNNNNNNNNNNNNNNNNNNNNNNNNNNNNNNNNNNNNNNNNNNNNNNNNNNNNNNNNNNNNNNNNNNNNNNNNNNNNNNNNNNNNNNNNNNNNNNNNNNNNNNNNNNNNNNNNACCCUUUCGAACGGGAGACGCAACGCACGUCCUAGUUCACCUAGUCGAAGAGAUUACCAUUCUGGGUCCUAUAUUUCUACACAAUAUGUUCCCCUUUGAGAGGUUCAUGGGAGUCUUAAAUAAAUAUGUCCAUAAUCGUGCUAGGCCAGAAGGAAGCAUCUCCAAGGGCUAUGAAAUAGAGGAGGUUAUUGAGUUUUGUGUUGAAUUUAUUCCUGACCUUAAGUCGAUUGGUGUUCCUCAGUCGCGACAUGAGGGGAGAUUGAGUGGAAAAGGUACUCUAGGAAAGAAAGCAGUAAUAAGUAUGGAUGGGCAUUCUUUCACUCAAGCAAACUACACAGUUCUACAAAAUUCCACCUUGGUGGCUCGUGUAUCAAGGAACACAUGGAUAUUGUACGCUCCAAGAACCUGGAGCAGUCUGACUCCUGGAUUAAACAUACACACAUGGCGACUUUCGACGGUUGGUUGCAAACACAUCUCAUGAAUAACACCACUAUUGGAGAUGAGUUGUACUUGUUGGCCAAGUCACCACUUCGACUAUAUUUACUUUCAAAGGGUACGAGAUUAAUGGGAAUACAUUUUACACGAUCGCCCAAGAUAAAAAGAGCACCAAUCAAAAUUGUGGUGUUCGCUUUGAUGCAACAUACACCAAUGGGAAAAAGGACACAUAUUAUGGUUACAUAGAGGAGAUAUGGGAACUUGACUAUGGACGUUAUUUUAAGGUCUCUUUGUUUCGGUGCAAACGGGUCAAUCUGACACAAGGCGGGGUAAAGGUAGACCCGCAGUACGGAAUGACAACAGUGGAUCUCAACAAUCUUGGGUACACAGAUGAACCAUUCGUACUAGCCAAUAAUGUGGCUUAGUUUUAUAUGUGAAGGACAUGUCUACCAAACCGAGGAAAACAAAAGAUAAGGAAGCGAAUACAUCAUACAAUGAGCCAAAGUGUCACAUAGUUAUUUUAGGGAAAAGAACCAUCGUCGGAUUAGAGGCCGAGAUAUACAUGUCAGAAUAUUAUAAUAAGUUUGAUGAAAUUCCUCCCUUCAAAGUGAACACUGACCCGAGCAUCCUGUUAAAUGAUGAAUAUUCUUCAUGGUUAUGGCGCAAUCAUAAGCAAGGGACAUACGCGAAGACAAAAUCUUAUACCCCAAGAUCCCACUCUGGCUUCACCGUCAUCACUUUCUCUCUAAUGAGUUUCCGGACUUAUAGCUGGAAACUCCCACUUCGAACAAACCGGAGGGAAUCUUUGUAACAGUUAGGGUAUACAUGUGUUUUGGGUGUUCCUAGGGGUUACCCUAACACAAGCAAGCAAAAAAGUUUCGCUUUGCUACCCCCUUCCGACGUCGGAAUCUUUGAAAGAGCUAGGGCAUUUUGACAUUUGAAACAUGAUUUUUGAAUAAUUAUUUAUGAAGUUAUCAAUUUUCAAAAAUAGAAAUUAUUCCUAUCCUUUUAGUAUUUUAAUUAUACAAAGGAGUUAAUCAAUGCAAUUAUGUCCAAACAAAAUAUGAAUGUGUAGUUUAUGUUAAGACAAACAAUUUGACACCUUAUUUGCUUCAUUUGGCUUAACAGAACUGAAGAUAUGAAUUUUUAAAGUUUAAAACAAUGUCUUCAAUUACAAUAUUUAAUUAACAAGUACAAAAUUAAUUAUGAAACUUCAUGUCAAAAUGAUACUAGUUGAUAGAAAUCUUCAAGAUGAAUCCAAAGAAAUUUGAAUCAACUCAUUUGGUUUAGUUUUCAAUGUUAUGCAUUUUAGAAGAAUUAAUUUCAAUCUAUAAAACUGAAUCUGUCAAAUAAUGUUUUCAAAAUGAAAAUUAGAACUCCUCGUGUUGACUAACAAAAACAUAAUAUAAUUUGGCAAAAGAAUAACAAGAAAACAGAAACUAAAAUAAUUUAAACAAAGGAAAAAAGGUAUAAAACUAAAAGAGCUAAACAUAAUCUGUUUUUGGUUAAAACACCUAUUGAAAAUAUCAUAAAAAUUCACAAGUUGAACAUACUGAUAAAACACACUAAUAUUAAACAGCAGGAAAGAGAAUCACUCAAAAAUCUAUAUUCGAACUAAAGUUAUUCACACAAAUUUCAAAGAAUUUAAAUUUAAGCUAUUCAAAUUUGAAAACUACUCGCACUAAUAGAAAGUUUAUAAUUUUUGUUACCUAAAGCAAAAAAAUCACUCAAAACCUCUAAAUAUUCUAAGAGUUUUACCUAAAAUUUUCUACAUAAAAAAGAAUCACUUUAAAAUCUAUUAUCAAACUCUAAAUACGAAGAAAACCUUUAGUCCCGGUUGCAACCACUAGCCGGGACUAAAGGUUCCUUAUUCCGCGUGAAAUUUGGGCCACCGAAUAGGUAGUCCUUUAGUCCCGGUUUUUGGCUGGAGCCGGGAUUAAAGGACCUUUAGUCAUGGUUCGUGGCUAGAACCGGGACUAAAGGUCUUGUGUAUAUAUCUGUCCCGGUGCGAGCCACCGCCUAGGAGAAGGAUCAGAUCAAACCACCGCCCUCGAGCACCAUCGUCUUCACCAUCGAUCAUCAGAACUCCUCGUCGAUGAUUCGCCAUGUUUAGGAUCUCCCCGAGGAAGCCUGACCCUUCACUAACCCCCUCCCCCCCGGUGAGCUCCUUUUCUCUUCCCCUCGUCUUCAACGCUCGAUUUGGUAUGUAGGUGCCCUCUCCGCCAUGGACGAACCUCGGUGUCGUCGUGCCUCGUCACUGCCAUUGCCAGGGCCAGCGAAGCUCUUUUUCGAGCGUAUGAGCAUGCUUAAUUUGCGCCUAGGAGCCGAGCGCCCCUAGUAGCUUGUCGCGCUGCGCCUUGAAGUGUCGGUCGCUUCGAUCUCGUGGCCGCGCCACCGCCACUGUAGUCGCCGUCGGCGACUCCGGUCGUCCCCAGAGCCCCUCCUUGGCCCACUCGAUACGCGAGACCAAAGGCUACACCCUGGUUCUGUCCUUCAGCGUCCCCACGGCCUCUGGAGCGGACUUCGUCGCGUCGAGUAGUCGCCGGCGACGACCUCGCCAACCUAUGUCACUGGCUGAUGGGCCCCGUCGUGAGAUUUCACUUGGAGCACCCAGUUGACCCGGUGAUGUCAUGCACAUACCAUGAUGAUGCGGUAAAUGUUUUCUGGAAUCAAAAUAAAUCAGAAAUGAUUUAUUAUAUUUUAGAAAAUGUUUAAAACUUCAAAAAAUCAUAGAAAAUAGUCUAUAACUCGUAUAAAAAUAAUCUAUAUGUGAAAAAUGAUCAAAAAUCAAAGAAUCUGUUUAUGCAAUUAUCAUGCAUGUUUGAACAAGUUAACAACACCAACUAGGACAUUUUAUGAUUAGGGAAAUUUAUGAAAGAACAUUUGAAGUUGGAAUUUGAACUAGGUUUGAAUUCCACUUCAAUUAACUUGGACUAUUGUUGCAUUAGGCCAAUUCGGUACCUUAACGUGACACACCAUUCAUUAUGGUUGUGCAUUGCAUUGAAUGUGUUCAUUUCCUUGUUUGCCUAUGUUGUUUUCUCUCGGUAGACAUUAUUUCGGCGUUGAGAACGAUGUCACUAAUGAAGUGCAGUUCAUCUUAAUUAUAUGUGGGUUUAUUGAAUGGUAGUUUUUGCUUAUUGAAUACAUUCUAAUUUAAAUACUAAAUUGUUUUAUCUUUCUUCUGUAUUAGUUAAUCUAUGGAUGAUAGCGGCACAUACCAUGAAGAUGACAUCUUCGCCAUCAUACGCUCCUCCCGAAACGAGAAUGAACAAGAUGACGGCUCACAAUAUUUGAACGAGUCUGGUGAGGGACUUGAGCAAGAACCAAGAUACAAAGGGCAAACAAACGAUGACGGCAAAGAAAAUGUUAGAAAAUUAACAAAGUCCGACGAGGUAUAUACAUAUUAAGCCUCUAGUGAUCACUAGAUGUAUUAACUGAUUUGUGUAUAUAUUAACAAAUCUUCCUUCUUUUAGGCCUCCGGAUCGAGCCAAUCUCCUAGAAGGGUACGAGGCCAGGCCAAAAGUUGGGCGAUGACAUAAAUUUCAACAUUGAUGAAGUCGUAGAAGAUGGAAAACCGAUUGCUCGUGAACAGAAUGCCCAUAAAUUUAUAAAUCUAUGUGAAGUUAUUGUUAGGGACCAAAUCCCGGUCACGAUUCGAGAAUGGAAUAAGCCAAAGGUAGAUCCAGGAGUUAGUUAUGUCGACGAAAGAUCGAAAAAAUCACUUUGGGAUAUGCUCAUGUCACAUUUCAACCUACCAAGGGGUCUCACAAAUAGAAAACGGUUGAAAGUCAAGCAAUUUUCUCUUAAGAAGAUGGCCACACAAUUCCAGAGCUGGAAGAAAAGAUUAUACAUCGACUACAUCAAGGCAAAAAAGAAGACUCCGGAAUUCACUCGAGCACUAGAGAAGACAAAAGAUCAUUGGGACGCAUUUGUGGACUACAAGGAGCCGGUUGAAGCUCUGGAAAGGUCGAGAAAAAUAAGAUAAAUGCUGAAAAAAAGCAGUAUCACCAUGUUAUGGGGACAGUUGGCUACAAGAGAAGCGUGCCUAAGUGGGAAGCAGGUGAGGCCAAAAUGGUUGCAGAAGGGGUCAUUCCAGCUAUAAUGGAUUGGCCUGAGAGGUCCAAGACUGGGUUUUAUGUGUAUGGGGGAAAGUUAGACCCAGCGACGGGGAAAAUUAUUCUAAAGGCAGAUCUUAAAAUAGCCUUGGAUGCUUUACUUCAAGCAAUAGAAGAUGCUUGAAAGGGGUUGUUCCAGCCCGAGAGAGAGAACGACGAGCUUACACACACCCUCAAGAAUCUUGAACACGGAGGACGAACACGAGGCAAAGGCGUUGUUCCGUGGGUUCACGAGUUUUUGGAGUGGAACUACACUUAUAGAAGCCGUCGGAGAAAAAAGAAGCACGAUGCAAACCAGAUUUAAAGGAUAGAAACAAAGAAUGAGGAGUUGCACCGCAUGUUAAAGCGACAGCAGGAGCAACUGGACACAAUUAGCCAGCAAAGGGCAUCUCCGUGGCAGGAGCAAGAAGAUCCAUCAUUGGAUAGUAACGUCACAUCUAUGCGGAAAAGCAGCAUGGGUUCCACUGGGGUCCGGACCGAUGAUGCACUGUUGGCUCGCUACCCCGUGGAUGAUAUCAAAGAAAGGACAGAUUGUGAGCUACACCAGAAAAUGAAGAACAUAUCCAUGAAGGUGGCGGUCAGCGUUGCUUUACCUAAUGCACCUGAAGCAACCAAUCCAUGGUAAUCCGAUUCCACCUAACUAUGCUAAAGUGGGGUACAUGAAGUUCUGUCUGGAUGUGAGUCACUAUAGCUUGACAUUCCUGGAGGUGAAGGGGAGCAGACACUAGGAAAAGUCUAACAUGUGUCAUUUUAUGGAGAAAAGAAUGCAUCGUGUUUCCAAACUCGGCGCCAAGGUCACCGACUCCUUGGAGUAGCAAUACACCUCUAAGUCCACCCCACGUCAAGGAGCCCAGCGCAAGUCCUAUCGAUCUCCGCCGCGUUAGCCGACUCCACACCCCCUAUGUCCUAGCAGGGCCAAAAGCGGAAGACCACCGCUCCGUCAACUAGUCCUAUUCGCAAGAAAGCUACAAGAAAGAAAGCCAAAGGCGAGCCUCCUGCCGAAAAUAAGUUAGCUUACAAUAUGACUAGUGAGGAAAUCAAAAUGGUCAUGGAUUCUGAAGUGAAGUCUCAUUUUGCACUGAAACCGCCUCCGCCGCCAAAGGAGAUAAUACCUAACAAAACCAUAGAGCACUUUGUGAAAUUUCUUGGACGGCCCCCGACACAUGUGGAGGAUAGGCCAUCAGACUAUGACCAAUGUAUCAGGAAGUCAUAUAAUGAACAAACGCAGCAGUCAAAACAUAGUAAUAAAAGAGGGCAAGCAGUUCCCCAGCUCGGAGAACAGGCAAUGCAAUGCCCCCCCCCCUCAAGGUGAUUACCAAUAAGGUAACCGACGCUGCUAGAAAUAUUGGUAUCAGUGUUGACCAACUCCUAGGCAACGAGGAAGUCCCCGUGACUGAAGUAGCAUGGCAAUAUGCCCCGUGAAAGCUCUGGUCAGACCUGAGCAGGUCCCAAAUCUAUCAACACGAAUGCAAAGAUUGCAUGAGUGAUACAUGAAAGAAGUUGCCAACGGACGAGUGAUGCUCAUGGUGAAAGUCAAGAAAGGGCUUACUACUAUGAAAAUGAGCUAUGCAUAAUGUUUGACGAAUUGUUUCAGUUAUACAAUCAAGACUCACUCGAGAAAUAUAUAGUCAGUUGCUAUUUUGCCUAAGUGAUUUCUUUGUGUAAUUUAAGUCUCUAGCUCAGCUCGUUCAUUACGUGUAAUUAUCUUCACUAUAUUCUUUUGUAUACUAUUACGCAGAAUGAAGAUUCUCAAUGCAAAAGAGAUAGAAUCUAUGACAUUGGGUUAGUUUAACCAUAUAUUAUUAAUGAAAAAUUGAUAGAAGACCAUCCAAAGACUAAGAGAAGAACUUGCUAAGAAUUAGGCACAGAAUACCAAAAUAGAAAUAUUAUUUUUUUACAACUUCAAAAGAGUGUUACUAUCUUAUACUACAAGUUUUAUUUUGCUUACUCGAUGUUAAGUGUAAUUGAUAAGUUAUGCAUGUCUGCUUAUAUAAAUGUGUGCAUGUAUUGCUGGAUCCUGCUAAUCGUUAAAGUUAACGCUGAAACUGUUGAUGCCUUGGAUUCAUAGGUAAAAACCCUCAAGAAUACACCAACGUGGUUAAAAUGCUCGACGCGUAAUAUGAAUCAUUAUCACACUAUAUCGACCUUUUUCAUUCAUUUCCUGAUAUCAAAAAAUUAAUACCUAUUUUAUUCAUUUUCUCUGCCAGGCAGAGUUUGAAAACGGUUCAUCAAAGAUGUUGUCGGUGAAUAGAAACCGAAACUACGUUGACGACUGGUCAAGGUAAUUAAGUAGUACUAGCUAGGUCCGCGCAUUUCUUUAAUUCUACUUUCAAUAUCAUUAUCAUGCUUUAUUAUCUAAUUGAAUUCUAUUUUCAUAAAGUACAUGAGGCAGAAACAGAGACUAAUUUAUAUGCAUACUACGUUUAUGAAAACGUUUGCAUGUCGAUCAAAUGGCACAAAGAUGUACCACAACUUAUAUGUAAACAUUGUUCAUAAUAUUUUUUUAUGAUGAUGUAACAUAUAUACACACACAACUAAUAUGUCCAUAUUGGUCUUUUUCUUUAAAGAUUAAAGACAUGCGGGAGAACCUCCUACCAAAGAUCCGUCUACGAGCAGGAAAUUGCAGUAUUUUUGUUUACGAAGGUCAUAUCUGAAAACGAAGAAUACCAUUAUGAUCUUUAAAUUGUAGGAAAGAUUGUAUCAACAGCCUGACUAAACUUGCCCAGAUUUUUCAUAGCAUCCAAAGACGAUCCAGUAUUCAACUAGGACUGUUCUAAUGCAAACGAUACAGAGGAGCUAACAGCAGUUCCCUCCACAUUUUCUCAUCCGGGCUUGGGACCGGCAAAGGCAGUGUUAAACUACAAAACUACUAAACACAUAAAUAAGCAAACACAACAACCAAUUAUUCAGCUAAGCGUACAAGCCACACACAAUCAACCAGAGGCAGCAUUCACAACGCACGAUACGCUAUUGGCAAUAAAUAUUCACGCAACGUUUUCACAAGAUCACAAGACAGUAAUGGGUCACACAAAAAAAAGCUAUAAAUUCCAGAACAAGAAUGGGAAUUCUUAUGGGGUGAGGGUGAUUCAGAACUUCAAUCUUGAAAAUAAGAAUAUAUACCAGCAUAUAGAGGGUGAUCAUCUUCGUCUCUAGACACAGAGAAAGCUUUCCUAGUUUUGGCCCAUUAUAUAGAUAUAUAUGAACAAAUAUCUCCUUGUCUUUAAAAUCCAAUAUGUAUUAUAUGUAUUAUGCAACAUAAUGGUGACAUGUGUAUUUUUGCUAGUUGCCAACAAAUUAAAACUGGAAGUUACCAGAAAACUCAGAAUGUGUAUUGAAGAUUCAAUCCAGAUCAAAUUAGCAGUUCGCGAAAAAUAAAUUAACCAUUAGAGGACCAUAAGAUGUGUGAACGCUAUGUAAUUAUAAAUUUAACAGUAGAUAAUGAAAGAUUCCAUAAUCCAGAUCAAGUUAGCAAUUAGCAGUAAAGAGAUCAAAAUAGCCAUAGAAGACCAUAAGAUAGUUGAAGAUUCACAAUCGAGAACAAAUUAGCAGUUCGCCAAAAAAUAAAUUAGCCAUUAGAGGACAUAAGAUGUGUGAACGCAGUGUGGUAGUUAUAUAAAUUUAACAAUAGAGGAUUCCAUAAUCCAGAUCAAAUUAGCAGUUUGCCGUAAAGAGAUCAAAUUAGCCAUUAGAGGACCGUAAGAUAUGUGAGUACUUUCUGUCUAAGUCCAGGAUGAGCAAGUAUGAAACAAACUGCCAUAUGUUGAAAGUAAUCAGCAGGAAUCAUCAAAUUAGCCUGACUGUUCUGCUAGUUAUCAACUUAAAACUAGGAAGUUCCCAGCAAACCAAUAAGAAGCACUGAAGAAUCCAGAUCCCACUCGAGAAGCGCCAACGACAAGAACAUCACUUCUGAAAAUCAUAUCCAUACCAACAAACCAGAAUCAUAUUUAGUGGAGUUGACACUAAUCAAAGACAUGAGUAGAGUGUUAAGGGCAAAAUAUUCGUUCAAGCUUCCAGUUCAGAACCUUCAACUCUCCAUUGUUUUAGUAUAUAGCAAUCACUCCUAACCUCUUUUUGCUCAAAGUGGUCAACAUUACCCAAAUACAGGAGGCCACUGAUGUUAACAGUUAAACCAACACAAGUGGAUGGGUGGGAUCUUUCUUUAUCAUUAAAGUUAAAAAUAUGUGCACACCAAAAUUUGAUUUUGUGUCAGAAGUGCGAUCAUGGACAACAGUAUGAAGAACAGUAAACCCACAAAUCCAAGUAUGACCAAUUCAUACAUAAAUGUAUGAACAUUUUUACUGCAUUCAGAGCUCAUGUACAUGCGAUCUUUACUUCCUAUCAUAGGUGAUAAAUUUGCAAGUUCAAAGAUACAAGCAGCCAAAUGUCAAAGCCUAACUUCCUGAAACAGUAUGGUAACCAAGUAAUUUAUAGCCAAACCAAAAUUUGAUAAUCUGCUAUACAAACUGAGUAUGAACUGAUAUUUCCAUUCCGGACCCUUGUUUGAGACUUCUAGCAUUUUCUUGAUUCGGACCAAAAGAUGACAUCAUAUUCCAUCAAAACCACAUGCAAGUUGAAGCAGAUACCAUAAUCAGCAAGAUGUCACACAACAGAAACCAAGUAAGAUGCUUCAUGACAGUUGAAAGAAUCAGAUGUGCACACUACCAACUCCAAGCUGCGCCAAAGAGAUGAGGCCACCGAGUGCAAGUUCAAAUUGAAAACUACCACAAAGACCAAAUAACGUAAUAUGCUUCAGUAUCACUAAUCAGAAGUCCAAACCAAUUUGAUAGCUUCAGCAAGUCCCCGCACUAGCCGAAUUUCCAACUCUACAAUCUUGCAAUAAAACUUCCACCACUGCAAAUCAAUGAACAGCUCAAAAUAUAGUCGUCAUAUUUAAUAUUUCUUCAACGGAAGUCCAUAAUGAAAUCUUGGCAAUGAGUGGAAAUAAGUAUGGAAUCUAAGUGUAAGAUUAUGUGGUUGUAGAGGACUCCUUCAUCCAGAACGAAGCUUCCAAACUAGCCUUUAGAACUCUCCACUUCUGCGGAUCAGUUAGAAUACUCAAACUUAACAGCUCAGGUAAUUGGUUCUCUAACGGAAUAGAAAAUGUGAAAUAAGGUCUCUAAACAGAUUUUUCACGCAGCAUGACCUCAAAUAAAAUUGUCAAGUAGACCUGCAAUGAAUAAAAGACCUAGCCAGUUUGGAGAAAGCUGCUCGACAUCUUAGACAUUUAGUUAAGUUAUGCACAUUGGUUUGAAUUAUUGUCGCUGUAUAGUACUAACAAGAGAAGAACAAUGUUUGGAAUGUAUAAAAGUUACCAAAGAGAAGUUUGACAAGAUCGACUCAAGAAGAAUCUCCUAAAGCUCCUCUGUAUCAUUUUGUCCACGCAAGCCUUACUCUAAAAUGUUGGAGAACAACCAAAUAUCAAAUAUGCUUGGAACAGAAACGGAACUGCUCACAUGGAGAUAUCAAAUAGGAGGAGAAUAUAUCCAGACAGUUCAGUCACGCUUCGAGACACAUUUGAAUCCUCAACCGUGCAGGCCUGACCAACAACUCCGAUCCUGAACUUAAGAUAUCAUCUGAUGAGCUAAAGGGAACAGCCAAUACAAUCUCCGCUGGUUUGUCUCUAAAGGCGCAUAUACCAUGAAUGAGAUAAAAUUCACCUUGUACUACGUGACAAACAGAAUCAUUGAUUAGCCAUUGAAGAAGAGAGAACAGGGCUUAUUUUGCAAUGAAGGCAGACCAGACACUGACCUGACUCUAAAUACAGGGAACAUCCACUAAUUCCAACAUAUACUGCAAACAACAAACCUAGCAGGCCAACAAAACGGAAACACAUGGAUUGGGGAUAUAACAAAGUAAACCAGAGAGAUCACAAACCAAAAAGAUGACAGAUUUUGACUGGUUACCAGCAUGGCUUGCGCUAAACAAUCUGCAACUACAGGAAGGCGGAAGCAAAAAAUCACCAUCAAUGCUACAUGCGAAAAGGAACUUAGACAACAGAAGUUUCUUCAGGAGAUAAAAAUAGAGAGCACUGAGUUUUUUCGGUUGUAGGAUGUCCCAUCUACAUUGAAGCUCCAGAGCAACCUUCGAAUCUUGUACAUCCACCAAAUCAAUCUGAAUAUUCAAAUUUUGUCUUCAUAAGAUAGUUUAUAGGAGUAUGUUGGAACAAAUUACGAUGAAUUGGAAAGGUGUAGUGUUUAGAAGAUUUUCGAACAGAUAGCUCAGCAACAGGUUGGGCCUAAAUCAUCAAUUAGGAUCUGCAAUGACAGGAGACCUUCCUGUGAAUUUUUGCUUUGGGGAAACGAAGCUUCUUAAACAGCUAAAUAAUGCAUCAAACAGUGAGGGGAUAGGAUAAGCCUGCUUGGCCGGGAGAGAUCAGUUAGGCAACAACACCAGUUCCAGAUAGCAAACUAUAUUAUCUCUCGUCACAAUAUCUGCAAGGACACAUGGUUACCAAGGGAAGAGAAAACCAUGUCUUAGAAAUAUAACGUUCAAAGCGAAUCAGGAAAGAUGAAGUCAAUCUAAGAAACCGCCUGUAACAUGAUGUACCAAGAGGCACCUUCCGGGAAGUCCCAAAAGUCAAAUAGCUGGAGAACCAACAGUUGAUAUCAGAGAUGUUGUAAGCUAAAUUCGACCGUGCAAACAAAGAAACUAAAUUGAGGAGGGUCAAUAAUCCAAACACAGUUUGCAAAUUCUCUGAUCCCCAUUCCAUGGUUAACGAUCCAAUCCAACUUCAAUCCGAAACGAAAACUUCAGCACACAAGAUCCUGGCUUCUCAUAAGGCAUUGAGCCAUAACCAAUCAAAAUAACCACAAACAGUAAAGCAAACCUCCACCCUUCGAUUCAUCACUCCACAACCAUCGCCCUCCUACAUCUGAAGGAGAACAAACACAUACCACAAGCGAGAUCAGCUGUUACAGCGAGAACCAACAAGAAUCCACCUCGUAUUAAGGGAUAGCAGUACUCAUGUUGAGCCAUCAGACAAAGAUAAAUCGAAGAACUUAAAGGUAUAGCCACUCAAAUCUGACGUCACCGAGACCAGUGUGACCAAACAUGGGAAACUGACCUGCCUCAAGUCCCCUUCACAAUACUGUUCAUGUACCAUAGGGAGGUUCAUUUCCAGACCUGAUCCAGUCCUGCAAGCUAACUCACGGAGGUGGCCGAGAACAAAUGAAACAAACAGGACCGUCUACGAGACACUUACCUGACUCCAUGUACAGAGGUUGGGGCACCAAAUCCAAACUAUUAUAUCCUGCAACCCACACUCGGAGAAGACCAAAAGAACACGGGGAUCAAGAGUGCCGAAAACACCGAAUCAAAACAUUAAACAGAUUCUGCGUCAUUAGCCACAUGGCCUGGGCUAAAGAAAAAAUCUGCAACCAGAAGGAGGGCAGGAGCAAAAACUUGUAUCGAAGACAUGGCCAAGUAGCUAAAUGAAGUAAAAAAAAGGAGGAGUCUAUUUCAGUUGUAGGAUGUGCCAUUAGUUGAAAGCUUCGGAUUGUCCUUAGAUUCAUGCACCUUCGCAUAUCUGUAUUAUAAAAUAUUGCCUAGUAAGAUAAUUUGUAGGUUAUGUAAGUUAUGAUGAAUUGAAACAAUGCUCAUAGAUUUAGAAGAUCUGCAAACGAAUUCAUCAUCAGGUUGGACUUAAGUUCAUCAACUGCAACCUGCAACAAGCAAGAGGCCUUUCUAUAAAUUUUCAGUUAGGGGAAAAUGUUACUUUUAUAUAAAUAGCUAAAGCAUGGAUCAAACGAUGGGCUGGGAACAAGUAAGCAUGUGGCGGCUAGGAAGUUCAGCUAUGGUUGACGGACGACAACACCAGUUCCAAACUGCAGUUGUAUCAUUUCCAUGUCAGUAUCUACAAGAGCUGAGAAUUGCCGACUAAGGCGGAGAAGACAUAUAGCUGAAUGAAAUAGAAAUAAGAGGACAAGAGGUUUAAGUUUUUUCUGGUUGUAGGAUGUGCCACUAGUUUGAAGCUUCAUUAUUUCACCUUUGCAGCUAAAUCUUAGUUUGAAAUAUUACCUAGUAAGAGAUCUUAUUUUUAUUAUCUAAGUCAAGGAAUUUUAAGAAGAUGUUAGAUAUAGAAGAACUGCAAACUCAAUAUCAGGUUGGUGGCCUUGAAUUCGUAAACAAUGACCUGCAACGAGCAAAAUACAUCUCUAUAAAUGUUUCAGUAAGGGGAAAACUAGUAGGAUUAGAAAACUAAGUACAGACGAAUGAGAAGGUAAAGGAUGAGUAAGUCUGUCUCCACUGUGAAGGUCAGGUAGACAACACGGGUUCCAAUUUUUAUCCCUUGCAAGACACGAUCUGCAAGAGCUAAAAAUGGCUAAGGCAGGGAAAACUAGUGUCUGCUGAGUUCUAAUGAAUAUUGAAUAAGGAAGGUCCAAAAGGUUUAGCCACAGAAAAAGAACCGCCAUGCUGAGCCAAAAUAGGAGCAGCCGCUAGGCCCGUGUAAUUCCAGAUUCUGGAUAACCAGCAAACAAUCCGAAUCAGAAUCCUUGGGAGAAUAAUUGAAACUGUGGAGAAGAACGAAUUGAACAGAAUUUUGAUCAUCCAAACACAGGUCGGUCAGCAAGAAGAUAGUACGUCGUUCUCACUAAGCCAAGUAAUCCCAAUUUCUGACAAUCAGCAACAAAUCCAAAUCAAAGUUGUGAGGCUAAAACUGAACGAAUCCAAAGCAAAUGAAGUGAAAUUCAGAGGGAUCAUCUGAACAUGGAUAUCAAGUUCCAGGUUGAUGAGCGAUCCAAAACUUCAGUCCAACACCAAACAUAGACUCUGACCAUAUCAGAAACCAAACCUCCACCCUUUCGGUUCAUCUCUGAGGAACCACUUCCUGCUUCUGCUGAAUCUGAAGGAGCACAAACACAGACCACAAGCGAGAUCAACUGCUACAAUGAGAAUCCACCAAUACCCCAAAUCCACCUCAUAUUAGCUGAUUAUAUGAUGGAACUCAUGAUGAGAUCUAGAAGACCACACUGGCAACAUGCAUUUAAUCCUCAAAUCCCCUUCGACAUAUCAGAUACUAUCCAGCAACCAACCCAUGGAGGCCAACACAAAAUGAACCAACAGUUACUGACCUGAGUACCUGACACCGUGAAAUGCACACAGCAAAGGUUUGCAUAUGUAGGCCCAGACUUCGUAAAUAUAUCCUGCAGUGCAACCCACACACGUAUAGGAAGACCAACACAGGGAUCAAGAGUACAAAUAUAACCAAUCAAACAACAAAGAGAUGGAUAGCGAACCAGAAGUUUUUUGACUUGCUACAAGCAUUGUCUUAGGCAAAACAGAUCUGCAGCGACAUGGAGGGCAUAAGCAAAAACCUAAAUAAAAAACAUGAAAAUGUAGCUGAAUGAAAUAAAAAUAGGAGGGUAAGAGAUUAAGUUUUCCUCCGGUUGUAAGAUAUGCCACUAGUUUGAAACUUCAUUCUUGCACCUUUUGCAGCUAAAUCUGAAUUAAAAAUAUUGCCUGGUAAGAGACCUUAUUAACAUUAUCUCAGUUAAGGAAUUGAGUAGAUAGUGGUUUUAGAAGAACUGCAAACUUAGCAUCAGGUUGGUGGCCUUGAGUUCGUAAACCUGCAACGAGCAAGGUACCUUUCUAUAAAUGUUUCGGUCAGGGGAAAACUAGGAUUAGAAAACUAGGUACAAACGAGUGAGCAGGUAAUGGAUGAGUAAGCCUGUGUCAACUGGGAAGGUCAGGUAGACAACUACAGGUUCCAAUUAUAUCCCUUGCAAUCUGCAAGAGCUAAGAAUGACUAAGGCAGGGAAAACUAAUGUCUGAUGAGUUCUAAUUAAUGAUAUUGAGUAAUAAGAAAGUUCAAAAAAGUUGAGCCACGAAAUAGGAACCGCCAUGCUGGCAAGGGAUCAUAGGAGUACCCGCUAGGCCCGUGUAAUUCCAGUUUCUGGACAAGCAACAACCAAUCCAAAUCAGACUUGUUGUGAGAAUAAUUGAACAGUGGAGAAGAAGAAAUUAAAACAGAGUUGGGUCAUCCAAACACAGGUCAGCAAGAAGAUAGUAAGCCGCUCCCACUAGGCCAAGUAAUCCCAAUUUCUGGACAGUGAGAAGCAAAUCGAAAUCAGAAUUGCUGGGAGGCUAAAAUUGAACUCAGGAGAGGAAGUAAUUAAAUAGAGGUAGUAAUAUUAUUCAUCCAAACGCAAAUCAGCCAAAGAUAGGUCGCUCCGGUCCGGUCCGCUUAGCCGUGUAAUCCCAAUUUCUGGAGAACCAACAAUCAACGAACCAAAAUCAGAUAUGUUGCGCGCUGUGCAAACCAAAUAGAUGAAUUGGGAGGUUUUGAUUUAUAUUGUUAUCCAAGUGCAGAUCGAAGUUGCAGGUUGAUUGAGAUCCAAUUGAUAGCCCUGAGAAUCUGACCAUAACAGAGUAACCGCUGAACCGUAGCCAAUCAACCAAUCAAUCAAUCAAAAUAACCAUGAACAGAAAUCAAACCUCAACUCCGCCCUUCUAAAUAACCUACCAUCACUUCAGAACUACCGCUCGCCAUCUUGCUUGUGUAUCCAAGAUGAGAGCACACAUACCAAAAGCGGGAUCAGCUGGUGAAGCAGUAAGAAUCCACGAGGGCCUCAAAGAAUCGACCUCGUGUUAACUGAUACAUACUCGAUCGGGAACCUAGAACCGGAAGACCGCACGGGCGACAGCCGUUGAAUCCAAAUCUUCUGAAAUCACCGAGGGACGCAGGCAGGCGACGGAACCAAGGAACCGACCCGACCCGACCCGACCGAUGGAGUUCGAGAAACUGACCUCGGGUCGCACGGAAUCAGACGCGGGAAGCGAAAUCGAUGGAAUCCCCCAUCGAUCGAUCGAUCGGAUCGCUACCCCCGGAAGCGGGCCGAAUCCCCUGCGAGCACAGGAAGCAAAGCCGGCGAGGAGCGGAGCAAAAAUCAAAGGCGAUUCGAAACGAAUCGAGAUGAGGGACGAGAAAGAAAGAGGAAGGAAACAGUCGCGGAGACGCGAGGAGGCGACUCGGGCGGAGGCGCGGCCCGAAACGAGAGCUCCGAAGAGAGAGGGAGGAGGCGAGAGCGCGGGGUGGAGAGGGCGCACCUGGGCGCCUUUUAUAGCCGGAGGCGGAGGCGGAGGCGGUGGGCGGCCUGGCGCCAACCGGAUCCUUACCGGACACGGCUUCGUCUUCGCCGCGCUGGCGGUGGUUUUCCGUGGACGGGUGGGCGGCGGAAAUCAAAAGCGAGCGGAAUUGGUGGAUCGGGCUGGAUCAUGACUUGCGACUUGGUUCGGUUCGGGUGGACGGGCGGCUGGCAGGUCGGCAACGCGACGCGGGAGAUAGCUGCGCUGCGCGUCGACCUUGGGUUGGGACUUGGGACGUGGGUCGCACCGACGGACCGGGAAAUUUCCAGGCUGCUCGGGGGUCGCGACGGGCCAUGUCCUCGCGCGCGAGCCACGACUAACUCGUGGAUGAGAACGUGGAAACCAACCCAUCAAACGGAAGACUAUGGUUUUCCUCUGUCCACUAAAGUUUAAAUUUCAGAUUUAACAUUGAUGGUUGCAUUUUUAUUUAUUUAUUUCAGAUCUUUCGAUGAUAUGCAUUUAUUAGGAGAAGACGUUUCCGUCGACUACGAAGUCGUCUAUGACAACUUUGUCAAUCUUAAGAUGAUGUGUCGGCUUAGCCUUUCGAAGAUACUUAUAGGGAUAUGGUAUGCGUGUGUGCGUUCAUAGCAAUAAAUGUAUGCUCGUGUAUGUGUACGUGAACAACUUUGAUUGUAUUCUGCUAAAUAAAACUCAUGGAUGAGAACGUGCAAACAUGCGGUGAGGUGGCCCGUUGGGGUUGUCCUAAACGUAAACGUGUGGUACAUGGAAUCAGCUGCCGUGUUUACGCAAUGACGGCUACAACAAAACUACCGGAUGAGAACGUGCAAACAGGCGGUGAGGUGGCCCUUGGGGGUGGUCCUAAUUCCUAAACGUGUGGUACAUGGAAUCAGCUGUCGUGUUUACGCAAUCAACGUGCUCAGAAACUUUCCUAAUUUUAUUCAAGUCAAAAAACUUAUUUUAUUUUAUUUGUGGAUAAGAGCAUCUACAACCGAACCCCUCGUACUGUUAAAACUAAUUACAUAAAUUAGGGGAAAAUCUCCUCUUGAUGUAACCGUUCGAGCGGUUUCCUCCCGCACGGGCGUCUCUCUCCCGACUCCCUGGAACCGACGCAUCUCCUCUCUGUCGUCGCGUCUCUCCAGGAGUUAUAUAUACUCCAUGUAAUCAUCGACAAUGAUAGAAGAAUCACUUUGAUUCGUUUCACGUUAUCAGCACUUGCGCUACCAGAAAGAGCGAGAGCAAACAGAGAAGGAGAGAAGGGAAGGGGAACUUGCCGCCGGUGAGAUGCCAGGCCUCGUCUCCUUUUUCCUUCGCCUCAUCCGUGAGGAUGGUCGCCGCUACCGCCUCAUAGCCCGUCGCCUCCAUGGAGUAGGUGGACUCCGGCGCUUCCGUCGCAGGAUGCAAGCCAUCCGCCGCUUCGGUCGCGAUGCCGCUGGACGCGGUUACCAUGGCACUCGAAGGGAUGCGCGUGGAGGUUACUACGCCUCUGGAAGCGGCCUCCACGCCGCCGGAUGCGCCCACCGCGGUGCUCCUCGCGCCCAUGGCCCGACGCCGAUGGGGUUCGACCCCUCGCUAGUGGCCGACCCGAGCGCCCCUGCGGUGCACGGGGAUGCUGCCGCGCCUGCCCCGUCCCCCGGAUCUCCGCCUCCACCACCUCCUCCACCAACGGCUUGGAUGGCGCCGCCGACGCCCACGCCGGCCGCCGAGACCGCCGGCCCGAGCCGUGCCCCCCUGGCUAUGCGCCCGUCCCGAUGCGGGUCAAGGUGGACGAGGAGGCCGCACUCGGCUUCGUCUCUGCACCAACCGGCGUCUCUGGCGUCGUCCGCCUCGGAGUGGGGAUGGAUGGUGCGGACACCAACGCCUCGCCACCGCGGGAAAUGACCGCGGGCACGAGAAGCCGCGCGAAGCGGCGCUUCGGCCGCCUCUUUGGGCGCGCCGUCGCUGCCCUCGACCGCCAGCCCGGCCACCGCGCCGGCUCGUGGGCUCCGGCGAGCCUUGGCCUCGGAGCAGCCUCCCAUGCCCCCGUCGUCGUCCCCUCCUCUUCCGACGAGGAGGGGUCCUCCGUGAGGCGUCGGUGAUCACCGGAGAGUACAUCGGCCCUCACUCCCGUCGCCAGGUCUCCUCUGGCUGGGCGCUGGUGGUGGGCUGGCUCGCACAGGAGGUGGGGAGCGAGGGGAUGCGGAUGGAUCUGAUCCAAACCGAUCCCACCUCCUCCUCUCUCUUAUGUGCUAGUGUGUGGGGCACGUGGUGCUAGUGUGUGGUUGUGUGGUGUCGAGCCUAGGCCACGUAUUGGAUAUUUGAUCAUAUCCAUCCUAGGCCAUGUAGUGGGAUGGCUAUCACGUGGUGCCGGCUGGCUGUUGUUUCAGUUUUUUUUUAUUAGUCUAGCACCAAUUACUGUAUAUAGUAUAGUUUUAGACUAUGUUUAGUACUACUAUUUAUAUUUAGUCCAGUUCUAGAUUUAUUCUAGUAUAAGAUUUGUGUAAUUAUAAGUGUGUUUAUAUUAUGCAAUGGAUUGAUGAUAUAAAUAAAAGUACCGGAUUUCAUCUGGGAAAAACGACAUUUUCUUAUUGCGAUUGAGAUCAACUUCUCUCGUAUCUCAAACUUGCAAAUUUUGAAAAUUUCUCCCUCAUCUUAUUUGAAAUCACAAGGUAAUGAGUUGUGAUCUACUGCACAUAUGUAGACUAUCCCCUCUUACUGUAAGGUAUACGUGUUGGGGAACGUUGCAUGAGAAACAAAAAAUUUCCUACGCGCACGAAGACCUAUCAUGGUAAUGUCCAUCUACGAGAGGGGAUGAGUGAUCUAUGUACCCUUGUAGAUCGUACAUCAGAAGCGUUAGUGAACGCGGUUGAUGUAGUGGAACGUCCUCACGUCCCUCGAUCCGCCCCGCGAACAAUCCCGCGAUCAGUCCCACGAUCUAGUACCGAACGGACGGCACCUCCGCGUUCAGCACACGUACAGCUCGACGAUGAUCUCGGCCUUCUUGAUCCAGCAAGAGAGACGGAGAGGUAGAAGAGUUCUCCGGCAGCGUGACGGCGCUCUGGAGGUUGGUGAUGACCUUGUCUCAGCAGGGCUCCGCCCGAGCUCCGCAGAAACGCGAUCUAGAGGAAAAACCGUGGAGGUAUGUGGUCGGGCUGCCGUGGAAAAGUCGUCUCAAAUCAGCCCUAAAACCUCCGUAUAUAUAGGUGGGAGGGAGGGGACCUUGCCUUGGGGCUCAAGGAGACCCAAGGGGGUCGGCCGAGUCCAAGGGGGAAGGCUCCCCCCCCCCCCAAACCGAGUUGGACUUGGUUUGGUGGGUGGGAGUCCUUCCUUCCCUUCCCACCUCCCUUUUUUUUCUUUCUCUUUGAUUUUUCUUUCUAUGGCGCAUAGGGCCCUUUUGGGCUGUCCCACCAGCCCACUAAGGGCUGAUGCGCCACCCUCUUGGCCUAUGGGCUUCCCCGGGGUGGGUUGCCCCCCCGGUGAACUCCCGGAACCCAUUCGUCAUUCCCGGUACAUUCCCGGUAACUCCGAAAACCUUCCGGUAAUCAAAUGAGGUCAUCCUAUAUAUCAAUCUUCGUUUCCGGACCAUUCCGGAAACCCUCGUGACGUCCGUGAUCUCAUCCGGGACUCCGAACAACAUUCGGUAACCAACCAUAUAACUCAAAUACGCAUAAAACAACGUCGAACCUUAAGUGUGCAGACCCUGCGGGUUCGAGAACUAUGUAGACAUGACCAGAGAGACUCCUCGGUCAAUAUCCAAUAGCGGGACCUGGAUGCCCAUAUUGGAUCUUACAUAUUCUACGAAGAUCUUUUCGUUUGAACCUCAGUUCCAAGGAUUCAUAUAAUCCCGUAUGUCAUUCCCUUUGUCCUUCGGUAUGUUACUUGCCCGAGAUUCGAUCGUCAGUAUCCGCAUACCUAUUUCAAUCUCGUUCACCGGCAAGUCUCUUUACUCGUUCCGUAAUACAAGAUCCCGCAACUUACACUAAGUUACAUUGCUUGCAAGGCUUGUGUGUGAUGUUGUAUUACCGAGUGGGCCCCCGAGAUACCUCUCCGUCACACGGAGUGACAAAUCCCAGUCUUGAUCCAUACUAACUCAACUAACACCUUGGGAGAUACCUGUAGAGCAUCUUUAUAGUCACCCAGUUACGUUGCAACGUUUGAUACACACAAAGCAUUCCUCCGGUGUCAGUGAGUUAUAUGAUCUCAUGGUCAUAGGAAUAAAUACUUGACACGCAGAAAACAGUAGCAACAAAAUGACACGAUCAAUAUGCUACGUCUAUUAGUUUGGGUCUAGUCCAUCACGUGAUUCUCCUAAUGACGUGAUCCAGUUAUCAAGCAACAACACUUUGUUCAUAAUCAGAAGACACUGACUAUCUUUGAUCAACUGGCUAGCCAACUAGAGGCUUGCUAGGGACGGUGUUUUGUCUAUGUAUCCACACAUGUAAAUGAGUCUUCAUUCAAUACAAUUAUAGCAUGGAUAAUAAACGAUUAUCUUGAUACAGGAAUUAUAAUAAUAACUAUAUUUAUUAUUGCCUCUAGGGCAUAAUUCCAACACUACGCUUUGUCAAUCUCGACAAGUGAUUACCUUCAACGUGUAUUCCUUAUAUCUAAAUUGUAGCAUACCCAAGGUAAUGGCCAUGCGGCCUAUUACUGUGAGAUCUAAAUGAUCUUCAAUGUGUUAUGUUCACACAAUUGAGGUUGAGAAUUUUUCAAGUUUUACACUUGACUAUCAAAUUUUUGCAUUCUUAUUACACAACCAUGAUGGUUUUUAAUUUACCGCCCGUAAAUUAAUUAUCUCUGGUUCCCCAUGUAGGCCAAGAUGACUGCCAAAGAAUUCGAGGAGCUUGCCCUCAAUGGCCACAAUUACCCUACAUGGGCUAUGGACAUCAAGAGCAGUCUUGCGUCCCGUGGGAUAGCGCGUGCAAUCCAGCCCCCGGAGACUCCUCUCCCGGCUGGAGCCACGCCGCUGACAGAACAGCAGAAUUAUGCUGCCUUGUUCAUCAUAAGGCACCAUAUUCAUCCAGAUCUCAAGUCUGAGUAUUUACAGGAGGAAUCUCCUAGUACUCUGUUUCUGGCCCUCAAAACGAGGUAUGAACAGCAGAAGGCAGUGGUCCUGCCUGAAGCACUCCAUGAUUGGACUCAUCUCCGCCUUCAGGAUUUCAAGUCCAUUGGUGAAUACAAUCAUGAUGUUCAUAACAUAUGUUCCAAAGUGCGUUUUUGUGAGAAGGAACCUACUCAGGGGGAGAUGAUAGAGAAAACUUUAUCUACUAUGCUCCCUUCUGAUAGGAUCCUCCAACAGCAAUACCGUGCUCGCAGCUACACUGUCUAUUCCGAGCUUAUUCACAUGUUACUUCAGGCUGAAAAGCAUGAUGAGCUACUCGCUAAGAAUGGCUCUCAACGCCCAGUUGGGGCACAACCUUUACCUGAAGUCCAUCUGAAUGUCGCGAAUAGACAGAAGUUUAAUGGUACCUUUCGAGGUAAACAUUCCAAUUAUGAGCACAAGCACAAGCGCAAUGGGAACAGAAAAUUCAGAAACAUUGGCAAAGGCAAAGGCACUGCAAAGCCAAAGUUCGAUAAAUCUAAACUUUGCAACAAGUGUGGAUGCUACUCGCAUUCUACUGAAAAGUGCUCAAUGCCCAAGCAUCUAGUCAUGCUCUACCAGCAAUCUCAGGGACGCAAAGCACCUCAAGGGAAAAGGCUUGAAGCUAACUUCAACCUACAUCCGCAUAGCGCAAAUGGAGCUGGCGAUUCUCAGGAUAUUCCUCCUGGACCGAGCAACGCCAUGAUUCCUUAUCCACUUGAGGACCCUGCUGAAACGGAGGCCAUGUUACUUGAGUACACCUCAAACGAUGUGUUUGGCGACUUUGACUAGUCCCUCGACCUCCUUAGUGAUCUAUUUAACUAUGUCCAUUUGUGAUGAUUGUAAUAAGAACAUAAGUUUGUUAUUGUCUUUAUAUUGUAUUGUAUCAGCACAUUUGAUAUAAUUAAGAUUGUAUUCUAUGUAUUAACAUAAGGUUUUAUUAUUGAAAAUUCUUUCGUUUUUAUAUAGUUUUUCUAUGGGGACAAUCCGAUGGAAGAGGAAUUAUGCCUUGUGGAUAGUGGUACCACAAACUCCAUACUGAGGGAGAUAAAAUAUUUCCAAACUCUGAAAAAGAUGAAUGGAGAUAUUCUAACUAUCGCUGGACGCGAUACAGUGAUUGUUGGUACUGGACGUGCCAUAUUCACACUCCCAAGUGGUACACAAGUGACGAUAGAGGAUGCUUUAUUGUAUCCCGACUCAUCACGUACCCUGAUCAGUUAUCGAGAUAUCCGUAAGAAUGGUUUUCAUAUUGAAACCCAUGAACACAACAAAGAGGAGUAUUUACUCUUUACUAAAGAUCACGGAUAUGGCAAAAAGGUACAUGAGAAAAUUCCUUCUAUAUCGUCUGGUUUGUACUAUACGUACAUCAAACCCGUGGAACAUGUUGCAUACAAAGUAAUUUUUCAGAAUGUUGACGCAUUCCAAACCUGGCAUGAUCGCCUGGGCCAUCCCGGAAUCGGGAUGAUGAGAAAAAUUACUAGCAAUUCCAUUGGUCAUAAUUUGCUUGAGUCAAAAUUUCCUCAAUCUUCUGAUUUUGUGUGCACAUCUUGUGCCACGGGAAAGCUAAUUUUGAGGCCCUCGCAUCUCAAAAUACAAGCUGAACCACUUCAGUUCCUUGAACGUAUUCAAGGAGACAUUUGUGGUCCUAUUCAGCCAUUAUCUGGACCAUUCCGGUAUUUCAUGGUUCUGAUUGACGCAUCUACACGAUGAUCACAUGUGUGUCUUCUGUCCACACGAAACCAUGCAUUUGCCAAAAUAAUGAGGCAAGUCAUUAAGUUGCAAGCCCAUUAUCCUGAAAGUCGAAUUAAGACAAUUCGAAUGGACAACGCUGCAGAAUUCUCCUCACGUGCUUUCAAUGAUUAUUGCAUGGCUUUGGGGAUUGAAGUUCAGCACUCUGUUCCAUAUGUCCAUACACAAAAUGGUUUGGCUGAAGCAUUAAUUAAGAGGAUUAAACUCAUUGCAAGACCUUUGUUGAUGAAUUGCAACUUGCCAACCUCUUGUUGGGGUCAUGCAGUUUUACACGCUGCUGACUUGAUACAAUUGAGGCCAACUGCAUAUCACAGUUCUUCCCCUCUGGAAUUGGUACGUGGAAAUCCUCCUAGCAUUUCCCAUCUGCGUAAGUUCGGAUGUGCUGCAUACAUCCCGAUCUCACCACCACAGCGGACAUCUAUGGGCCCACACAGAAAGUUGGGGAUCUAUGUGGGGUACAAAUCACCGUCGAUUAUCAAGUACCUGGAACCCCUAACUGGGGAUCUGUUCACAGCCCGUCACGCUGAUUGCAUAUUUAAUGAGGAACAUUUUCCGGCAUUAGGGGGAGAUUUCAAGUACCAGAAAGAAUGCCCGGAAAUUGAUUGGAAUGCUCAUACCAUUUCAUCCUCUGAUCCACGUACCCAUGAGACCGAACUUCAAGUUCGGAAGAUCAUUAAUUUGCAACAUCUUGCAAAUAAUCUGCCAGAUUCAUUUACUGAUCUAAAAGGUGUUACAAAAUCCUUAAAUCCGGCUAGAAACGCGCCAGAAAGAAUGGAGGUACCAAUAAAAACCACUCAACUCCCUGUUCCUAAAAAGAGGGGGAGUAGUAUGGCUUCUGACCUGGAGCUAGCUUCUAGCAAGCAGCAAAGGAAAUCGAGGAGAAAAUCCUCAGAGUCAGUAAAUGCAGGUCAACUCAACGUUGACAAACACCCUGUGGAAGGGCAACCUUCACAACCCAGCUCCAGUGUGCACAAACUAGCUGGAACAUCGGAACACCCAGACUCAAUCGUAUUGGGAAAUCUCGAAGAGUCUCUAGGGGUGCAAGAAAUUUCCAUCAACUAUGUUGAUUCUGGAGAAUCAUUUGACCGCAAGACUACGACUGUCGACAUAUAUUUUGCUGAAAAGAUUGCAGAUACCCUUAUCACUGAUCAUGAUCCAAGGUCUAUCGUCGAGUGCCAAAGGCGCUCCGACUGGCCUAAAUGGAAGGAUGCAAUCCAAGCAGAAAUUGCCUCGCUUAACAAAAGGAAGGUAUUCACUGAAGCAAUACCUACACCUCCCAAUGUUUUCCCCGUGGGAUUCAAAUGGGUUUUCCUCCGAAAACGGAAUGAGAACAAUGAGGUGGUGAGAUAUAAAGCAAGGCUCGUAGCACAAGGUUUUACGCAGAAACCCGGCAUUGAUUUCAAUGAAACAUACUCUCCGGUAAUGAGUGGAACCACUUUCCGAUAUCUUAUAUCUAUGGCAGUGCAAAAUCGUCUAUCCAUGCAGUUGAUGGACGUCGUGACCGCAUAUCUUUACGGGUCACUAGAUUCGGACAUAUAUAUGAAGGUUCCUGACGGAAUCUCCGUCCCGAAUAACAGUGCAAAACGCAACAUGUAUUGUGUAAAGCUGAAUAAGUCAUUGUAUGGCUUAAAACAGUCGGGACGGAUGUGGUACAACCGACUAAGUGAGUUCCUUCUUCAGAAAGGUUACUCCAAUAGUGAUGAUUGCCCAUGUGUCUUCAUCAAGAAGUCCUCUACAGGAUUUUGCAUCAUUUCUGUGUAUGUUGAUGAUCUCAACAUCAUUGGCAGUGCACCAGACAUUGAUGAAGCACGCAAUCAUCUAAAGAUGGAAUUUGAGAUGAAGGAUUUGGGUAAAACCAAAUUUUGCUUAGGUAUUCAACUUGAGCACCUUCCCUCAGGAAUCAUGGUACACCAAGCUGCCUAUAUCCAGAAAAUAUUGGAGAAAUUCAAUAUGGACAAAUCCUAUCCAUCUAAAACUCCUAUGGUGGUUCGAUCUCUAGACGUAGAGAAAGACCCGUUCAGACCGAGGGAUGAUGGAGAAGAGGUGUUGGGACCUGAAGUUCCAUAUCUCAGUGCAGUUGGAGCGCUUAUGUAUCUUGCAAAUUGCACAAGACCUGAUAUUGCAUUUGCAGUGAAUCUACUUGCUAGACACAGCGCAACUCCCACCAAACGACAUUGGUCUGGAGUAAAGAAUAUCUUUCGAUAUCUCCAAGGCACAAAGGAUCUUGGCCUAUUUUUUCAGUUCCAGCAAAAUCUGAACUCUGAUAUGAUUGGGUAUGCAGAUGCCGGUUAUUUGUCUGAUCCCCAUAAUGCCAGAUCUCAGACCGGUUUUGUGUUCCUACAUGGUGGUACAGCUAUAUCAUGGAAGUCUUGCAAACAGACUCUAGUGGCUACAUCUACCAAUCAUUCUGAAAUAAUUUCAUUAUUUGAAGCGUCAUGUGAAUGUGUAUGGCUUCGCAGAAUGAUAAACCACAUACAACAGUCAUGUGGAAUUGGUUCUAUUGAAUCACCCACCAUUAUCUAUGAGGAUAAUGCGGCAUGUGUUGCACAGAUGCAGUUAUGAUAUAUCAAGAGUAAUAUCACUAAGCAUAUUUCUCCUAAAUGGUUCCCCCCCCCCACACAAUCUUCAGAAAAACGGAGAAAUAAGCAUUCUGCAAGUCAAAUCAUGUGACAACAUUGCUGAUUUGUUUACUAAGUCUCUACCAAACUCAACAUUUCAGAAAUAUGUUCACGGAAUUGGUAUGCGACGACUUAGAGACUUGCAGGCAACAGGGGGAGUCUCUUCUUGAGAUAUCCUUGUUCAAUAACAUCACAUUAUGCUAUCUCUUUGUGAGUUUACAUUUCAGGUUUUCAUCAAAGUCUUUAUGAAGAACUUUUGAAGAAGAGUUUUUGAUGAUAAAGCUUCCCGGACAAUCAUAAAGAUGACUCCACAUGGUCAAGCGUAGAUUACGGGGAGUGUUAAAACUAAUUACAUAAAUUAGGGGAAAAUCUCCUCUUGAUGUAACCGUUCGAGCGGUUUCCUCCCGCACGGGCGUCUCUCUCCCGACUCCCUGGAACCGACGCAUCUCCUCUCUGCCGUCGCGUCUCUCCAGGAGUUAUAUAUACUCCCUGUAAUCAUAGACAAUGAUAGAAGAAUCACUUUGAUUCGUUUCACAUACAUCAACCCAUCCGUGUAACAGCAGCAAGAACCAAAUAAUAAUGAAACAUUGCAGUUCGUAAAUUAACCUCAAUCCACCGCAAGAAUGCCCGUUAUUACUAGCUUUCAGAGCACUAUCCAUUAUUCACCAAUAAUGUGUACAUAACAAAGGACCAUUCACUGAAAAUACAAUGUACCAUUGUACCCACAUUUCGUACAAGUGCAAGGAACGCGGGUAAAUAACAAGUAAAUAAUGUAGUUCAUAGAUAUAAAAGAAUAAAAAAAGUUGACAGUAACCACUUAAGGGUUUAGGAACUCAUAAUUCUAGUGAAAUGCAUGAAAAUUAUUUCAUAUUUUUUCCAGUUGUCAUUUAAAGACUAGAAGCAUAGCAUGGUGCGCCAAAGAUGUACUCACAUGAUAAUGAUCGACCAAACCAAUCAGCAAAAGUACUUGGAUUCCAAAGCCUGCAAAACAUGCACAUAUUAAUGAAGGCAACACAAACUUGAUUCCAAAAAAUUACAGAUAAUUUAUUGCAUAUACUAACAGAACAUAUAGAACAUCUGGAAGCUGUCAACAACAAAUGAAAGGAGAUAUAAUCUACCUUCCAGCCUGGCAGUAAAGUAAAAUUUCUGGGUUCUGUGUCACUGUCUUUUCAGAUAAAUCCUUGUCCAGAACAGUAGUUAAAACAAGAAUGCUUGUGUACAAGACAUUAUAAGCCAUCAAACUAACUGAAUUGAAUAAACUUGUUCCGGCAAUACCUGAAACAAAAGCAGAACUGCAUGCAUACAAUAUGAGAAUGCAGACAAGAGCAACUAGCAUCCAGUAUGCUUAAAUGAAAUAUGAGAAAGAUCUGAAGGUGAAAUAAGGUGGCGGCCAAAGUGAUGUUCCUUUGUGACUUGCAGUAUCUGAAUAAAGCCAAUUAACGAUGACUUGUAGAACGAAUACUGUGAAAGGAAGGCAGUACGGUUGUACGAGUAUUGUCCAUGCAUAAGAAUACGCCUUUCCAAGAACCUGAAUCUGCCAAAAAGGAAAAGCAGAAGUUGAAAACCAUCAAAAAAUUCAGUAUACCAACCAUUAUGUAGUCAAAUUAUUAGACCAACAGUUGAGCAAUUAUCUAGAACACAAAAAUUAUCUAGGUAACACAUAUCAAACUCUUGCCCACAACUUCAGUUGUAUUUUGAACAUUUCAGGGAAAUGUUUACACUGCCGUUCACAUCAACAAAGCUUGGGAUAUACUUUUGGCUUGCUAAAUCUUCUAUGAGCUCAGUUUACAUGAGAAACAUCUCAAGAAAUUAAAACAAUGGCCCAGCGAUAUUUUAAGGAGAAGGCAUACAAAACUCAGUAAGUGGUUAGUACCAUCGUUAUUAUUGCAUAAUGUACUACCACAGUUAGUAUUGCAUAAGAUUUAAUGAGACUUGAAGCAACAAUGAGCUGGAAGCAUGAAAUGAUAGGCAUCAGUGCAGUGGCUUGAAGACUUGGGAGUAGGGCGACAUGACAGCCUCCUGUACCAUCUUCCUUGGGUCGCCUGGAUCGGGGCCCCACCUCACCUCGCUCAUGUUGGGUGUCUCGACGAACAUCAUGGUGAACUCGCCCACCUUCUCCACUCGUCCUCGCUUGCCGGCGCGCAAGAACAGGUUGUUGCCCCUAUGGUAUGAGAAGAUGCCACUUGUGAGCCGCACGAUGUCCCCGGGCUCAAAGGCGUCACACUCGGUGCCCCACAGCAGGAAAUGCACCGCCGCCGUCUCAUCAGCCACCAGCAACGGGCAUGUCUCCUCCCUGCCAUGCGCGUUUGCAUGGGUCGGGCGGGCCGCCUUGUCAACCACAAUGAACGUUGUGUUCACGGUGUUGGUCGCUGCCGGGACGAGGUCCUUGAGUUUCACAUCCAUCCUCCCGCCACCUACAGUUUCUUCGGCCUGCAACAGAAUUGUCAAUAACCAGAGUAAGUGCACAUGAACUAGCUACAUUUGCAUUACAAAAGCCGAACUUCACUGCAUCUAGUCCAUGCUCAGCGUUCAUGCGAAGUAGGGUCCGUCCUGUACCGGGCAAUUGAACGAACACCUUGUGGUCGUCCGAGGAAAAUCUCUAGACCAGCAUCCAAGCAACAAAACCAAACGCAUGAGAAAGAUGAGAAGAAGAAAAGUGCGGCGAUCUUGCCCCUUUUGCGUCAUCGCGAUGACGCGGGCUUGCCCUUCCACCGCCGCCUGAGUUAACCCUCACUCUUCGCCAUUUCUCCCCACUAACACCUCUGCUCCUGCUUUAUGUUUACCUUGGUGCGAUCCAAUUGUGUUGACUACGGCAGGAUCGGAACUCCUUUUGCCCGAUCUUGUCGGGUCCAUCAGACAAACCGCAUCACUCUUCCACCCCCAUACUCUAGCCCGAGACACGGCUCCUCCCCCCUGCUCCAUCUGUACGCAAUUUCAUCCACCACCGCCAACUCACCUACUUAGCUUUGUAGAUCAAGUGCAUAGACUAAAGGUAGCUCAAUCUACUUCUACAGAAGCCGUUGGACUUGGAAAGAAAAAAACGGAACUUGAAAAUCAUGCUUCCAAAAUUGUAAAACCAGUUUCAUUGACCUACCAUAUCCAACAGAACUAUCUUGCAGCAGGCAAUUAAAGCAUCUUACCCAGACAAUCGAAUGCUAAUUUAUUUUCUUUUCCUGGUAGGACAAUUCUAACCAGAGAAUUUUUGUGUUAACAAUAAAAGUACAAAUGUGUUGUAAAUUUCUCAUCAAAUUUGAACAGAUAAAUCAAUGUCAAUGAAAGGAGUAGGACAUGUCUGUACUUCUAUAAAAAAGACAGUUCUCCUCGAAUUUGAACAGAUGAAUCAAAGAUUGCUAGAAAUCCUGUUAGAAAUCUACAUGACAGAUUAGUACAAUGAGUGAGAGGAUAGGCAUUAGCAGAACAUAUUUAAUUAAUUAUCAGAAGAUAACAUUCUUUAGACAUCACUGAACAGUUUAGCUAUAAUAAGAAUGGUGCAGCCAACAUUCUGUUCUCAGCUAGAUGCCAAAUUCAGUCAGUCUAAUACAAAGGUGGAAGCUCCUUCUAGUUCCUGUAGUAUAGAACAUAAAGAAACAUAACAUUCUCGGUGGGUGCUAGUGUGUAAUGUGGGUGCUAAUGUUCUCAUGGGAAUAUAGACUUGAAUAUUUAAUUAAACCAAGCAUCAAAGCUUAAAAGUAAAAGGUCUUCUCCCCUUCGGCAUGUGAAAUGAAGUGGGAAACUCUAGCCUACAAACACUAUAACAGUAAUAUAUAAUCUGAAAUUCUCUCUGAAAGAACUAUAUAUAAUCUGAAGAAUCAUACAGCAGCAAAUAAUGACAGGCUGCAGCCACUUGUUUCUGUAUGUACCACUAAGCUCCAAAAUAUGGCUCACCAAAUAAGUUCAAAAUAUGCAAUACCAAAUCAAGUACUAUUCUGGCUAAGUUACAAGCAGCUUCAACCCUGUAUCUUCAAUACAAUCCAUGCAUCGGUUCAUAAUCAAAAGCUAAUGAAGAACUGUCAGCAGCAGACCUAGGAUACCCUAUCCCACAUCUGUUCCCUAUCAUCUGUGUGAUGUUCUUCAGAACCAGAUACUAACUGCUACGCAGUGGCGGAGCUAGCAUUUAACGUCAGGGUGGUCCCCCCCCCAAAAAAAUAUUUUUUUCAAGUAAUAUAACAUGUGCACGUUCUAACUAGUUAUCAAUAUCCCAUAGAAAUAGAUCAAUAUGGUCUUAAAAACAAACUAGAAUUCCCAAUUAAGACCAAGUUUUGCAUAAAGAAGUGUACAAAAUACAUACUACAUGGACCAUAAUACAUACAUACCUUAAGAAGUUUAAAAAGACUGUUUAUAUUGAUAAAGCUAAUUUAGAGAGAAACAAUGUCUCCAGCCCUUUUCAUGCUUCCACAAUUCUGCAAUAAAAAACAGUUUCUAUCAAUAAAGCUAAUUGAGGCAAAAAUGAUGUGCACAAUUAUGUAUGUGUUCAUCAGUUCAUGUACUGGAUAUCAUAGUGCAAAAAAAGCAAACCCUAAAACAAAAAUUGGGGGUUUUCUGUACCUUAAAUCGAUUCGCACAGUUGCUGCCGACGGGGAGUGGUUACUGAGCGGCAGCAACGGCCGUCGGCUUUGCAGGGAGGGCGAAGGGACGAAGGGCGGAAGCAGAGGCGACAGGGUCAGGCGGCCCGGGUCAGGGGAGCAGCCGGGCAAGGGCAGGGCAGGGGCGUGAGGGAGCGGCUGCAGCGGUGGAUGUGGAGCCGAGGGCCAGGCACGCGUCGGGCUAGAGGGAGAGGCGGGCUCGGCUCCGGCCGGCAACCGGCGAGGCGAGGAACGGCGGCUGCCAACUGGGAUGCUGUCUUGUGCGUGUUGCGGGGGCGUCGGGACGAGGCGGCUGUUCUGCUCGAUGGGGAUGUGGCUGCGGUUGAUGGAUCAAUCGGUAAGUGUUAUUGGGCCUUUUUUUUUUGCUGGCCCAGUUAGAAAUUAGGGGUAUAAGCUGACCCAAAAUACCAGCGGUCACCCUGUAGCUCCGCCCCUACUGCUACGUCAUCAAAUCCAGUGAGGAGAUAGUGAGGAGUAAAAUGCAUCUUUGGUCCUUUAAAUUGUUGGCCAUGUCCACAAUGGUCCCCAAACUCAUAAACUGAGUGAAUACAAUCCUGGAACUUGCAAAUACGGGUUGAGUACAGUCCUUAAUCUUGGUAAACCGGUCAUGUGCUACGACAACGCAUACAUGUGGCGUACGCCACACCUGCGACGUCAGUAUAGGGCCGAGGGCCAGCGGAUUAACUCGUUCGUGGCACCUAUUCCCUUCCCAAAUCCCUAACUCUAAUCCCCACUUUUCCUCAGCAUGGGCAGCGGCAACUAUUCUGCUUACUGGCAACAGUAUGUGCUUUUUUUUAUUAAUUAUGAAAUGUAAUGCCAGCUAUGUAUGAGAACUAUGUUAAUGUCAGGAAGUGUUGUCUUGAUCUAUCCUUGUGUAUCACAUGUAUGUGAAAUGCAGUUUGUACAGUACUCACACCAACAUGAAGCAGCAAGUGGGCAUACAAUGUGACUGAAUUUUACAGGACUACACAACACGUAAAUAAAACAUAUCCUUGACUGAAUUUUCACAAGAUGUAGGCGCAUUUUGCAAAACUCACAUAACACAAAUGAAACAUCUUCAUAGUUGAUUUUCUUCGAGAUGUAACUGCAUUUGGCAUGACUCACAGAAAACAAAUAUAAAGAUGAUUCAAUUAAAUUUAGGAGAAGCAGACCAAGCAUAUAUGACCUGAACACUGACGAUAUAUGAUCUCAAGAGUACAUAAAACACUGAUUAAAAGUUCUGCAGAUGACAUUACUAAUUCAUUAACAAAAUAAUCUAACCCUCACAAGUUCACACAUGGCAUUGAGACACUCCUUAGCUCAUCAAACAUGCUAACUUUUCUUGGUUUUUUAAAACUUGACCUUUCCUGAUUGGAAGGUGCUCUCUUUGAUGUUUUUGCCUAUGCCAAUGUUUCAUGCUGCCCUGCUCAUCUAUUGCCUUAACUUUUGCUGCGUCUUCAGCCUUCUUUUCUCAUUGUUCUCAUCCAUGGUUUGCUGCUUUACUAGACUUACUUUUUCAGCUAUUCUCUUUCUCUCCUCCCAAUCAGCAAUCUUUUGUGUGUCCUGAGAAUGAAUCUGAUUCUCCCAAGCUUGUUGCCUUGCAGCCUCCUCAGUUUGCAAAUAUUUUUGCCAAGUCUGCUGCCUCUCCUCCUCCUCUGCUUGAUGUAUAAGAAAAUUUGCUUCCUCCUGUUGGAAUGAUGUAUGUGCAAUCAUUCUCUUCUCAACAGCAAGUCUUUUUUUCUCCUCAACCUUCCUUUGUUUUUCUAUUUCCGCAUUUCUUUUUCUUUCAGCCAUGCUUUGCCUUCUCUUCUCUGCCAUUGCAAGUUUCUCUUCUUGGGCCUUUUUCUUUUUCUCCUCACUAGCUUUUCUUUUUUCCUCUGCGACAAUUCUCUUUUCUUCUAGUGUUGCUUUCUUCCUCUCCUCGGCAACUAUUUUUUUAGCUAGUAAUUCAGCUUUUCUCUUCUCAGCUGCUUGUGACAAUUUUUCUUCUUCUUCUUUCAGCUUUGCCAUUGCUGCAUCAAAUUUGGCUUGAUCAGCUACCUCCCUUCUCUCUGCUGCAGCUUUGAGCUUUGCAAGUGCAAUAACCUCUCUCUUCCUAUGGACAUUCUCCACAUUUGUUACAGUAGUUGGAACAACUGGUUGCUGAGACAUUGCAUGCAUCUGGAUGAAAGAAUUUUCCGGUAAUGGCCCAUGUGCAACUGGUUCCCUCUGGCUAGAAACUCUCUGUACAAUAAGAGGAUAUAAACUACUCUGCUUGGAAAAAACAUAAUAUACAAACUAUAUAUGGAUAGAAUUCCACACCUCCUGGGUUAAUGUAGCAAUGAUCUCAGGCUCAUAAUGUUGCUGGUCAUGCGUCACUAUUCGUUCAGUUUGCUGGUUUUGUUCCUACACAUAGAAAAUAAAUAUGUAAUGAUCAACCCAUGCUAAAUAAUUACCAAAUACUCAAAUAGUGCAACUAAAUCCACAUUUACCUCAGUUAUAAUAGGUUCAUCCUCAUCUGAGGAGGAAACAUUCGGCUCAGCCCUAACUUUUACCGUGCCAAACUUUUUCCUAGGUUUGAGGCCUAACUUGUAGUCCAAACAACCACCUUUGUUAUGACCAGCUAAUCCGCAGUAACCACAAUGAAUUUUUGCCCCUUUCUUACUAAUUUUCACUCCUUUCUUCCCUUCUUUCUCCUCUAGUUGUUUUCUAAUUUUUCAUCUUCAGAGUUGCAAUCUUCUACAACAUGCUUGCCUUUCUUGUUACUGAGAUAACGUAAUUGAUCCUGGGCCAAGUCCCCAUCUCCAUCCUCUACAUCAAAAUCACUGUCCACUAUUUCUGGUACAUGAUCAUUGUCGGUAGAAUCAUCAUCGGUGCCACAAUCAUCUUCGUCAAUAUCAUCUUUCUUUCCUCUUGGCCUCAGCUUAACUCUCGGUCGCUCAUUGCUUUCAAGUUCAAUGCAUGUACUAACAUUGUUAUCGUCAACAUAACUACAAUCAGUGGCACUUUGCUCAACAUGACCAAGGUUUGCCUUCUUAGGACCGGAAACAUGUGGUGACUGAGCUAUGGAAUUAGCAACUAUAUCAUCCCAUUCUUUUCCUCUCCCACCAUUGUAGCUAUCCAGAUGAUCCACAUAAAACAUCAGGAAUUUGUGCCCAUUCUUUACCAUUCUCUCAAUGCUCUCAGCUUGUUCAUCACUGGACAACAACCUAGCACCAUCUUCAUUCAGUUGACAUCCAGGCAGCAACCAAUACAGAUGAAUCCUACACUACUGGAAAUCAUCAUUUUUCCAUCUGCCUAGUCUUUGUCGUCUGCUAGCUGAUGGCAAAGAUUGUCUUUGCCGUCAGCUUCAGCAAAACAGACGGCACAGUACUGGCUGAUGGCAUACAGUCUUUUUACCAUUUGUCACCUCUUUGUCGUCUGCUAGGGGACGGCAAAUAGUCCAGAGGCAGACGGCAAAGAUGUAGAUAGGCCCACCUGACCGCGGGGUGGCUAGGUCAAACAGGAGUCGGACCUUUAUCGUCUGCUAGCGGACGGCAAAGAGUCCGGAGGCAGACGGCAAAGCGCUAACUCCGUUAACGGCUCCUCCCCCCCACCCCGCCCCUCUCUCUCUCUGUAACGGCUCAUCCCCGCGCGCCCCUCGCUCUCUCUCCCCACCCCGCUCGCUCCUCUCUCUGUAACGGCCGCCAGGACCACCGUCGCGCCGCCGCCCCUGUCGGCCCUGUCGCCCCCGCCGCCGCCCCUCUCUCUCUCCCCACCUCGCCCCCGCUGCCGCUGCCGCUGCCCCACCACCGUCGUGCCACCGCACCUGGCGCCCCGGNNNNNNNNNNNNNNNNNNNNNNNNNNNNNNNNNNNNNNNNNNNNNNNNNNNNNNNNNNNNNNNNNNNNNNNNNNNNNNNNNNNNNNNNNNNNNNNNNNNNGGCGGGAGGGCGGGAAAACAAAGACAACUUGGGACAACUGAGAGAAACUCCGGAAAGGAAAGAGAGACUGAUCUUUGCAGAAUUGGAGAGGAUAAAAUUGAUUGAAGAGAAGCACACCGGUUGAAGAAGAACUGACACCACAACUCCGGUUGACAAGAAUUGAUAAGACAAUUGAUAGAGAAAAAGAAUUAACACUCUCAUAUGAAUAUGAGAACACUGCUUAGGAAAUAUCUGAAAUCACCACUUGACAUCGAAGCAACUCGAAUUACCAUACUCCAACAAAACAAAGGAUGAGGCUUAUGAAACAAGCCAGAACAAAUUCAAGAGAUAGAUUUCCAUUCGAUAUUUUCGUGAACAGGAUCGCACGGGCUCGAUCCUUAUAGUAGCCAUCUUGUGCAAGGCAGUGCACACGACAUAUGAAGCAUCCCUGAGUCGUAGCAAGCUACAAGGAAUCUUUAAGACACAACGAGAACCGCUAUAAGUCGACCGUGAACAAACGAAUCCACUAGAUGUCGAACCCCAACCUAACAUCAUGCAUUUGUUGGAAGAUUGUCCUAUAAGCAACUACUUGAAUUCCCACCUAAGAACUCCCGAAAUUUCUGGUCAUGCAAUCUGGUCCACGGAUACAAGGAGUAAUAUAUCACUCAACUCCUAUACUAACCCGUCCAGUGUAUCACAUCCAUCAACACAUAACCAGAAUUUCGGAAACUCAUCUAUCACAGACACCCGUGAUCACAACGAUACUNNNNNNNNNNNNNNNNNNNNNNNNNNNNNNNNNNNNNNNNNNNNNNNNNNNNNNNNNNNNNNNNNNNNNNNNNNNNNNNNNNNNNNNNNNNNNNNNNNNNNNNNNNNNNNNNNNNNNNNNNNNNNNNNNNNNNNNNNNNNNNNNNNNNNNNNNNNNNNNNNNNNNNNNNNNNNNNNNNNNNNNNNNNNNNNNNNNNNNNNNNNNNNNNNNNNNNNNNNNNNNNNNNNNNNNNNNNNNNNNNNNNNNNNNNNNNNNNNNNNNNNNNNNNNNNNNNNNNNNNNNNNNNNNNNNNNNNNNNNNNNNNNNNNNNNNNNNNNNNNNNNNNNNNNNNNNNNNCGUGAUCACAACGAUACUAAGUAUGGCUAUACAUCCGGAACUCUAUGCACCAGUACUGGGGAAGCUAGACUCUUCUCGCCACUACUAGUAUUGAAGCAAUUUCGAACAUCCUUCGUCCUGAGAUACUAAGAAGUUUGAAUGAUAGCGAUGUGCUCAAAAAUCCCCUGGAGCUCAACUCUCUCGAAGAAAUCAAGUCAGACACGAGGCACCAAGACAGAACUCCGUCACAUCGACAUCAUUUAGAUUCCAAAAAUAUCCGCGAGAUCCUAAAUUUUUUUUGAGUGAGAAGAGGAGUAGAAUUAAAUUAUUACGUCAAGAUUCCUCACCAGAGCAUAGAAGAGGAGAAAAAAGAAUCCUACUCUCCGAUAUAUAACUAGACUCAAAGCAAUUUUUCACUAGACUCGACUCGGCCAAGUUCGAUCAAUCAAGGGGGCUCCUAGGUCGGUACUGCUCUGAUACCAACUUGUAACGCCCAAGAUGCGAUUAUAUCCUCAAUUUGGCACGAGGGCCUCGUCAGGGAUAGAAGCGCAUCUCGUCGUUUUGCAAGAAUGGAUAUCGUUACAAGUACAUGUACUGAAAAGAUGAGAUAUAUGGUAUUGGCUUACACUCGCAACAAGCUACAUCAGAGUCACAUCAGUACAAUACAUAAUCAUCAUGAAGAAGAGCAGGGUCUGACUACGGACGAAAACAAACGAGAAAAGAAGAACGACGUCCAUCCUUGCUAUCCCAUGCUGUCGGCCUGGAGCCCAUCCUAGAUCGAUGGAGAAGAAGAAGAAGAAGCAACUCCAAAUGAACAAUCAACGCGCUCGCGUCAAGUAACCUUUACAUGUACCUGCAACUGGUGUUGUAGUAAUCUGCGAGCCACAAGGACUCAACAAUCUCAUUUCCAAAGGUAUCAAGACUAGCAAAGCUUAAUGGGUGAGGUAUGGUUAAGUGGUGAGGUUGCGGCAGCGACUAAGCAUUAUAUGAGGUGGCUAAAACUUACGAGUACAAGAAUAAAGAGGGGGAUGAUCAACGCAUAAUGGACGUGAACUACUGAUGAUCAAAUGAAUGAUCCUGAACACCUACUUACGUCAGACAUAACCCCACCGUGUCCUCGAUCGGAGAAGGACCCACGAAAGAGACAAUCACGGUUACGCACUCAGUUGGCAUGUUUUAAUUAAGUUAACUUCAAGUUGUCUAGAACCAGUGUUAGACAAAGUUUCCACGCUGCCACAUAACCGCGGGGAUGGCUUUCCAAAAGACUAAACCCUGCAGGGGUGCUUCAACUAAUCAAUCACAAAUUACCACAAGCCGCAUAGAAAUCCUCGAUCACGAAACUCGCGAUCUCGUCGGACUCCUUAGUGGAAAACCCUGCUACUUCUCAAACAACAGCGCGAGAAAUUGACACGUUGACGGAGACUUGCUUGCGUUGGUUUUUCCCUUGAAGAGGAAAGGGUGAUGCAGCACAGGAGCAGUAAGUAUUUCCCUCAGUUUGAGAACAAAGGUAUCAAUCCAGUAGGAGAAUCUUGUCAAGUCCAGAGUACGUGCGCAAACACAAAAGAGCUUACACCCAACGCUAUAAAGGGGUUGUCAAUCCCUUCAAGAUUGAUUGCAAAGUGAGAUCUGGAGGCGGAAAGUGCAACGAAGUAAAAGUGUAAGGCUGAAAAUAUGGUGUGAAGUAGACCCGAGGGCCGUAGUGUUCACUAGAGGCUUCUCUCAAAAUAGCAAAUAUCACGGUGGGUGAACAAAUUACUGUCGAGCAAUUGAUAGAACCGCGCAAAGUCAUGAAGAUAUCUAAGGCAAUGAUCAUACAUAUAGGCAUCACGUCCGAGACAAGUAGACCGAUACUUUCUGCAUCUACUACUAUUACUCCACACAUCGACCGCUAUCCAGCAUGCAUCUAGUGUAUUGAGUUCAUGACCAAUAGAGUAACGCCUUAAGCAAGAUGACAUGAUGUAGAGGGAUAAACUCAAACCAAUAAUGAAAACCCAGUCUUUUUACCCUUGAUGGCAACAACAUGAUGCGUGUCUCGCUACCCCUUCUGUCAUUGGAUGAGGUCACCGCACGGUAUGAACCCAAAACCAAGCACUUCUCCCAUUGCAAGAAUCAUAGAUCAAGCUGGCCAAACAAAACCCACAACUCGAAGAGAAUUAUAAGGGUAUGAAAUCAUGCAUAAGGGAGAUAAGAAGAAACUCAAAUAAGAUUCAUAGAUAAUCUGAUCAUAAAUCCACAAUUCAUCGGAUCUCGACAAACACACCGCAAAAGAAGAUUACAUCGGAUAGAUCUCCAUGAAGAUCAUGGACAACUUUGUAUUGAAGAUCCAAGAGAGAGAAGAAGCCAUCAAGCUACUAGCUAUGGACCCGUAGGUCUAUGGUGAACUACUCACGCAUCAUCGAAGAGGUCAUGGUGUUGAUGAAGAAGCCCUCCGUAUCCGAAUCCCCCCUCCGGCAGGGCACCAGAACGUGCCCCAGAUGGGAUCUUGCGGAGACAGAAGCUUGCGGCGGCGGAAAAUUAUUUUCGUGGCUCCCCUGAUUUUUUCUGGGAUUUUAGGGAAUAUAUAGGCGAAAGACCUAGGGUAGAGGAGGCCCAGGGAGCCCACAAGCCUGGGAGGCACGGCCCCCCUGGCCGCGGCUAGGGGGCUUGUGGGGUCCCUGGUGACCCUCUGCCUUGGUUCUCAAGUCUCCCGAUCGUCUUCUGUUUCGGAAAAAAUCUUUUUGGAAGUUUCAUUCCGUUUGGACUCCGUUUAAAAUCCUCCUCUGAAAGGGGUCAAAAACACGGAAAAAACAGGAAGUGGCACUUGGCACUGAGUUGAUAAUUUAGUCCCAAAAAAGAUAUAAAAGGCAUACAAAACAUCCAAAGUUUGACAAGAUAAUAGCAUGAAACCAUCAAAAAUUAUAGAUACGUUUGAGAUGUAUUAAGCAUCCCCAAGCUUAACUCCUGCUCGUCCUCGAGUAGGGAAGUGAUAAAGACUGAAUUUUUGAUGUGGAAUGCUACCUAGCAUAGUUGUCCUUUGUAACUUCUUUCAUGUGACAUGAAUGUUCAGAUCUGUAAGAUUCAAAACAAUAGUUUGCUAUUGACAUGGAAACAAUAAUGCUUCAAGAAAACUAGCAAGGUAAUCAUGAACUUUCGAAAUAACAAGGCCAAAGAAAGUUAUCCCUACAAAAUCAUAUAGUCUAGCUAUGCUCCAUCAUCCCCACACAACUAAUGUAAAUCAUGCAUAACCCCGGUAUUGGCCAAGUAAUUGUUUUCGCACUCUUACUUUCUCAAACCUAUUUUCAACUAUCACACAAUACAUGAGCUUGAGACAUGGAUAUAGCACUAUAGGUGGAAUAGAGUGUGGUGGUGGUUGUGAGACAAAAAACAGGAGAUGGUUGAUAUGUCUCCAACGUAUCUACUUUUCCAAACUCUUUUGCCCUUGUUUUGGACUAUAAUUUGCAUGAUUUGAAUGGAACUAACCUGGACUGACGCUGUUUUCAGCAGAAUUACCUUGGUGUUAUUUUUGUGCAGAAAUCAAAGUUCUCCAAACGUCCUGAAAAUUUACGGGGAGUAGUUUUGGAAAAUAUCAAAAAUAUAUGCGCCAAGUUCCACCUCAGGGGGUGGGCCAGUGGGCCACAAGCCCCUGCUCCGCCACCACCCCCCUAGUGGUGGUGGGCAGGCUUGUGGGGACCACAUGCACCUUUCGCCCCAACUCCAGCUCUAUAAGUUGCCUUUCGUCCCAGAAAAAUAAAAAGAGAAGUUUUCGUCGCGUUUUCGAUACGGAGGCGCCGCCACCACCUGUUCUUCAUCUCGAGGGCAGAUCUGGAGUCCAUCUUGGGCUCCGGAGAGGGGAAAUCGUCGCCAUCAUUAUCAUCAACCCUCUUCCCUCUCCAAUUCCAUGAAGCUCUUCGUCGUUCGUGAGUAAUCUAUUCAUAGGCUCGCUGGGCGGUGAUGAGUAGGAUGAGAUCUAUCAUGUAAUCGAGUUAGUUUUGAUGGGGAUUGAUCCCUAGUAUCCACUAUGUUCUGAGAUUGAUGUUGCUACUACUUUGCCAUGCUUAAUGCUUGUCACUAGGGCACGAGUGUCAUGAUUUCAGAUCUGAAAUUCUUAUGUUGUCACCAAUAUAUGUGUGUUUUAGAUCCGAUCUUGCAAGUUGUAGUUACCUACUAUGUGUUAUGAUCCGGCAACCCCGGAGUGACAAUAACCGGAACCACUCCAGGUGAUGACCAUAGUUUGAGGAGUUCAUGUGUUCACCAAGUGCUAAUGCGUUGGUCCGGUUCUUUAUUAAAAGGAGAACCUUAAUAUCCCGUAGUUUCCUUUUGGACCCCGCUGCCACGGGAGGGAUGGACAAUAGAUGUCAUGCAAGUUCUUUUCCCUAAGCACGUAUGACGACACACGGAAUGCAUGCCUACAUCACAUUGACGAACGGGAGCUGGCCACUUAUCUCUCCGUGUUAUAGCUGUUGCAUGAUGAAUAUCAUCCAAACAAAUCACCCACCCAUUGCCUACGAGUUUGUCCUACUCCUGUUACUUGUCUUGCUCUGCUACUGCUGCUACUGCUGUUGCUACCGCUGUUACUUGUCUUGCUCUGUGCUGCUGCUACUACUGUUGCUACUACUGUCGCUUGCUAUUGUUGCUACUUGCUACCACUGUCACUAUUGUUGUUCCUUGCCACUGCUAUUGCUCGUUACACUGCUGCUACCUGCUACACUGUUGGUUCACCUACCAUUGACGGGAAUUGACAACUUCCGUCGACGCGGCAACGAAGGCGCCAUUGAUACAAUCGUUAGGAAUAGUCUGCCGUCAACGGAUCGUUUCUGACACCGUUGUUAUCAUAUUACUUUGUUGUUACUACUGUGCUUGCAUAUACUAAUCUUUCAGGUGUGGUUGAAUCUGACAAAUUCAGCUGCUAAUACUCGAGAGUAUUCUCUCACCUCCUUUAGGCGAUCUACAAGUUUGGGUCGAAUACUCUACCCUCAAAAACUCCUGCGAACCCACGUGCUGGUGGGUCGUCAACAACAUUCUUCUAGUUUCAUUACUGGGGGGUACUAUCAGCACUCUUCUGGUGCCAUUGUAGGAGAAGGUUUGUUGUCAUAAGCAUUCGUCUAGCUAAUGCCAGAGAUUGCACGAUCAACAUUUUUCUGGCGCCGUUGCCGGGGAGGUAUUGCUAUAUUCUCUGAGUCACUUGGGAUUUAUAUCUGCUGAUCACUAUGAAGAAUCUGAAGGAUCCGAAGACCAAAGUCUUGCCCUCCACUACGAGGGGAGGUAAGGAAUUGCCAUCUAGCUCUGCACUUGAUUCACCUUCAGUUAUGAGUAAGUUUGCGACUUCACCUCCUGCUAGAAAUCUUGAUCCAUCGCAUGUGCUUGAUGAUGCUUUUGAUACUACUGCUAGAGAUGCUAUGCUUGAUACUGCUAGAGAUGCUGUGCUUGAUACUAUGCCUGAUGAUACUAUGCUUGAUACUAUGCCUGAUACUGCUAGAGAUGUUAUGCUUGAUACUAUGCCUGAUGAUGCUAGAGAUGCUAUUUUGCCUGAUGAUGCUAUGCUUGAUACUGCUAGAGAUACUCCUUUGCCUGAUGUUCCACUAGGAGUGUUCCUUGAUGCUCAUAUUGCUAGAGUUACUGCCAAUGCUCGUGAUGCUCCUGAAACUGCCAAUACUAUUGAGAUAGAACCUACUUUUGCUCCUGCUAGAUCUAGCUCUCCUAGAUAUGAAUUGCCUGAUAUACCUGAGGGUUACGUUAUGGAGGGAGAGAUAGCUGAGGAUUUUCUUGCGUGUAAGGAUGCCUAUGAUGCUGAGAAAUUACUUCUCAAGUGGAAGGAGAAAUCUCGUGAAGCUAGGAUGAAAAAUGACCCGAAGUUUGCCACUUCGCCUAUCUUUGUCACCGAUAAGGAUUAUGAAUUCUCUGUCGACCAUGAGAUAAUCUCUUUAGUCGAAUCUGAUCCUUUUCACGGUUAUGAGUCUGAGACGGUCAUAGCCCAUCUUGCCAAACUAUCCGAAAUAGCCAACCUUCUCACUAAUGAGGAGAAGAUCCGCCACUACUAUAUCCUUAAGUUGUUUCCUUUCUCUCUAAAGGAUGAUGCUAAAGCCUGGUUCACCUCCCUCUCUCCUGGAUGUGUGCGUAGUCCCCAGGAGAUGGUCUAUUACUUCUGUGAGAAAUAUUUGCCUGCCCAUAAGAAGCAAGCUGCCUUGCAGGAAAUAUACAACUUUGCUCAACUCCAAGCAGAGAGUCUUCCACAAGCUUAGAAUGACCUGCUCAAUGAAUUAAAUGACAACUCUGUCAAAAUCAUUACUAGAGGACGCAAAAUGACUCAGGAACCUUUGUAUCCUGAAGGUCAUCCUAAGAGAAUUGAUCAAGAUUCUCAAGGAAUCAAUGCUGAUACACCUAGUCAUCCUAAGGAGAAGAAGAAGGAUGAUAGAAGCCUACACGCCAGUUCACCAAAUACUAUCACACCUGAAGAACCUAAUGAUAUUUUUGCGUCUGGUGCAGAAACACAAUCAGGUGAUGAACAUGAACCUGGUGACAACAUGGACAGUGAUGUUCGUAAUGAUGCUCAACCUAGCAAUGACGAGGAUGUGGAGAUUGAACCUACGGUUAAUCCUGAUAAUCCACAACCUAAGAGAUACGACAAGAAUGACUUCUCUGCUAGGAAGCAUGGUAAAGAAAGAGAGCCAUGGGUUCAGAGACCUAUGCCCUUUCCUCCUAAACCAUCCAAGAAAAAGGAUGAUGAGGAUUUUGAGCGCUUCGUUGAGAUGAUAAGACCCGUCUUUCUGCAGAUGCGGUUAACUGAUAUGCUCAAGAUGUCUCCGUAUGCCAAGUACAUGAAAGAUAUCGUGACUAAUAAACAGAAGAUACCACAUCUUGAGAUCUCCACCAUGCUUGCCAACUACACUUUCAAAGGUGGAACUCCUAAGAAACUUGGUGAUCCCGGAGUGCCCACUAUACCUUGCUCCAUUAAAGGAAACUACGUAAGAACUGCCUUAUGUGACCUUGGAGCCGGUAUUAGUGUUAUGUCGCUCUCUCUUUAUCGUAGACUUGAGUUGGAUAAGUUGACACCCACUAAAAUUUCUCUGCAAAUGGCCGACAAAUCAACUGCUUUCCCUAUCGGCAUUUGCGAGGAUGUGCCUGUUGUGGUUGCUAAUACCACUAUCUUAACAGACUUUGUUAUCUUGGAUAUUCCCGACGACGAUGCCAUGGCUAUCAUCCUCGGAAGACCCUUUCUAAAUACUGCAGGGGCUGUUAUAGAUUGCAACAAAGGCAAUGUCACUUUCCAUGUCAACGGUAAUGAGCACACCGUGCACUUUCCGAAGAAACGAUAUCCAGUACAUUGCAUCAAUGCUAUCGAAAAGACUUCAUCGAUUCUCAUUGGGAGCUUUGAAUGCCCUAUUCCUCGUGUCAAGAUGAAGUAUGAUUUUCUUGUUGGGGAGAUACGUAUCCCCAUUGAGGUGACUUAGUGGCUAUUCGAAAAUUCUCCGUUCUCUCUUGCGACUCGAGAAGGUUUUUUCAUAAGGACUUGAUCAAUCCCAUUGACGGAUUUCUUUCGAUGACCAUGAAACGGAUGAAUCAAGGAGUCACAUACCUCUGUUUUGAGUUUACUUUUUCUGUUGCUUAGAAGAAAAAUGAUAGAACUAGUUUAGUUUUUCCUGCUUUCUGUUUUACCGUCCCGGAGAAAAAUACCUCAAAACUAAAAGUUCUCCGAUGGUCCUAAAAAUUUAGUAUGAUUUUUUCUGGAAUUUUUGAAAAUUUCUGGGCCUGAGAGCUGGCCUGGGGGCCAGACCAGUGGGCCACAAGCCCCCCACCGCCACCUACCCCCCUGGUGGCGGGGUGCAAGCUUGUGGGGCCCACUGGCACCCCCUCCACUCAUUCCAGCUCCCAGCCUCUUCUUCUACCUCCAGAAAAAAAAUGUUUCGCAUCUCAAACCCGUGUUCUUGCUCAUUUGGCUGUGAUUUUCGAUCUCCUUGCUCAAAGCACCACUCUCCGAACUGUUUUGGGGAAACUACUCCUUGGUAAGUGACUCCUCCAUUGGUCCAAUUAGUUUUUGCUCUAGUGCUUUAUCCUUCGUGUAUUCUUGCUACCUUGGUGACCCUGUUCUUGAGCUAUAAAUGUUGAUUUUAGCUGGUCCCAAGUAGUUUUAGCGCGUGAUACGGUCUCUAGGCACUAGUAGGAGUAGUUGCUACAAGUUGGGUUAAUCCUUAUUCACCUUUCUUUCAAAGUCUCUAAAAAUUUCAGAAUUUUUCAGAGCUAGAAAAGGGAAAAGAUGAGGAGGUUCUUGAGAGGCUCUUCAAGUCGUAACCCCAAGGAGGACGAGAAGAAUCACCCCAAGUACGCACUCCCUCGAGUCACAGAAGUUCGAGCGUGCGAGUGGCCAAGUGAUGAAUUUUUGCGCGCCGCCGGACUUUAUGAAGACUUUUAUUACUUGGUGGAGAACGGAGGUCUUACUGCGUUCUUUGAAGAUAAGUGCCCACAAUAUCUCCUCCUAACCAAUAUUUUCGUUCAAAGCUUCAACUUUUAUCCGAGAAAGAAUCCUCCCAUGGUUGAGUUCAUGAUAUAUUUUCGUGCAAAGCUUUAAUUUCUAUCCAAGGAAGAAUCCUCCUAUGGUUGAGUUCAAAUUAUAUGAUAUCCCCCAGCGCAUGUCACCUCAAGAUUUUUGCAAUGUAUGCAAAUUACCUUAUGUUGGGGAUAUCCGUGACCCUCGUCCACGGGACUUGGAGGAUUUCAUUGGUUCUAUUGUUGUUGGAGAGGAGAGAGGAGUGUCUCGCGCUAGAAUUGCUAGUAUACAUUUUCCUGUGCUUCGGUACUUCUCACUAUUUGUGGGAAAAUGUUUGAUUGGCCGUGGGGAGGCUGUAUCACUUAGUUCUGCAGACCUUGCGGGUUUGCGCGAAGGCCUUUAUAACGAUAAGACUUAUAGCUUGGGCGCUAUAGUAGCUCAACGGUUGAACCUGAACCAUUCUAAAGGUGUUGUCUAUGGAGGUAUCUAUGCUACCCGUCUUGCCAGACACUUUGAGAUACCGAUUAGACUGGGAGAGGAAGGAGAGAUGCUUCUCCCUGAGAGAUAUCUGGAUUAUGACAGCAUGGUUCGCCAUGAUUUUCUGGAUAGAGAUGCUAGUAGACGGAUGAUUUAUAACCUGGUGUUUAGUCAGGGUACUCGAGAGACUAGUACUUUGCCUGCUCCUUCUUUGUUCGAUCUUCAUGCAGGCAGGUACACUAUUAUGCCCGCGGACAUCUACGCAUAUUGGGGCUUGGCCCAACCACAGGCGCCCGUGCCCGAGCCGCCAGUCGAGUACCAGACGCCAGUUUAUCAGUGGGAGCCAGAGGAGCUCGCACAGUAGUGGCAUCCACAGUCUACUCCAGAGUAUCCUGGAGCUGGUUAUUUCCCACCAUGGGAGUAGACCAAGCUAGGCCAAAAGCCUAAGAUUGGGGGAGUACGUGUUCUCACCGACUUUAGAUUCAUGCUUAUGCUUUCACUUUGUUAGCCGGUGUUUACACUUUGCCACUGUAUUAUCCAUGCUAAUUUCUUUUCGUUUUCUUGUUUUCUUGUUUUGUGUCCUUUUGAGAAAACCCAAAAAUAUUUUUCUUUCUUCUUUUGCUUGUUGGGAGCUUUCCCGUGUAAAUAGCUUUCUUUUUCUUUGUGUCGAGGUAGAAGAUAUUGGUUACGAUGUUUAGUGGUUCUUACAUGCUUACCUGUUUAGCUUUCAAAGAGCCAUAUUACUUUGUCUUCUCCUUUGUGUUUGCCUGCAGAUUCAGCUUAGUCCAAUGCGCUUAUUAUUGUUCACAUCGUUCGAUCGUGCAAAUGAAAGGCAACAAUGAUGAUAUAUGAUGAAGUGACUGAGACUGAAAAGCUGGUAUGAACUCUAUCUAUUUUGUUUUUGUAAAUAUGACUAGCUUGUUGACCCAGAUUUAGCUUUGUUGUGAGAGAACCAUGUUUGCAAUGACAACUUAGAGAUCAUAGUUUCUGAUGCCAUGCUUAUUUAGCUGAGAGCUUAUAAUGAUUUGUCUUGAAUGCCAACAUAGAUUUUGAGAUGACUAUGAUGUAGUGUGAUAGGAUGGUAUUCUCCUUUGAAUGUUUCAAGUGCCUUGACUUGGCGCAUGUUCAUGCGUGUAUUUGAAACAAAAUCAACAUAGCCUCUAUGAUGUUCGUGUUCAUGGUGAUUUAUAUCAUGUUCAUGCUUGCAUUCGAUGUUAGUCAAACUCAUUGCAUCUUGAUGACUGUUGUCGCUCUCUAGUUGGUCGCUUCCCAGUCUUUUGCUAGCCUUCGCUUGUACUAAGCGGAAUACUGCUUGUGCAUCCACUUCCAUAAACCCAAAAGUUUUUCCAUGAGUGUCCACCAUACCUACCUAUUUGCGGUAUCUACCUGCCGUUCCAAGUAAAUUUGCAUGUGCCAUUCUCUAAACCUUCAAGAAAUAAUCUGUUUUGCAUGCCCGAACCGCUCAUGUGGUGACAGAGAGCUAUUGGUAUCUUCCAUGCUAGGAGUGUUAUCCUCGACAUGUGUUUAUUCACAGUCAUUCACAAGAAAGGCGUCGGUAUUUGGGAUGCCCAGUUCCAUGCUUAAAUCGAAAACAUAACUGUAAAACAAGACUCCCCCCAGAUUGAUGUUAGUAUGGACGGUACCCGAGGAUUCGGCUAGCUGUGGAGUCUGAUUGAUUGGCGGUGGGGGGGGUUAAAACUUUACUUUUCUAUUUGGGAACCGCCUAUAGCAUGAGUAGCAUGGAAGAUAUUGAGAACUCUUGGUCAUUGCGUUGACAAUGAAAGCAUGCCACCCAAAAUUAUUAUCUCUGUUUUCAAAGCUUGAGCUCUGGCACCUCUGCAAAUCAAUGCUUCCCUCUGCGAAGGGCCUGUCUAUUUAUUUUCCUGUCGAGUCAUCCUCCUCUUAUAUAAGCACCAAUUAGAGAGCACCUCUGUCAUUUUUAUGCUUUGCUUUUGACUGAUAUUGAGUAUGACUAUGACUGGAUCUUCGUUGCUAUGAAUUACAAUGUUUAGUCAGCCCUUGAUCUUUGAAAGUGUUCUGCAUUUAUGUUUUGCGAUCUCAGAAAGAGCUAGCGAGAUACCACCUAUUCAUAUUGCUUCAUGCUUGUUUUGAUUGAAGUGUUGGUAUUUGAAACUCAUUAUUAUAUGCUCGUUAGCUGAUUAUGCCAUUGAUAUUAGUUUACCGUGAGACCUUUGUGUCAUUUGCUUAUGUGGUUAACUUGUGAUCUUGCUGAAAUUCUGGUUAUGAGUUAGACAUAGUUGCAACAACAAGAUCAAACAGAGUUUGUCAAAGUUUUUCUUUCUCUCACAAUUUGCCAACUGACUUGCUUGAGGACAAGCAAGGUUUUAAGCUUGGGGGAGUUGAUACGUCUCCAACGUAUCUACUUUUCCAAACUCUUUUGCCCUUGUUUUGGACUAUAAUUUGCAUGACUUGAAUGGAACUAACCUGGACUGACGCUGUUUUCAGCAGAAUUGCCUUGGUGUUAUUUUUGUGCAGAAAUGAGAGUUCUCCAAACGUCUUGAAAAUUUACGGGGAGCAAAUUUGGAAAAUAUCAAAAAUAUUUGCGCCAAGUUCCACCUCAGGGGGUGGGCUAGUGGGCCACAAGCCCCUGCUCCGCCACCACCCCCCUUGGUGGUGGUGGGCAGGCUUGUGGGGCCCACGGGCACCUCCGCCCCCAACUCCAGCUCUAUAAGUUGCCUUUCGUCCCAGAAAAAAUAAAAAGAGAAGUUUUCGUCGCGUUUUCAAUACGGAGGCGCCGCCACCACCUGUUCUUCAUCUGGAGGGCAGAUCUGGAGUCCGUCUUGGGCUCCGGAGAGGGGAAAUCGUCGCCAUCGUCAUCAUCAACCCUCUUCCCUCUCCAAUUCCAUGAAGCUCUUCGUCGUUCGUGAGUAAUCUAUUCGUAGGCUCGCUGGGCGGUGAUGAGUAGGAUGAGAUCUAUCAUGUAACUGAGUUAGUUUUGAUGGGGAUUGAUCCCUAGUAUCCACUAUGUUCUGAGAUUGAUGUUGCUACGACUUUGCCAUGCUUAAUGCUUGUCACUAGGGCCCGAGUGCCAUGAUUUCAGAUCUGAAAUUAUUAUGUUGUCACCAAUACAUGUGUGUUUUAGAUCCGAUCUUGCAAGUUGUAGUUACCUACUAUGUGUUAUGAUCCGGCAACCCCGGAGUGACAAUAACCGGAACCACUCCCGGUGAUGACCAUAGUUUGAGGAGUUCAUGUGUUCACCAAGUGCUAAUGCGUUGGUCCGGUUCUUUAUUAAAAGGAGAACCUUAAUAUCCCGUAGUUUCCUUUUGGACCCCGCUGCCACGGGAGGGAUGGACAAUAGAUGUCAUGCAAGUUCUUUUCCCUAAGCACGUAUGACGACACACGGAAUGCAUGCCUACAUCACAUUGACGAAUGGGAGCUAGCCACUUAUCUCUCCGUGUUAUAGUUGUUGCAUGAUGAAUAUCAUCCAAACAAAUCACGACCCAUUGCCUACGAGUUUGUCCUACUGUUGUUACUUGUCUUGCUCUGCUGCUGCUGCUACUCUGUUGCUACCGCUGUUACUUGUCUUGCUCUGCUGCUGCUACUACUACUGUUGCUACUACCAUCGCUUGCUACUGUUGCUACUUGCUACCGUUGUCACUACUGCUGUUCCUUGCCACUGCUAUUGCUCGUUACACUGCUGCUACCUGCUACACUGUUGGUUCACGUACCGUUGACGGGAAUUGACAACUUCCGUCGACGCGGCAACGAAGGCGCCAUUGAUACAAUCGUUAGGAAUAGUCUGCCGUCAAUAGAUCGUUUCUGACACCGUUGUUACCAUAUUACUUUGCUGUUACUACUGUGCUUGCAGAUACUAAUCUUUCAGGUGUGGUUGAAUCUGACAAAUUCAGCUGCUAAUACUCGAGAGUAUUCUCUCACCUCCUUUAGGCGAUCUACAAAUUUGGGUCGAAUACUCUACCCUCGAAAACUGUUGCGAACCCACACGUUGGUGGGCCGUCAACAACAUUCUUCUAGUUUCAUUACUGGGGUGCUAUCAGCAUUCUUCUAGUGCCGUUGCAGGAGAAGGUUUGUUGUCAUAAGCAUUCGUCUAGCUAACGCCAGAGAUUGCACGAUCAGCAUUUUUCUGGCGCCGUUGCCGGGGAGGUAUUGCUAUAUUCUCUGAGUCACUUGGGAUUUAUAUCUGUUGAUCACUAUGAAGAAUCUGAAGGAUCCGAAGACCAAAGUCUUGCCCUCAACUACGAGGGGAGGUAAGGAAUUGCCAUCUAGCUCUGCACUUGAUUCACCUUCAGUUAUGAGUAAGUUUGCGACUUCACCUCCUGCUAGAAAUCUUGAUUCGUCGCCUGUGCUUGAUGAUGCUUUUGAUACUACUACUAGAGAUGCUAUGCUUGAUACUAUGCGUGAUACUGCUAGAGAUGCUAUGCUUGAUACUAUGCUUGAUGAUACUAUGCUUGAUACUAUGCCUGAUACUGCUAGAGAUGUUAUGCUUGAUACUAUGCCUGAUGAUGCUAGAAAGUGCAUGUAUACCAUGGACUCACAUUAGUCAUGAAGAACUCACAUACUUAUUGCGAAAUUUUUUAUUAGUAAUCGAAACAAAGUGCUAAAAGCAUACUCCUAGGGGAAGGGUUGGUAGGUGUUAACCAUCGCGCGAUGCCGACCGCAACACAAAGGAUGACAAUGAAUAGAUCAAUUAUGCUCCGACUUCCUAACAUAGCGGUUCACCAUACGUGCAUGUUACGGGAAUCACUAACUUCAACACAAGUAUUUCUAGAUUCACAACACCCUACUAGCAUAACUCUUAAUAUUACCGAAUCCACGUCUCAAAACUAUUUGAGAGGAAUCAAAACUUCUCUUUCUACUCAAUGCACAUGAAGAUGGAGGUUUUUGUAUCCUCUUUGGGUACCUAUCACCUUUGGGACUACUUUCAUAGCACAAGCCAACUACCAAGUCAUGCACCGCCGUGCUCUAAAAGAUCUAAGUGAAGCACACAGAGCAAAAUUAUCUAGCUCAAAAGAUAUAAGUGAAGCACGAUGAGCAUUGUAGCAAAAUCACGAUGAGUGCAUGUCUCUCUCAAAAGGUGUGCAGCAAGGAUGAUUGUGACACAACAAAAAGAAAAGACUCCUACGAUACAAGACGCUCCAAGCAAAACACAUUUCAUGUGGUGAAUAAAAACAUAGCUCCAAGUAGUGUUAACGAUGGAUUGAAGACGAAAGAGGGGAUGCCUUCCCGGGGCAUCCCCAAGCUUAGGCUUUUUGGUGUCCUUGAAUUUGUCUUGGGAUGCCUUGGGCAUCCCCAAGCUUGAGCUCUUUCCACUCUUUAUCCAUUUUUCCAUGAGAACAUCACCCAAAACUUGAAAACUUCACAACACAAAACUUAAACAAAAACUCGUGAUAUCAUUAGUACAAGAAAACAAACUACCACCUCCUUAGGUACUCUAGCAAUCUUGAUUUCUAUUUUUAUUGGUGUUAGAUUACUGUAUUAUCACUUUUCCAUGGCUAGUAACCCCCGAUACUAUCCAUAAUUUCAUCAAAACAAGCAACCAACUCAACAAAAACAGACCAGUAUGUAGCAAUCUGUAUACUUCGUAUACUUCUGGUACCUCAAAAAUUCUUAAAAAUUACGACUGCAUGGGCAAAAUUCAUAUCAACCAGCAACAAAAAGAAUCAACUCAAAAGCUCUUUCUGAAUAAAAAUUAAUAAUAAUCUCGUGAGUGAAACGUUUCUGUCUUUUUCCAGGAGGAUCAAACAACCAUCACCAAGACUAGUCAUAAAGAUUUUUCUUGGCUCAAACACAAAAGACACAAUCAUAACAGAAUUAUGAUGGUGUGGAUGCAACAAAAUAGAAAGAAAAACAUAAAUUCAUUGGAUUGCCUCCCAACAAGCGCUAUUGUUUAACGCCUUUAGCUAGGCAUUGAUAAUUCAAUGAUGCUCACACAAAAGACAAGAAUUGAAGCACAACGAGAGCAUCAUAAAGCAUGUGAAAAUCACAUCUAAGCCUAACAUACUCCCUAUGAAUAGGAAUUUUAUGGGGAAACAAAUUGUCAAGACAAGCAAUAACUACUGUAUGCAAGGAAGAAGAAAGAGACAAUAGGAAUCUCAACAGAAUGAGAGGUGGUUUAGUAACAUGAAUGUUUCUACCACAAUAUUUUCCUCUCUCAUAAUAAUUACAUGUGGGAUCAUAUUCAAAUUCAACAAUAUAGCUAUCCCAUAGGAUAUUCUUUUCAUGACCCACAUGCAUGCAAAGUUGACGCUCUUCAAAAAUAGUGGGAUUAUCGUCAACUAAAGUCAUGACUUCUCCAAACCCACUUUCAAAAUUAUUGCAAAUAUCAUAUUCAUCAUGAGGCUUAAACAAAUUUUCAAGAUAAUAAGAAAAUCAUUGCCCCAAUCAUGAUCAUUGCAACAAGUAGUGGACAUAGCAAAACUAGCAUCCCCAAGCUUAGGGUGUUGCAUAUUUUUAGCAUGAUUGACACUAAUAGGAUUUAUAGUGAAACCAUUGCAAUCAUGCUUUUCAUUCAAGGAGCCCUUGUGAAUCACUUCAUAAAUUUCUUCAUCACGAUUUUUAGAUUCACGCAUCUCAAGCAAAACUCCAUAGAGAAAGUCAAGUGCACUCAACUCUCUAGCAAUUGGAUCAACAUAAUUGGAUCUCUUAAAGAGAUUAGCAAGUGGAUGAGGAUCCAUAUCACUAGAUUUUCAGCAAGCGAAGAUGCAAGCAUGUUGAAGGCACAUAUCACACAAGCAAAGGAAAGGAAAACGAGAGAAAAGGGCGAAAGAAAAAGGCAAAUGAAAAAGGCAAAUAUUUUUAUAAAUUUUUGUUUUUUAGAAGUGGGGAGAGGAAAACGAGAGGCAAAAAAGUAAAUGCAAGAGAUGAGUUUGCGACACUUACUUGGAUGAGUUCUUGACUUGAUCCUCCCCGGCAACGGCGUCAGAAAUCCUUCUGCUACUUCUCAAACAACAGCGCCAGAAAUUGACACGUUGACGGAGACUUGCGUGCGUUGGUUUUUCCCUUGAAGAGGAAAGGGUGAUGCAGCACAGGAGCACUAAGUAUUUCCAUCAGUUUGAGAACCAAGGUAUCAAUCCUGUAGGAGAAUCUCAUCAAGUCCAGAGUACCUGCGCAAACACAAAAGAGCUUGCACCCAACGCUAUAAAGGGGUUGUCAAUCCCUUCAAGAUUGAUUGCAAAGUGAGAUCUGAAGGCGGAAAGUGCAACGAAGUAAAAGUGUAAGGCUGGAAAUAUGGUGUGAAGUAGACCCGGGGGCCGUAGUGUUCACUAGAGGCUUCUCUCAAAAUAGAAAAUAUCACGAUGGGUGAACAAAUGCCUGUCGAACAAUUGAUAGAACCGCGCAAAGCCAUGAUGAUAUCUAAGGCAAUGAUUAUACAUAUAGGCAUCACGUCCGAGACAAGUAGACCGAUACUUUCUGCGUCUACUACUAUUACUCCACACAUCGACCGCUAUCCAGCAUGCAUCUAGUGUAUUGAGUUCAUGAGAACAGAGUAACGCCUUAAGCAAGAUGACAUGAUGUAGAGGGAUAAACUCAAACCAAUGAUGAAAACCCCAUCUUUUUACCCUUGAUGGCAACAACAUGAUGCGUGCCUUGCUACCCCUUCUGUCACUGGGUGAGGUCACCGCACGGUAUGAACCCAAAACCAAGCACUUCUCCCAUUGCAAGAAUCAUAGAUCAAGCUGGCCAAACAAAACCCACAACUCGAAGAGAAUUACAAGGAUAUGAAAUCAUGCAUAAGAGAGAUCAGAAGAAACUCAAAUAAGAUUCAUAGAUAAUCCGAUCAUAAAUCCACAAUUCAUCGGAUCUCGACAAACACACCGCAAAAGAAGAUUACAUCGGAUAGAUCUCCAUGAAGAUCAUGGAGAACUUUGUAUUGAAGAUCCAAGAGAGAGAAGAAGCCAUCUAGCUACUAGCCAUGGGCACGUAGGUCUAUGGUGAACUACUCACGCAUCAUCGGAGAGGUCAUGGUGUUGAUGAAGAAGCCCUCUGUAUCCGAAUCCCCCUCCUGCAGGGCACCAGAACGUGCCCCGGAUGGGAUCUUGCGGAGACAGAAACUUGCGGCGGUGGAAUAGUAUUUUCGUGGCUCCCCUGCUUUUUUCUGGGAUUUUAGGGAAUAUAUAGGCGAAAGACCUAUAGCAUAGGAGGCCCAGAGAGCCCACAAGCAUGGGAGGCGCGCCCCUGGCCGCGACUAGGGGGCUUUAGGGGUCCCUGCUGACCCUCUGCCUUGGUUCUCAAGUCUCGCGAUCGUCUUCUGUUUCGGAAAAAAUCUAUUUUGAAAUUUCAUUCCUUUUGGACUCCGUUUAAAAUCCUCCUCUGAAAGGGGUCAAAAACACGGAAAAACAGGAACUGGCACUUGGCACUGAGUUAAUAAGUUAGUCCCAAAAAAGAUAUAAAAGGCAUACAAAACAUCCAAAGUUUGACAAGAUAAUAGCAUGAAACCAUAAAAAAUUAUAGAUACGUGGAGACGUAUCAAAACUCAACUCUGAGAUUACCCAAAGCAUCACCGGAAUCCCGAUUCACAAGACAUUCGUCAAAGGUAAAACUAAUCCAGCAAGGCCAUCCGACGUGUCGACGAUCCCGAUAGGAGCCGCGUACCUCAUUCUCAGGACACGACAGAUAAGCUAAGCGUACGGUGGCCUGAUAGACAUCUCCCGAGUUGCCCCUGGUUGGCCCCGCACAGUGCUCUAUUUUGGACCAGCACCAUCACCACUGGCCCCCCUGUUUUAUGUAGAAUUACUCCUUGGGUUCAUGAUGCCCUAUGCUUUCAGUAUUAACAAAAAAUAUUAUGUUGGGAAAAUGUAGUAUCGGUGUUGGGCCUUGCCAGACCAUCUUUAAUCUAAAACGAAUUAUCAAGGGGGUCCCCAUAACAACCUCGAUCGUGUUAGGAGUGCUCAAAAAUGGAACAUAACACUGGUAGCCGAAACUAAGGGNNNNNNNNNNNNNNNNNNNNNNNNNNNNNNNNNNNNNNNNNNNNNNNNNNNNNNNNNNNNNNNNNNNNNNNNNNNNNNNNNNNNNNNNNNNNNNNNNNNNNNNNNNNNNNNNNNNNNNNNNNNNNNNNNNNNNNNNNNNNNNNNNNNNNNNNNNNNNNNNNNNNNNNNNNNNNNNNNNNNNNNNNNNNNNNNNNNNNNNNNNNNNNNNNNNNNNNNNNNNNNNNNNNNNNNNNNNNNNNNNNNNNNNNNNNNNNNNNNNNNNNNNNNNNNNNNNNNNNNNNNNNNNNNNNNNNNNNNNNNNNNNNNNNNNNNNNNNNNNNNNNNNNNNNNNNNNNNNNNNNNNNNNNNNNNNNNNNNNNNNUGCACCUGCAACUAGCAACGCUAACACAUGGUUAAGCAAGCAGUAACAUAGCCAAUCAAUGGUUUGCUAGGUUGUGAACAGGUUUGAAGGUUUCAUGGCAUUGUUGGGAGGCUGAUAUUUAACAGGUGGUAGGCAA